GGGAGGUGCUAACGGAAGCAAAAUUUUGGUAACCACACGUAGCAGGAAGGUUGCUUCAAUCAUGGGCACGAGGGGAGGUACUACUGGCUACAACUUACAAGGUCUACCAUUCGAGGAUUGCUUGUCUUUGUUUAUGAAAUGUGCAUUUAAAGAAGAGCGAGAUAAACAUCCAAACCUCAUAAAAAUCGGGGAAGAAAUUGUGAAAAAAUGUGGAGGAAUUCCUCUGGCAGUCAGAUCACUAGGAAGUCUACUAUAUGACUCAACGGAUGAACAUUUUUGGGAAUAUGUGAGGGAUAAUGAGAUAUGGCAGUUAGAGCAAAAGGAAAGUGGUAUUUUACCUGCUCUGAGGUUAAGCUACGAUCAAUUGCCGCCUCACCUGAAACGAUGUGUUGCUUAUUGUUCAAUCUUUCCCAAGGAUUAUCAAUUUUAUGGUGAUUCUUUGGUUCAAUUUUGGAUGGCUCAUGGUCUUCUCCAAUCGCAUAAUAAGAAAGAAGAGUUAGAAGAUAUUGGUAUGCGGUACUUGAAGGAAUUACUAUCAAGAUCUUUCUUCCAAGAUUGGACUUUUGGGAUUUCAGGAAUGGAGUCGUUCACUUUCAAAAUGCACGACCUUAUGCAUGAUCUUGCCCUGCUAGUGGCCAAAGAUGAAUUCCUAGUAGUGAACUCUGAUCGUCAAUCUAUUCCCAAAAGUGUCCGUCAUUUGUCAUUUGCUGCUGCUACUGCAUCAAGAAAUGACUUUUCAAGCCUUUUGUCUGAUCUAGGUCGUGUGAGAACCAUUUUCUUUUCAACUGAUGAUGAGAAGACAAGCCAAUCAUUUGUUGAAUCAUGCAUCUCAAAGUCGCAGUUCCUGAGAGUGCUAAAUUUAAGUGAAUCUUCUAUUGAGGUUUGUUCCAGGAAGAUGGGAAAUUUGAAGCACAUGAGGUAUCUUGAUCUGUCGAGAAAUUAUAAAAUCAAGAAACUUCCAAAAUCCAUUUGCAAGCUACAGAGUUUACAAACACUGGAUCUUGAAGGAUGUCUGGAGCUAGAAGAGUUGCCUAAAGACAUAAGGUACCUUGUCAGUCUCAGAGUGUUAGUGCUAACCACAAAACAGAAGUCUUUGCAAGAGAUUGGAAUAAGGAGCUUGGGUUCUCUUCGUUGUUUGACAAUUUCUGGUUGUAGGGAUUUAGAACAUUUGUUCGAGGAGAUAGAUCAAUUAAGUGUCCUUCGAACAUUAGUAAUUGUUAGUUGUCCUAGUCUAAUCUCAUUGCCACCUGCUAUCAAAUAUCUCAGCUCAUUAGAGACUCUGAUUUUGUCGGAUUGUGAAAGCCUUGAUCUUAAUCUGAACGUGGAAAUGGAAGGUGAAGGAAGUCAUCAUGAUCGCAAAAACACAAGGCCUCACAUUCGGAGGGUUUUCAUCGGGGAAAUAACACAGUUAUUAGAACUGCCACAAUGGCUUCUUCAAUGUUGUACUGAUUCUUUACAGAGCUUGUUAAUUUCUGAUUGUCCCAACUUCUUGGCACUACCAGGGUCUCUAAAAGAUCUCGAAGCUCUUGAAACUCUUGUCAUCGGGAAUUGUCCAAAAUUGUCAUCGCUGCCGGAGGGUAUGCAUCACGUCACAACUCUGAAAUCAUUGACCAUUAUAGGAUGUCCUGCACUGAGUGAACGAUGCGAACCGCCAACAGGUGAAGAUUGGCCCAAGAUUGCACAUAUCACUCAGAUUGAUAUGGAUGGUUCCCCAGUUUCAGUGCGUUGAAGACGAGAUAAUCAAAUCAAGAGAUAUUUAGGUAUGGAUUUUUUUUUUCAAUAAGCAUACCACUCUGUUAUAUUUCCUCUUUUCAUGCAGCUUUGUAAUUUUUAAUUUCUCAUACAGCUAUACCGUUUAUAGUUUAAUGUUUUGUUAUGUUUACCAAACGAAAACUGGACUUUGAACGUUAGUUAGUUCAAUCAAACUUGUACUAAUUUAUUUUCUUCUAAUAGAUAAGUAGUUUGUCAGUACAAAACACAAAAAUAAAAUUUUGGAAACCGCACUGUUCUAGGGGUCAGAUCUGUUUCUAAAUUCAAACAGUUCAGGAUUUUUCAAAAUGGAACUUAUAAUGAGAUUUUUUUUUUAAUUAUCUAGUUAUCUUCAUAUGGAAUUUCAAUCUUUGUUAAUACUUUAACUUGCGCCGAAACAUCUAACAAUUCUUCCUCUUAUCCUUUUUUUUUCCCAAAUAUUGCAGCUUUCUUGGGAGAGGUUCAACCAAACUGCAGGGACAGUGAAAAUAUUACUCUAACGUUUUUCAGAACAGAGCUUCAAAGGUUUUAAUGUUGAUAAACAAGUACAUUGAGUGAGGUAUAUGUGUGUGCCUGUGUGGUCAUCACAAACAGUGAAAAAGUCAUUUUAUCAAAUGAUUUGGUGAAAUUUCAAGUACUUUCAGCUUGGUUUUUGCAGUUAAUAGGAAGUAGUUUGGUCUUGGGAUGUGGUAUAUGUAUCAAGUUCUUAUUGCUGGUGAACAUUACUGGUUUAGUGUGUGAUCAUUUACUAUCACUGCAUGCAUUAUCAGUUUAUUUUAUUAAACUAUCCCAAAUCAGUAACGAAUCCUCAAUUCCCUCUGUUUUCUUUGGAUCCUAGUAGUGUUUGGCAUGCAUCAACUAGUGUUCAUGCAUGUGUCGGUUCAUCAUAGACAACUUCAGCACACAUACAACGGCCCUCAUUUCUCCUUGCUCCAAUCAAUCGAUGGCAGAAUCAUCACAGACACCUUGAGCUCUGUCGAAUCAUCAUAGACAAUUUGUGAUUAGUGGGAGCAUUACAAGAAAGUUACGACUACUUCAAACUGUUAGAUUUGUUAAUAUGAUUCGGCUAUAGUUCUAUAAUUGGUGAGUUUUUGUGGGUUUGUUUGAUAUUUUUUUGUGGGUUUGUUUCUUAUAAUCUUUAUCCAGUCAAAGCAAACGUUCGCCUCUCACAUUGACGGUUAGGCUAGAUGUUUGACCCUGAAUAAGAUGAUUGAGUUUAUUAUAGUCUUCUUAUAUUGUCGGUUCAAUAUCAUUUUGAAAUAUCACAUCAAUUUCACUUUUGGAGUUUUAAUCCAUGCCCAGUUACACCUUUAUUUUACUUUUAAGCUGCAACAUUGAGUCACAUUCUUUUUCUGUUAUUAUUACGAUUAGCGACUGGUACAGUGGUAUUUGAACUGCAUAGCGUGUCAACAUUCACUCUAAAUGUCUUAGAAACUCUGUCUAUCACUAAUUUCCUAGAACAGGCCUCGUUGACAGUCAAAGAUUUGAGGCGUCUUUGUCAUCGUAGUUAUAAUUGAUUGUGGAGAGUGAAAACGCACUGUGAUGAAUGAAUGCAAAAGCUAUGUAAUUAAGACUACAUUUCUUAGGUUGGUGACCACAAAUAAUCGGAAGGAUAUUCACAAUAGUGUUAUUGAAGCUCUAUAUGGAAUAAGGAGACCAAACCUGUAUGUGAUAAGAGUUGUAUGAAUACCAAAUGAAUUGUAAGAGGAUAUGGUUACUUUAGAUUGCAAUUUAAGAAUGCUUGAGUUCUAAAAGCACAGAAAUGGGAUCAGUCUCUUGCUCGAGGGUAAACUCCUUCGUCAGUUAGUGAACUGUCCAUCAAAAGUAAAUAUUUAUGUGAUUGAGAGAAAUUUUGGAUUUUUGAUGAAAACAAAAAUCCUGUAUGCAUUUGCUUGCCCCCAAGGAGCUGAAGAUUCUCAAAUUGUUUGUAGACGUAAUAGUUCUUCUGAUAUCAUUUGGCUUGCUAAUCUUUCUUGCUCGAAAAUUUGCCCGUUGUGUGGUCUUGAUGGUGGGUGAAAUUGAUGUGUGGUUUCAGAUGAAGACGGCAGCAGAUAUGUGUGUGCCAUAUGACAUCGAGAAAAAGCAAAAGCCUUAAAGAGUUCAUCAACAUUUUCCAUUCAGAAGAAUCUGUUUUGUGGUUUUCAUGCUCGAGUGCCUACUUUUCAGUAUGCAAGCAGAGGAUUUGGCAUUAAUUUGGGGAAGCCUUUUUUUUGGGUAUAUGAGUGUGUGCAUUCCUUCAAUCACGUAGCUUUGUGCCAUUAACAUAAUGGCAAUUCCACAAUUGUGAUAAUGAGAAUUUUAUGAUUGGGGCAUAUUGUUAGGAACUCUUUACUGGUUUUUCUUUCCCCAUCUGGAUCUAUGAUUAAGGUUGUUUAAGGUGUUAUGGCUUUUAAUCUGCAAUCAUUGCGAAAGGGACUCACUAGCCGGCAAAUAAUAAAACAUGGUGCUGUCAAAUUUUAUAAGGAUUAUAUAUACAUACUCUUUCGUCUUCAAUGCACUGAAACUGGGGAACCAUCUAUAUGAUUUUCAUUCAGAAAAACCGGCGGGAACUAAUGACUUUCAUGAUUAAAAGUAGGAUUAUCGGAUUAUGGAGCAUUGUUAUGUAACGUUUUAUGGUUAUCUUAAGGAAAAAGUUGGCUUGGAAAUUAACUGAAAGGCAAUAUUCAUUCUAUCAUAAAACAAGUGUUUUUUUCACAAGGGGAGAAGGUUCCCUUUAUAAUUUACUAAUUUAUGCAACCGUUAAUAUUAAAAGAAAUUUUUUUUUAUAUUAAGGAUGAUGAUUCUUUUUCCCUUAGUAAAGUCUGUAUAUAACAUAUGAUGUGGUAAGCAAGGAAUCAAUUUAUCCCCUAUUUUGUUUUUCUUACUUUUUUUUCCCAAAAUAUUGCAACUUUCUUUGAAGAGGUUCGGCCAAACUGCUGAGACCGUCAGUACAGAGGUUCAACGGUUUUUUAAUACUGCAUUUUAAAAUUACAUGUAUUAUAUAUUCAUUACUUGUGAUUAUGUAAUUUUCUGAUGAUAAGUACAUUGAGUAAUGUAUAUAUGUGUGGCUGUGUGAUCAUUACUGAUAAUCUUAAUCAUAUAUUUCAAUACCAAUAAUGUUUCAGAAUUUCUCAAAUUCUCAGAAUAUACUCUCAAAUUCAUGUUUAUACUCUGUUCUUUCUCUUUCUCCUUCCUGGGUAAAUAUAAUUCAUUUGAUCGGGCUCUAAAUCCAUUUGAUCAGCAAUUAUUCUUUACGAGUUUGGCAAUCGAGCAAACUGAUUAUCAGUUGGCAAACUAAUUAGAUAUUGCAUUUUGGCCUUGAAGUGAAAUUAGUGAACAUGUUUCUUGAGGGCUCUUUUUAUAAGACACUUGAAGAAGAAAAUUCAUAUUUUUGCAAUGCUUCUUUCUCAAUAUAAAAUGAGUAAUUCGAAAGAAAAUUUAUUAUAGUAGAAACUACAACAAAAAGUUUUAAGUAUUGUUAAUCACAUCAUCAUAUUACGGUAUUACCAUUUAAUUUUUUAUUUUUAUCUAGUUUAAAUGAAAAAUUAAAGAAGCUUGGAACUUGGAGGGUAAUUUGAAUUCCGAAACGGCACCGUUUCACCUCGACCCACUAGAUACAAACUGAUUAUGAGUGAUACCAACGAUUGACCACUGUGACAGAGAGCCUCUCUCGGCGACGCCGACGGCCAGCUUUCACGCUCAUCUGCCGUCAUAUUCGCCAGCCGCCUGCUGUCACUCCGUCUUUGUUGUUGCGCCGGUGAAGGUGAGUACCGAGUUGCCAGUUGAGUUCAAUGGUUGUAUUUUGUAAUAGCAAUUAUAAUUAUCGGGUUUAAUUUGGGACAAUUUUGAUCAUCAAACUUUGCCAUGUUUCGUAUGACUCUGUUCUGUCUCACAUAGCAGGUUCUUGGUAGUUCGUACUCAUCAAUGUAUCCUGAUCGUGGUAUGGGAGGCAGCAGUUACAUGGGUAGUGGUGGUUCCGGAUCAUACUAGUGCUACGGUAAAAAUUGAAUUGUAAGUGAAAUUUUCUUUUAUGUAAAAUUACAAUGAUAUGAUUUUCUUGGUGUAUCAUAAACUGAGGUAUAAUGGUUCACCGAAGACUUUGGCAUCUCUCCAGUUUGCUAAGACGUAUGGCUCACAACGAAGGAAUCUACGGUAACAAGUGAAUAUUCUAUGGAACAGACUUGAGAUGAUGACAAAGAGGGUGCUGUAAGUGUAGGGUGUGGACUAUAUGAAGCUUCUCACACUAGGAUGCUUGCUACUUUGGAGAGGAUCAAGUUGCUGAGCCUAACAGCCUCCAUAUGUCACGGGAAGGGCUGCACUGGUUUAGGCCAUUCUUGGUUCUACAGACUGAUUACUUUGUCAAGUCUUAAUGCUGCAAGGAAACUCCCCUCAGUGUGUGAUAUGUACGAAUUGCUUCUUUACUUUUCUGUAUAAGAACUCCACUCGAUGGACAGUGUGGAGGCAUCUGUAUAAAUCUGUUUAUUGGAACCGACCCUGUCUUGAUCCGAAUUUUAAAACCUAAUCGAAUUUUAAUAUCGAACCCAACCGGAUAUCUCGAUUCGAUUCGGUUUGGUUUUAAACUCGGUUCUAUUUUUUAGGAACCGCCAGCUUGGGUACGGAACCGAACCAAACCAAACCGUACACUGUGUGCCUCGGUAAAGAGUUUGAUUUCUCUAUUUUAACCUUAAUUAAAUAUUGAUUUCCAAUUUUACCCUUUAACAAAACUAAAUUAAAUAACAAUAAUUUUCACUUCCUUUUUUGAUUUCAUUUUACGGCUCAACAAAACGGGGUUUUUAAUUAAAUAUGCCUUAAAAGUACGGUAUUUAGUUAAAUAUACCUCAUGCUUGAAAAUUAUCUAAAUAUGCCUUUUUAUGUGGUACAUUGUCUAAAAUGUCCCUAAAGAAAAAUAUAAAACACACACAACUCACAACACUCUUUACUUCACUCUUUAACUCCACACAACAAAAACUCACACUACACUCAAAAUCACUCACAAACAGAUAAUGCACUGAGAUUUUUAUUUGCAGCUGGGUGUAUUAUUCAUCCCAUGAAUAAGGUAUUUGAAACUUUUUAUUUUUUAUUUUGGGCUAUCUAUUCAAUUUGUUGACAUUAUAUUAUUUUUAGGGUUUUGUUUGGUUUGUGAUAAACACUAAAGCAACUCUUAUUUUUAUUACAUUUGCAUCAUAUGAUUGUUAUUUGAUGGAUUUUAUAACUACAUUCGUUAAAACCUGAAGUUGUUGUCAAAUUUUUUUUCUGCACCCGACAUACACGACAGUAGUCGUGUAUGUAUGUAUUUACACGACUGUAGUCGUGAAAAUGUGCAAAAAAAAAUCAAUUAUUAUGACACCUUAUCAUUCUAUUGGUUCAAAAAAUAUAUUUUUUUCACUAUAUUUAUCAUUUUACUAUUACUGCACUAUAGUCGUGUGUGUUAAUAAGUUACACGACUACUAGCAUGUACGUAUAAACUUACAUACUAUAAUUGUGUAUAUAUGUAAAAUGUUCCAAUUGGUAUGAGAUCCCAACAUUUUUUUAAGAAGAAAUGUCCUUUGAUUAUUUACUGAGUCAUGUAUUUUUGCAACUUACACGACUUCUGUCAUGUAUGUAUGAAUUUACACGACAACAAUCGUACAAGUUUGAAAGAUAUAGUAGUUGUUAUGACACCUAACAUUCUGUUAGUACAAAGAUUAUGGUUAUAUUUUAUUAAAUAUAUCAUCUGACUGUUUACAGAACUAUAGUUGUGUAUUUUAGCAAGUUACACAACUAUUAUCGUGUAAACUAUCAAUUACACGACGUCAAUCGUGUAAAUAGGCAGACAAAUCCACACUUCAUUUUAAGUCUUGUGAACAUGCAUUAGCUGUUUGUAGGUAUCGAGAAACAUUGUCUGUAUAUGACAUGUGUUCUCGUUACUAUUCCAGUGAAGCAUGGGUUGUAGCAUACGCAGAAACAAUAUAUCCUGUUGGCAUAGAAGAAGAAAUUAGAGGUUUCAGAAAAAGUGCAAAGUAAUGAGGUGUUGCCCCCUGUGGAAAAGUGGAAAAGGGGUCGGCCACAACAAAUUAGGAUACCAUCACAAGGCGACGAAAAGUUACGCCGUAAGUGUGGUAGGUGUGGUUCUCGAGGACAUAAUCGACUAACUUGCAGUGCACCAAUCCCACUGUCUAACAAUGAGCCCGUAGUUAAAUCGAAUGAAACAUAAACAAGCACAUGUACUACUAUGAACCUUAUAUACUUGUUAUUUUUUGUUGUUUUAAUUUUUUUAAUAUCUUUCAUAUUUAGUGAUAAAUUUCUACCUUUUGUUUCACAGAUGAAUAACUGUGUUUGUGUGGCUUUCUAAGAAUAAGUAUUGAAGGGAGGCGACUAGAGGCUUAUAAAAUAUGGACCGAGUGUUUGGGUUGAAUAUGCCAAAAAUUUAUGAUGAAUGUUAAACAACUUCUAUUGUAUUACGACUUAUUUACGAUUUCAAUAAGUAUUGAAUUUAUGUUAUUUAAUAAGCAACCGGACUAUAGUUAAUUUCAUUUAUUUGAAGUUUGAUAUGUUUAAAAUCUAUAUUGAUUGUGUCAUCAAUAUAAUGAAUGAUUGAAAAGAGUUUUUAUUCUGUGCACAUACCCGAGUACAAUCGUGUAUUUUGGCUGUUACAGAACUACUCAUGUUUAUUUCUAAAUACUCGACUACAGUCGUGUAUCUGUGCAAAUACCCGACUGUCACAGAGAGCUUGUCAUGUUUAUUUCUAAAUACUCGACCAUAGUUGUGUAUCUGUGCAAAUACCUGACUGCAGUCGAGUAUUUUGUCACAGAGAGCUUAUUAUGUUUAUUUCUAAAUACCCGACUGCAGUCGUGUAUCUGUGCAAAUACCCGACUGCAGUCGAGUAUUUUGUCACAGAGAGCUUAUUAUGUUUAUUUCCAAAUACCCGACUGCAGUCGAGUAUUUUGUCACAGAGAGUUUGUCAUGUUUAUUUCUAAAUACCUGACUGUAGUCGUGUAUCUGUGCAAAAACCCGACUGCAAUCGUGUAUUUUCUUACAGUGUAUUCCCUGUGCAUAUAUGGCAAUCCUGUUAUAUCACAUAGAUUGUACAAACUAUCUUAUCUAUCAUUAAUAUAAUUAACAAAGAAAUAAAUUAUAUUAAUGUUGUCAAUUUUCUUUAAUGACAUCAAAUAUCAACAACAUCCUCAUCAUAACUAUUACAUCUCAUAGUCCAAAAAAUGACACUACAAAGUUUUUUUUCAUGACCUAUGCCUAAAUAAUUUUACAGCCAAGGCUUGUCGAAAUUGUGUAACAUGAUCUUGUUGGCAAUAUAAAUUGACAUCAAGUCCAUGGGCUAGGACCUUUAAGUACCGCAACAAAAAUGCUCCACAAUCACCACUAAAAAAAUUCAUAUAAAUCAAUUGUUAAAAAUCAUCAUUUUAUGUGAUUUCAGCAUUGAAGUAUUUGCAGGUACUAUACAAAGGCAUUAUAGUUCCCAAUCAAGAAUAUGGAAUUUGUCUCGACAACUUGAAUAACAAAUCUCUGUACUUCCCAGUUUCAAAGUACUGGUAACAGAAACACAUUUUGGCAGUAACACAUUUUUCCAGUUUUUCCAUAGUUCUCAUCACCUUGUGACAAAUUUGUAAAUCACAAGUUAUUCCUCUUUUUCUCUUUUAUAAUAUAACAUUAUUAAUCAAAUAAAAUGCAAUUAAUUUGUUCAAUGACUUUAUCACAACUUCAUGAACUAAUUUCAAGACAACUCCUAGUCUUAGUUCUCAACUGCAAGUAUUGAAGUUGGGUUGAUUAUUUCUUGAUAGAAGUGACACCAAAAUCGAAAUUGAUGUGCAUUUUAUAUGUGUAAUUUGCCCAAAAAGAAUUAAAGAUUCAAGAACCUUGCAAGGAGAGAAAGUUGCCAUGUGUGCAAAUGUGGUCCACUUAAAUAAAAAUGAAAUUCUGGAGACAAACAAAACAACAAAAUGUACACGUUGCCAUCUGCAUUCACUCAAAACUCAAUUCGCUUAACCGGGCCAUAUACUCCUCAUGGAUGGAAAGUAAAAUCCUAGUCUCACCUAACAUUUUCACAGAUAUUAAAUUGAUAAAUUACCUUCAAUUUUUCGUUUUACUUGUUUUGGCGCGUUUCAACGAGAGUGUAGAAGAGUUGUUGUAAAAUGGCAGGGAUUUGUAAAAUGGAAGAUGAGACGCUGAAGGAGAGUGGGGGAAUUGCAGCUACUGGUUUGCACAGAAGCGGCGUCGUUUUACUUGUUUUGCUGCGUUUCGGCUAGAGUGUGUAGAAGAAUUGUUGUAAAAUUGCAGGGAUUUGUAAAAUGGAGGAGGAGAAAUCAGAAGAAGGGGCUGAAGGAGACGCUGCUCAUGAGAGAAUUGGGGGUUUUGUUAAUUGGUUGUGGUAGUUUGGUUGAUUUAGGUUUUUCAUUAGGUUAAUUUCGUAACUGCACAUUAGAAAAAGUAUAUACAGUGAAUUUUUGAGUAUGAGGGUGUUUUUAGAUAAAUACCCUAUUUUUAGGGUAUACCACGGACAAAUCCCUGCAACGGAAUCUCUCAAAACCGUUGUUCUGAACUUCCGGCGGCUUUCAGUACCGGCGAAGGCUGAAGAUUCAAGCAAUAGAGCUGCUCAUGAUGAGGGGAAGGAGAAGAAGACUUAGCGAGUUCGCAAGAACGUAUAUAGAGGAAUAAGGGAGAGGCCGUGGGAAAAAUGGGCAGUUGAAAUUAGAGACCCUUUCAAGGGCGUCCGCGUUUGGCUCGGCACACUUUCAACACAGCCGAAGCCACCAAGCGUAUCCGCGGCAACAAGGCCUAGCUCAACUUUGCUCUGCCGCCGCCGGCGCCAAUAACUCCACCUCUAGCUAAGAAACGCUGCACGCUAUCUCCUGCUAUCCCCUGAGUUACUCAGCCGAGUUUUGAAGAUUACUUUUUUUUUUCUUUUGGGCUUUCAUUGGUUUAUCAUUUGAGUCUACAAACAAAUUGUAUUCUUUUUCCCUAAAUUGUGAACACUUGGGGUUUUUAUUGUUGAAAUGCUUUAUUAUUUUUCGAUGACCAAGUAAUGUGAAUCAAUGUUCUCUUUAAAUAAUUUUCCCCUGUCCUUGCAUGUUCUACCGGUCAUUAUUUUUUAUUUGAAUUUGAAGAAACUUUCUAAGUGCAUACACCCAUAUGAAGUCGAAGAUCUUCCAGACAAGGUGGCAUCCAUCAAGAUCAAGAAAUUUUACUGCUUAGCAUGUGUUAUAUUUAUGGAUUGGCUAUUGAAAAAAUAAUGUUUGUACUGAUGCAGAUGCAGGAACUUUACACAUCUUAAGUUUACGUGAUAUUUUUUUCUUUUUUGACUCUGUUAGAUAGUUGUCAGUUAGUUAACCAAUUUAUGUUACUCUUCCUUGGCUAGCCAAUUAAGAACUCAUGUUUGCUGGAUUGUAAAGCCUACAUCUGGAAGCCACAGGUGAUUUUAUUUGAAGGCAAUUUGUUCUAGGCUAUAUGCGGAUUUCUAUCAUGAUUUCUGUAAGCUUGAAGGAGAUUUUUUUUAUGCGUGAGAGCUUGAAAAUUAUAUAUGUACAUGUUGAAACUAUUGGAUAUAUGUUAAGAAUCAAGCAUAAUUGUGUCGAGAUGAAACCAUAAUUUGGGUGCUGUUUUAUGAGUAAACUAUCUGCAAUUUGGGUGCAGUAAACCUAGGUUGAAUACCGGGACAUGGUAUAAAAGUGAAAUCACACAUUGAGUCUCGCAUAAAGAUUUUAAAGAUGCAAAUUCGAAUUGUACAUGAGAUGUUAUCUUGAUCGAAUUGCAGCGGCUUUGUUUUGGAUCCAGAAAACAAAAUUGUAAGCACAGAGAAGUCUCUAUGGGAUGCUUAUAUUAAGGUGCAUAAUGGCCUCAUUGAGUUUUGUGUUGUUGUUCUACGUUGUUUGAGUUUUGUGCUUCUGUUCUUUGUUGCUGCUUUUGCUACCGAUUUUGGCUAUUUUCUGCCACUCUGUUAUUUGCUAUUUUUUACUACUUUGGCUGCUGAUUUUUGCUGUUUUCGCUGCUUUAGCUGUUGUUUUGUCUGCUUUUUUUUUUUUUUUUUACUGCUCUUAUUGUUGAUUUUUGCUGUUCUCUAUCGUGUUUUACCCACUGGUUGUCGCAUGUUUAUUAAUACUGUUUGCUGCUGUUUUUUGCUGCUAAUUUUUUUUUUUUUUUUUCUGUUUUCUGCGGUUAUUUGCUGCCGUUGCUGUUUUACUCGCCAGUUGAUGAUGUUUUGUGGUUCUCCUCCUCCUCGAGUGCCUACUUUUUCCAGUGUGCAAGCAUAUCUGUUGAGAGUGGCUGAUGAAAUCACUAAACUGUUACAGUUGAUCUCAUGCUUCUCUAGAGAAGGAAUUAGACUUAUUUUGGUGAAGGGGUUUUUUCUGGUUUUUAUAUCAGUGUGUGCGUUUCUUCAAUCAUGUAGCUUUGUGGCAUUACGAUCGAUAAUGUAAUUUGCUGAUGAUAAGUACACUGAGUGAUGUAUAUAUGUGUGGCUGUGUGAUCAUUACUGAUAAAUUCAUUUGAUCAGCAAUUAUUCUUUACGAGUUUGGUAAUCGAGCAAACUGAUUAUCAGUUGGCAAACUAAUUAGAUAUUGCAUUUUGGCCUUGAAGUGAAAUUAGUGAACAUGUUUCUUGAGGGCUUCUUUUAUAAGACACUUGAAGAAGAAAAUUCAUGUUUUUGCAAAACUUCUUUCUCAAUAUAAAAUGAUAAUUCGAAAGAAUAUUUAUUAAAGAAGCUUGGAACUUGGAGGGCAAUUUGAAUUCUGAAACGGCACCGUUUCACCUCGACCCACUAGAUACAAACUGAUUAUGAGUGACACCAACGAUUGACCGCUGAGACAGAGAACCUCUCUCGGUGACGCCGACGGCCAGCUUUCACGCUCAUCUGCCGUCAUAUUCGGCAGCCGCCUGCCGUCACUCCGUCUUUGUUGUUGCGCCGGUGAAGGUGAGUACCGAGUUGUCAGUUGAGUUCAAUAGUUGUAUUUUGUAAUAGCAAUUACAAUUAUCGGGUUUAAUUUGGGACAAUUUUGAUCAUCAAUCUUUGCCAUGUUUCGUAUGACUCUGUUCUGUCUCACAUAGCAGGUUCUUGGUAGCUCGUACUCAUCAAUGUAUCCUGAUCGUGGUAUGGGAGGCAGCAGUUACAUGGGUAGUGGUGGUUCCGGAUCAUACUAGUGAUGUGGUAAAAAUUGAAUUGUAAGUGAAAUUUUCUUUUAUGUAAAAUUACAAUGAUCUAAUUUUCUUGGUGCAUUAUAAACUGAGACAUAAUGGUUCACCGAAGACUUUGGCAUCUCUCAAGUUAGCUAAGACGCAUGGUUCACGACAAAGGAAUCUACGGUAACAAGUGAAUUUUCUAUGGAACAGACUUGAGAUGAUGACAAAGAGGCUGCUGUAGGGUGUGGACUAUAUGAAGCUUCUCGCAUUAGGAUGCUUGCUACUUUGGAGAGGAUCAAGUUGCUGAGCCUAACAGCCUCCAUAUGUCAUGGGAAGGGCUGCACUGGUUUAGGCCAUUCUUGGUUCUACAGACUGAUUACUUUGUCAAGUCUUAAUGCUGCAAGGAAACUCCCCUCAGUGUGUGAUAUGUACGAAUUGCUUCUUUACUUUUCUGUAUAAGAACUCCACUUGAUGGACAGUGUGGAGGCAUCUGCAUAAAUCUGUUUAUUGGAAUCAACCCUGUCUGAUCCGAAUUUUAAAACCGAAUCGAAUUUUAAUAUCGAACCCAACCGGAUAUCUUGGUUCGAUUCGGUUUGAUUUUAAGCUCGGUUCUAUUUUUUAGGAACCGCCAGCUUGGGUACGGAACCGAACCAAACCAAACCAAACCGUACACUGUGUGCCUCAGUAAAGAGUUUGAUUUCUCUAUUUUAACCUUAAUUAAAUAUUGAUUUCCAAUUUUACCCUUUAACAAAACUAAAUUAAAUAACAAUAAUUUUCACUUGCUUUUUCGAUUUCAUUUUACGGCUCAACAAAAUCUCUCAAAACCGUUGUUCUGAACUUCCGGCGGCUUUCAGUACCGGCGAAGGCUGAAGAUUCAAGCAAUAGAGCUGCUCAUGAUGAGGGGAAGGAGAAGAAGACUUAGCCGAGUUUUGAAGAUUACUUUUUUUUUUUCUUUUGGGUUUUCAUUGGUUUAUCAUUUGAGUCUACAAACAAAUGGUAUUCUUUUUCCCUAAAUUGUGAACACUUGGGGUUUUUAUUGUUGAAAUGCUUUAUUAUUUUUCGAUGACCAAGUAAUGUGAAUCAAUGUUCUCUUUAAAUAAUUUUCCCCUGUCCUUGCAUGUUCUACCGGUCAUUAUUUUUUAUUUGAAUUUGAAGAAACUUUCUAAGUGCAUACACCCAUAUGAAGUCGAAGAUCUUCCAGACAAGGUGGCAUCCAUCAAGAUCAAGAAAUUUUACUGCUUAGCAUGUGUUAUAUUUAUGGAUUGGCUAUUGAAAAAAUAAUGUUUGUACUGAUGCAGAUGCAGGAACUUUACACAUCUUAAGUUUACGUGAUAUUUUUUUCUUUUUUGACUCUGUUAGAUAGUUGUCAGUUAGUUAACCAAUUUAUGUUACUCUUCCUUGGCUAGCCAAUUAAGAACUCAUGUUUGCUGGAUUGUAAAGCCUACAUCUGGAAGCCACAGGUGAUUUUAUUUGAAGGCAAUUUGUUCUAGGCUAUAUGCGGAUUUCUAUCAUGAUUUCUGUAAGCUUGAAGGAGAUUUUUUUUAUGCGUGAGAGCUUGAAAUUAUAUAUGUACAUGUUGAAACUAUUGGAUAUAUGUUAAGAAUCAAGCAUAAUUGUGUCGAGAUGAAACCAUAAUUUGGGUGCUGUUUUAUGAGUAAACUAUCUGCAAUUUGGGUGCAGUAAACCUAGGUUGAAUACCGGGACAUGGUAUAAAAGUGAAAUCACACAUUGAGUCUCGCAUAAAGAUUUUAAAGAUGCAAAUUCGAAUUGUACAUGAGAUGUUAUCUUGAUCGAAUUGCAGCGGCUUUGUUUUGGAUCCAGAAAACAAAAUUGUAAGCACAGAGAAGUCUCUAUGGGAUGCUUAUAUUAAGGUGCAUAAUGGCCUCAUUGAGUUUUGUGUUGUUGUUCUACGUUGUUUGAGUUUUGUGCUUCUGUUCUUUGUUGCUGCUUUUGCUACCGAUUUUGGCUAUUUUCUGCCACUCUGUUAUUUGCUAUUUUUUACUACUUUGGCUGCUGAUUUUUGCUGUUUUCGCUGCUUUAGCUGUUGUUUUGUCUGCUUUUUUUUUUUUUUUUUUACUGCUCUUAUUGUUGAUUUUUGCUGUUCUCUAUCGUGUUUUACCCACUGGUUGUCGCAUGUUUAUUAAUACUGUUUGCUGCUGUUUUUUGCUGCUAAUUUUUUUUUUUUUUUUUCUGUUUUCUGCGGUUAUUUGCUGCCGUUGCUGUUUUACUCGCCAGUUGAUGAUGUUUUGUGGUUCUCCUCCUCCUCGAGUGCCUACUUUUUCCAGUGUGCAAGCAUAUCUGUUGAGAGUGGCUGAUGAAAUCACUAAACUGUUACAGUUGAUCUCAUGCUUCUCUAGAGAAGGAAUUAGACUUAUUUUGGUGAAGGGGUUUUUUCUGGUUUUUAUAUCAGUGUGUGCGUUUCUUCAAUCAUGUAGCUUUGUGGCAUUACGAUCGAUAAUGGCAACUCCACAAUGAUGAUAAUGAUAAUUUUGUGAUUCAGACACGUUGUUAGGAAUUCUGUACUGGUUUUUCUCUCGCCUUCGGUGUCUACGAUGAAGCAUAUAAUGGCUUUUAAUCUGCAACUGCUGCAAAAUGGACUCACUAGCUAGCAAAUAAUAAUAUAUAGUGCUGUCAAAUUUAUAAAGAUUAUAUAUACACACACUUUCGUGUUCAAUGCACCGACACUGGAUGUAUAUUGGCAUUUAGAAAAGUUGGCGAUAACUAAUGACUUUCAAGAUUAAUUAAAUGACAAUAUUCAGUCUAUCAUAAAACAAGUUUUCAACAAGUGAAGAGGAGGUACUCUUUAUAAUUGGAUAAUUAAUGCAAACUUCAAUAUUUUCAACCAAAAGAAAACAAUGAUAUUUGAUAUGUAUUCAACAUUAGGGAAAAACCACCCAUAUCGAAGGUUUGCUUAAAUGAUCAAAUAAAUCCACUUAGUUUCUUAAAUGGUUAUACAUAUCCUCUUUUUGACUAUUUAUUGGGUUAUGUUUGAGAGUUAGGACUAAGUGUGGGAUUAUACUAACUUUGAGAUUAAAUAUUAUUCCAUAUUUAGCAAUUUUCCUUGGAUUGGAUUAUGAGAGACUAAAUUCUAAGUUAGUUGUUAAAUAAAGGGGAUUGGCAAUACCAAUUUAUAAAUAGAUUUAAAUGGGAUUAGAAUAAGAGGAAAAAAUGUUCAUUUGUAAUAUUUCUUUCAUAUAUAACACCAUCUUUUAUUUAUUACUUAAAAUUUAAUUAAUGAAUUAAUUAUUCUAUUCAUGAUUUACUUGAAAUAUAUUUUUUAUUUUGUUUUUAUAUUCUAAUUAAAUUGGUACUUUAAUUUAAUAAUUUGUUACAUUAAUUGAUUGUACUAAAUUUAAUAAUCACCAAUGUAAUAUUAAAAUAUAAUUAUGAAAAUUAAUAAUACUAGUAAUUAAUUGAUUUUAUAUAUUAUUUGUUAAUUUUUGGAUAAAAUAAAAUAUAUAUCUAAAAUAUCUAAAUAAUCAAAAACUUUUAUUAAUUUAUAUUUUUUAUUACAAUUAUGACUACCCAUAAGUAAUUUAUUGUAUAUUUAAUGUUCUUAUUAAUUAUAUUUAAAUUAGUCUUAAUUAUUAUUCUUAAAUAUUCAUAAAUAGUUUUUUAUUUAAAUAUAAUUUAACAUUGUCUAAUCUAAUGUUGUACCAAACAUAAGACAAUACUGUAUAAUCCCACAUAAUACUUAGUCCAAUUUAGUCUUGCAUGCCAAAUGUAAUCUUAUACACUUUCAUUACAACAAGCCAAUAAUUGACUUAAAUAAACUUCUAUAACAAUUAUAAGUUAAAAUUAAAAUAAUAUGAUAUAUAAAAUAAGAUAAAAUUUAUAAAUUAUUUUGAAUAUUAGACAAAUGAUUUUAACAUUAUUAAUUUGUCAUAUUCUUUUACUACUAAUAAAAUAUGUUUGACAAAUUAAUAAUAUUAAAAUAAUUAUACCUAACAUUCACAAUAAUUUAUAAAAUUUAUAUAUUUUGUUUGCAAUUUUUUUUAAUUAUGUCUAUAUUAAUAUAAAUCUUAAAGUCAAUUUUUGGAUUAAUAGAUUUUAGUAUAUAUAAUAAUAACUUAAUAUUAAAAAUAAUUUUCAUUACAUACGUUAUUCUAUUAAUUAUCUUAUUGUAAUAUUUUAUUUGUAUCAUAUGAUAUUUAUUAAUUAUUAUUUUUAUCUUAUUACUAUAUUUAUAUUUAUUUGUGUUGUUGUAAUCAAAGGGUAUAGUAACUAAAAAUGUGUUUAUGUGACUAUUUAACCUAAAGGGUCUUUGUGACCAUUUAAGUAAACCUUGGAAAUGUGCGACAAUAGUCAUUCUAAUGACUUUCAAGAUUGAAAGUGAGUCGGAUUAUCAAAUUAUGAAGCAUUAAUACGUAAUGUUUUAUGGUUAUUUUAAGGUUGAAGUUGGUUUAUUCAUUAAACAAGCUUUUAACAAGAGGAGAAGGUUCCCUUUAUAAUUUAAUAAUUAAUACAACCUUCAAUAACAAAAAAAUCAUAUAAUAAGGAUGAUGAUUCUUGCUCACUUGGAUAAGAUAUAUAUAUAUAUAAAACCUAUGAUGUGGUAAGCAAGGAAUCAAUUAUGUAUUUCUUAAUCAAUUCAAUUUCUCUAUUACAUUUUCAUGGCGAAUGUCCCUUACUUCCAUUACCUUGGGAUUGUAAAAUGAUGCUUAAUGCUGCUUUCAAAAAAUUAACAUACACAUCCUUUUAUUCUAAUGGAUCAUAGCACGCAAUGCAUUACCAAUAGGGAUGACUAAAAUCUCCGCAGAGACGGGUACCUUCGUAGAUUUUUCUAAGUAAGACUUGUGUCGUCUUGUCCUCUGGCAAGUUUUGUUUUGUCUUGUCCUACUGACAAGUUUGCUUGAUAUAUUUUAAGGAUUGGUCGUCAACUUCUUCUUUUACUUGUUUUGGGGUGGACUCAUUCUGUUAAUCACAAGUGGUAUGGCAUCUAAUAGCAAUUCAAUGGAGCCUGAGAUGACUGCUGCAUAUGAUUCGUUCUCCAUAGGUGAGGACGAGGAGGAUGGCCUUGUCUUCCAGAGUGAUGAUAUGGCAACGGGGCAGGAAGGUUUGAAUGAUGUUAGAUUCUGUUUGGUGGGGCGGUUUUUAACGGAUAAAGUGAUUAAUUUCCCAGCUAUGAAGAAUACAAUGGCAGCAUUAUGGCGGCCAGGAAAGGGCGUAUGCAUUAAAGAUUUAUCAUCCACCCUUUUCUUGUUUCAAUUUUUUCAUGAGAUUGAUCUGCAACUUGUCAUUGAUUCGGGCCCAUGGACAUUCGAUCAACAUAUUCUAAUUCUACAGAGAUUGGGGGAGCAUGAUCAGCCACAUAGGGUCCCUUUAUAUCAUACUUUCUUUUGGAUUCAAGUGUAUAACUUACCCAUUGGAUUCCAAUCGGAGAAGGUGUUGACAAACAUUGGUAACUAUAUUGGUGAGUUCCAAGCUUCGGAUCCUAACAAUCUCAUGGGAGUAAGAGUCUCAAUAGAUGUCCGGAAGCCUUUGAAGAAAAGAUUGCGUCUGAAGAAGGAGGGGGGGGGGAGUGGUUUUGGGUUGAUUUUAAAUAUGAAAGGUUGAAUGUUUUCUGUUUCAUCUGUGGGCUGCUUGGGCACACCGAAAAACUAUGUCCGAAGCUGUAUGAAUGUGUGGCUACUGAUAUGGUUAGGCUGUAUGGACCAGAGAUGAAUGCUCCAACUCGUCGGAAUGCAAUGUCUUCCGGUGAUCGGUGGCUACGUUCAGUACCUCCGGACGAAGGUGGGUUCAUGUUUGGUAAGUCCACGGAAUUCGUAAGUGGUGCAGAGAUUAAGGAUAUGAAUGCCACAAAAUUGGGAGUUACCACUAAUAGGAAGAUGCCUCACAGUUUAGGAAGGGAUGGGUAUGAGAAUAUGGAAAUCAUGGAGAUAUCAAAGGGAUUGGCAGUUGUCAAAGCACGUGAGAGUCAAAGGAAUGAUAAGGGGAAAGGGGUGGAUUGGCUUGCUAAUGGGAUGGAUCUUGUUCACACGGCUGAUAGCUGUAGAGAGAAAGGAAUCGUUCUAAAGGAAGCUAAACGGAGACGGGCCGAGAUUGAUUUGGAUGGGCUUGGGCAAUCAGAGGAAGAUGAGCAAUCUAUGGUCAUGGAUCCAAAAAACGGACUAGCGGUGGGACUUGGUUUUCAGGCCCACCGAGACCAAUGAGUACCUUGAGCUGGAACUGCCGUGGUUUGGGCCAGCCACGGACAGUUCGAAUGUUAACAGAACUGGUUCGUAGGAAAAAACCUUCUUUUAUAUUCCUUAUAGAAACGUUAUGUAGUAAAAGUAAACUAGAAAGUAUUAAAAGACAGUUGGGCUAUGACGGGCUUUUUGUUGUGGACCGAGUGGGCCGAAGUGGAGGACUUGCGCUUCUUUGGCAGGCAACUAGUUCUGUGAAGCUUCUGAAGUAUGCUACCAAUUUUAUAGAUGCUGAAAUUGAAGAUCAGGAGGUAGGAAAGUGGAGGCUGACUGGCUUUUAUGGCUAUCCUGAGACUAGCAGGAGGCGGGAAUCGUGGGACUUGCUCCGCUUACUUUCUACUUCAUCCUCUCUUCCUUGGCUAUGCAUAGGGGAUUUUAAUGAUCUUUUGGCGGCAAAUGAGAAGAGGGGCAAAAUUGUUCAUCAUAAUUGGAAGUUAGUGGGCUUUCAAAAAGCUAUUGCAGAUUGCAAUCUGCUUGAUCUUGGUGUCGAGGGAUAUCAGUAUACUUGGGAGAGGGCUAGGGGAACUGAUCGGUGGGUUGAGGAAAGACUUGACAGGGCCUUUGCUUCUGAGGCGUGGCUGCAGCGUUUCACCAGAGCAAAGGUAUAUAGUUUAGAAUCUUCUUGUUCUGAUCACCUCCCUAUAUUUUUGGAUCCUAGCCCAGCUCAGUAUGUUACGAGGAAUAGGCGUUUUCGGUUUGAAAAUAUAUGGAUGCGUGAGGCGGACUGCAGUGAGGUUAUUCGGGAAAGUUGGUAUUCUCACCCAAGGAAUUCUAUCCAACGUAAAAUUUUGGCUUGUGGGUCUGCUUUAACGGAGUGGGGGGGUCAUUUAGGCCGAAACUUUCGUAAGCGUAUUAUGGACUGCAAGAACCGAAUGACUUCUUUAAGAGGGCGUCGUGAUAGAAAAGGUGUGACUGAGUUUACGGAGGCUCGAAAUCGUUAUAAUGAGUUGCUGCAUAGUCAUGAGGUGUUCUGGAAACAGCGGGCAAAAUCGCUUUGGCUAAAAGAAGGAGAUAAGAACACUCGUUACUUUCAUGCUUCGGCUUCAGCACGGAAAAGGCAAAAUUCCUUGGGGAAUCUUCGUAAUGAUCAAGGAGAAUGGUGCGCCAAUUCUGUUGAGGUGGAUGCAUUGAUAGUUGAUUACUUUACGAGCUUGUUUACAGCUGGAGGAGUCCAAACUGCCGAAGUUAUUCAGUGUGUGGAUACUAAAGUUACAAGUGAACAUAAUUCAAUGUUGUUAGCUCCAUUUUCUGCCAUUGAAGUGAAAUAAGCAGUAUUUGGUAUGCACCCGGAUAAGUCUCCAGGUCCUGAUGGGAUGAACCCGGCCUUCUACCAAAAGUUCUGGCAUAUCGUGGGUGAGGAUGUGGUUAUGGCUUGCCUCAAUCUUCUUCAGGAUGCUUCCUUUCCGGUAGGCUUGAAUGAUACUUCCAUUGUUUUAAUUCCGAAUAAGCAAAGGCCUGAAUUUUUAUCAGAUAUGCGACCUAUUGCAUUAUGCAAUGUUCUUUAUAAGAUAAUUUCUAAAAUGUUAGCUAACCGUAUGAAAUUAGUGCUUGAGUUGGCUAUUUCAGAUUCCCAAAGCGCCUUUGUGCCGGGACGAGCUAUCACUGAUAACAUAAUCAUAUCGGCUGAGAUUAUGCACUUCUUGAAGCGAAAACGGCAAGGAAAAAAUGGGGUAGCUGCAUUGAAAAUUGAUAUGUCUAAGGCGUAUGAUAGGAUCGAGUGGAAUUUUCUUCAAGAUAUGAUGCUCAAGAUGGGGUUUGCUGCCAAGUGGGUGGAAUUAAUGAUGCUCUGCGUUUCUACUGUCCGAUACCGCGUGCUCCGUGAGGGUAAGGAGAUUGGUCCGAUUGUUCCCUGCAGAGGCCUUCGCCAAGGGGAUCCUUUAUCCCCGUACUUAUUUAUUAUAUGUGCAGAGGGGUUAAGUUCAUUGAUUCGCAGGCAAGAGAGUAAUGGAUUGCUUCACGGAGUUAGAAUUGCGAGAGGAGCUCCAACAGUGUCUCAUUUGUUUUUUGCGGAUGAUAGUUUCCUGUUCUUUCGGGCAAACAACAAUGAAGCUUACUUAAUCAAGCACUUGCUGGCCAUAUAUGGACGAGCCUCUGGCCAAGUUGUUAACUUCAGUAAAUCUGCAAUCUCAUUUAGUGCUAAUGUAGUUGAAAGCGUAACUCGGGAGGUCUGUGCUAUUCUUGCGGUUAAUUCCACUGCUAAUCACGGGACUUAUCUUGGACUGCCAUCAGCCAUUGGUAGGAAAAAGAAAGAAGUGUUCCAAUAUAUUAGAGACAAGUUAUGGCAAAGACUUCAAGGUUGGGGGUCGCGGAUGCUUUCUCGGGCUGGAAAGGAGAUUUUGUUAAAAACAGUGGCCCUUGCUAUGCCUAAUUAUGUUAUGAGUAUUUAUUUGCUGCCCAAAGAGCUAUGUAGAGAGCUAGAAGUGUUGAUGAAUUCUUUCUGGUGGCGUAAUAAUCACAGUGGUGGGACAGGAAUUAAUUGGGUUAAGUGGAAAUACUUGUGCAAACCAAAGGGGUGUGGUGGACUUGGGUUCAAGCAAUUUUAUUUAUUUAACAUUGCGAUGUUAGGAAGGCAGAUGUGGAAGUUAUUAACCUGCCCUGAUUCUCUAAUGGCGAGAAUUCUUAAAGCUCGGUACUAUCCGCGAACUUCUGUAGUUCGAGCUUCGUUGGGGCAUAAUCCCAGCUAUGUAUGGCGUUCCAUUCUGGCUGCAAAGGAAGUGGUGGUCCAAGGGAGUAGAGUGCAGGUUGGCAGUGGUCGUUCGAUAUCCAUUGGUAAAGAUCCUUGGCUUCCAGACCUCCAAGAUGGGUGUGUUUCUACAAAUCUUAAUGAGGAGCUAGCUACAGCUCCUGUCAGCAGCUUAAUGAUGCCUCACCAACGAGCUUGGGACUAUAAUGCUGUUUCGGACAUCUUCAAUUCAAGAGAUAAGGAGUUGAUUCUGAAGAUUCCUCUUAGUUCCCGCCGCGAAGAUGAUGUGUGGUAUUGGAUGGCGGAUUCCCGGGGAUGUUAUUCAGUUCGCAGCUGCUAUAAGGUUUUAAAUCCUAUCACUCCCGGUUCCUUAGCGGAUGUGUGGAGGAAAUUGUGGAACUCGAAAGUGCCGAACAAGGUUAAGAAUUUUAUUUGGAGAGCUGCACACAACGUGUUGCCUACAGCACUCAAUUUAAUUUCCAAAAGGGUGGAUGUUCCAGCUAUGUGUUCUGUAUGCAAUGCCUACGAAGAAACAGUUUUACACUCCUUGGUUGCCUGCAGUUUUGCUAAGUCUUGUUGGACUUCUUCAUCGGUGGGUUUUGUUGGCUAUUGCUCUAAUUUUUUGGACUGGCUCGCUCACGUUUUUACAAGGUGCAGUAAAGAUGAGUGUAAUAUUGCUAUGAUGAUUUGUUGGCGGAUUUGGGUAAAUCGAAACAACAAAGUUUGGAACAACACUACCAGCUCAGUUUGUCAAAUUCUCAACUCUGCUGGACAGUUUCUCUAUCAGUGGCAAGCGGCAAAACAGCAAGUAUUUGAUGUUAAUGAUGAUACUCACAGAUUGGUUCAUGGGGCAUUGUGUUGGGAGCAACCUAAGUUUGGGUGGGUAAAGUGCAAUGUGAAUGCAGCUGUGUUUGAGUCUCAAGGGAAGAUUGGGAUCGGUUGUGUGAUUCGUAAUUCACAAGGAGGUUUUGUGGCAGCAAGGUGUGUGAGUGUGGCAGGAAUUUUUGGAGCAAGGGAGGCUGAAGCUCUUGGCAUAAGAGAGGCUCUUAGUUGGAUGAAAGAACUGCAGAUUCCAUGUGUUAUCAUAGAGAUGGACUGCCUACAAGUGUUCCGAGCUUUGGUUGAACAGUUUUCAAGUCCAAAUGGGUUUGGUUUGAUUAUUGAAGACUGUCAAGCUUUAGUUAAGUUUAUCGGAGAAGUGCAAUUCUCCUUUGUGCGUCGAUCUGCGAAUCUUGCUGCUCACUCCGUUGCGAGGGCAACAGGUUCUUUGUCAGGUCCCCAGGAGUGGAAUGUUGUUCCACCUCUGUGGUUGUUAAACAGUUUGUAAGUUUUGCUUAAUGAAAUUUCUUCCUUUCAAAAAAAAAAAUAAAAAUGAAUAAUCCUUUAACGAAGGUUAUAAUCAAUUGCAGGUUUCUAGUUUGGCUGCUUAGUUUUAGGACUACGAAUAUUACAAUAUCAUAAUUAAAGGAAAGAAUAUAUGCGGUAGUCUUUGCCUGAUCUACUUUCUUCUUCUUAAUAAACCACGUAAAAGGAAAGAAUAUUGUAUACGCAGCACACUAUAAUACUCUAAUUACCAAUUCUUUAUCUUAUAAUAUAAGUUCAUAGUGAUUAAUUUGUCCUUCUUCAGCAAAAAACAAAUCACAUUUCAGCACAUCUACAAGAGCCCUCAUUUCUCUUUGCUCCAGCCAAUUGAUAGCAGAAUCAUCACAGACACCUUGAGCUCCGUCAAUCAUCAUAGACAAUUGGUGACUAGUGGGAGCAUUUCAAGGAAGGUACGACGAGUACAAACUGAUAGAUUUGUUUAUAUGAUUCGGCUGUAGUUUUUAUAUAUGGUUAAAUUAUGACAAUAAUCAAGAGAUAAUCAUGUACCUCAUUAGUUUCAUAAAUGUACAUACUAAUUUAUUCCCCUGCUUGCCAGAAUCAAACAUGUAGAAUAAGAUAAAUUUUAAGAUUUAAAAUUUUCAAUUCAUUAAAAAUCUAGUGGGAUAUUAAUCGGUAAAACCACUUAGGGGUAGUACAAGAGGUUUGUGGUGCUAACCAAUUUAUGUGAGUGGAGAAAGAAUUAGGCUUUUUUAAUAAAAAUUAAUAAUCAUAUUAAUAAAAUGACAUAAAUUUCAAGAUUUAAAACUUUAGACAUCAUUAGAAGUAAGAGGGGGAUCGUAAAAACUUUGAAUGUAACUUAUCGGUAGUGGAAUGGAUUUUUUUUUUUUUUUUUUGGUUGAAGCUAUUUACACACCUUUGAACACAUGUUAGGGUGAGGGUAUUUCAGUAUUUUACCCACAUCUCAAUAAAAUAUUUUGAGGUGAUGCUACCACUAAACAACUCAUUAAAGCCAUUUACUUAAUAAACACACUUCUAAAUUUUAAAAUGCACAAUUUUAUUUUACAAACCCAUUAAUACCUAAAAUACCCUUAUUAAGUUAAAUUAUCACAAUUUCUCUUAUCAUUUUCUUUUCCCAUCAUUUCUCCGUUUCUUCACCCUUUUCUUCUUCAUUUUUGGAGCUUUACCCAUAGCUUUUUUAUUCCAAAUUCUCAAACUUUUUAUUUUAUUUUUUAAUAGCUAUUUUUCCCGUUGAUAUUUCAUGUGUUUAUAUGAUUCAGCUAUAGUUUUAACUUUUAUAUAUGGUCAAGUUAUAACAGUAAUCAAGAGAUAAUCAUGUUCAUCAUAAGUUGCAUAAAUAUACAUACUAAUUUAUUCCUCUACUUGCCAGAACCAUACAUAUAAAAUUAGAUACAUUUUAAGGUUUAAUCUUAGGGUUGGCAAUAAGCUCCGGAUCCGCAACAAUCCAGAAGAUCCAGAUCUGGAAAAAUCCGGAUCCGCAUGCUAAAAAAUGUGAAUCCAGAUCUUAAAAAUCACAAUCCGUGCAGAUCCGGAUGUAAGUGCAUCCAAAAAACCGAAUAUCUGGAUCCACAAUUUUUUAUAAUUAAAUUAUUUAUUUAAUUAAAUUUCAAUUGAAAAAUAGAUAAAUUAAAUUAUUUAUUUAAAUGUAUAAGCAUAAUUAACUCUCUAAUCUUCAUUAACUUUAAAAAAUAUGUUAAUAAACUAAUAAUAAUAAUAAUUAGAGAAUAUUGUAAUAAAUCGGUUUACCUUACAUUUUUUUUUAUGUUUGAUUUAUAUUGUGAAAUUAUUGUUUGUGAAUUUAUGGUGUUGUUGUAUGUUAUUUAUGUUUAGGGUUGGCAAUGGGAUGGGAUGGGACGGGAUUUGUCAAUCCCAGUCCUGUCCCGUAUAUUGAAUUGGGACUAAAAAAAGUCUCAUUCCCGUCCCUUUAUUUUUUUUUGGGACAAAAAUUUAUCCCAAUCCUGUCCCAUUAAAUAUCUCGUCCCAUCCCAUUAUCCCGAAUAGUCCCGAAUGUAAAUAAAUAAAUUUUAAUUUUUUCUUUUACGGAUUGUCAUAAAUCAAUAUAUAGCAAAUAAAGAAACAAAAAAUUCAAAGUUCCGAAGCUAAUCCAAAUCAAUCUAAGUUCCAAAGUUCAAGCAAAAGUUAAAAAUUAACAUAAUCUUCCAAAAGUUGACUUCAAUUCCAGUUCCCACUUCAUUAGACAAAAAAACUUCAUACUCUAACCACACUUUCAAGACCGCACUUUCAAAUUUCUGUAUAAACCUACAAGAAUUUAAUAAAGAGAGGUUAGAGUAAGACUAAUAUUUUGAUAAUUACAUAAUAAUUAAUCAUUAACGUUCAAAAUUAUUAAUAAAAUCGGUUACCUCUUCAAUCUCUGCAUCAACUUUUUCUUCAUCUGCAAAUGUAGGAUUUUCACUAGAAGUUGUAUGCCCAUUGUCUUAGAAAACAAAAAAAAAAAUUAAAAACUAGAAAAGAAAAUAAAAAAGUUUGAAGAUUUAAAAUAUGCAUAAAUUACAAUAAAAUAAAUUACCUCUUGUGUAAGCAUUCAACCAACUUUGAGUGCACAUCAAUGCCUCCACUAUUUGAGAGUGUAGUCUAUUACAAUGUGGGCUAACUACUCUACCACCUGUGCUAAAAGCUGACUCGGAAGCAACUAUUGAUACUGGGAUUGCUAGUGUAUCCCUAGCAAUAGUAGAUAACAAAGGAUAUUGUAUUGCAUUUAUUUUCCACCACCCCAAAAUAUCAAAAUUUUUGUCCUUGGUAAUCAACACAUAUUCACCUAAAUAUGACUCAAGCUCAGUCUUACGGUUCUCAACCAUAUUGGCUUUCAAAAAAUCAUCAUACCUACUUGAAAGUUGUUCCUCAACAUGGGACAUAACGACUGAGGACUCUCCUAUACUAGAACUAAAAGCACCCGCGCUAGGACCGCUUACAGAUAAUUUGGCCUUAAAUUCAUACUCCUUUAUUAAUUCCUUAAAAAGCAUCUGAACUCUCUCAAUAUGAAUAUUUGAUUCAUCACCAUAUAACAAUGGAAAGUAGAACUCAAUCAAUUUCAUUUUAUAUCUAGGAUCCAACACUGUUGCCACGGUUAAUACCCCAUUAACAUCUUUCCAAUAUUUUUCAAAUUUGCCAAUCAUGUUAAUUGCCAUUUGUCUAACUUCAUCAUGCUCACAUGUAAGCCAACUACCUAAUGAUAAUCUAAUCUCACAAAUAUGAAUGAAAAACAAAUUGGAUGUGGGGUACUUAGUUCCAGAAAAUACCUCAGUCACAUUAUAAAACGAUUUCAAAUUAUUUGACAAUAUACGAGCUAACUCCCAUUCACUUUCACUUGGCAAACACCUAUAUUGUGCCUCCAAUUGAUGCAAUCUAUAAAAGACAUUUUUAUACUCCAGGGCAACAGAAAUUAUGAGAUAAGUAGAGUUCCAUCUAGUGAUGCAAUCAAGAACUAACUCCUUACUACAUGGAAUAUUCAACCUACGAGAAAUCUCUUUAAAUUUUUCCCUUCUUUGAGGGGUAACUGUCCAAAAUGCAACACUAGCACGAAUUUUAGCAACACCCUCACUAAUUACACUUAACCCCUCUUUGACAAUCAAGUUUAAAAUGUGAGCAGUACAUCGUAUAUGAAACAACUUGCCACCCAUAAGUAAAUCAUUUUUAUCAAGUUUAUCUAGUAGAAGUUGAAUCAUUCGAUCAUUAGUAGUGCAAUUAUCAACAGUUAAUGCAGAUAACUUACGCUCAAGAUUAAGAUCCAUUAAACAUCUCAAUAGUACAUCACAAAGUACUUGAGAAGUAUGUCGAGCUUGCACAUGAAUAAACCUACAUAGAAAAAAUACAAUUAAUUACAAACAUAUUCAAUAAAUAAAUAUAAUGCACUAAAUAUUUCAAUGUUAAUUAGAAUUAAACAUAGUACCUCAAAAUUUGACUCCGUAAGGUCCAAGAAUCAUCAAUAAAGUGUGCUGUAAUAGCCAUGUACCCUUUUGUUUGGGAGCCACAAGUCCACAUGUCGGUUGUGAUUGCAACUUUACUACUGUUACUCUCUAUUAAACUCACAACCUUAGCCUUUUCCAUCUAAUAUAGCUCCAUAAUAUCACUUUUCAUAGUAUUGCGAGAUAUGUUUUUCCACAUUGGGUUUAAAGAAGACAACACUUUUCUAAACCAUUCAUGCUCAACGCAACUUAAUGGGUACUCAUGCAUAAUGAUCAUACGUGCAAUCAAUCCCCUAGUGACAUCAGGAUCAAAAGAAUAAGUCUCUACCUUCACAUUUCCCUGAUCAUCCUCAAUUGUUUUUAACUUCUUUGAAUAAUGUGUUAUCUCAAUUUGAUUACGCCGAGGGCAUAUUUUCAUGUGAUCGUUCAAGUGUCUUGUUCCAUCUCUAGGACCUCCAACAUAGUCUUUAUUGCAGUGCUUACAAAAGGCUCUUAUUUUUCCAUUUUUUAUCUUUCUUUCAAAAUGUUUCUAGACCACUGAUCUUAAUCUUGAUGUUAAAUCAUUGUCUUUGGCAUUUUCUUCAACAACAUGCACAUCAUCAUUAUCUAAACUUUCAUUGUCCACUACUGGAGGAGAAGCCAUCCUUUAAAGCAAAAAGAAAAAAACAAUCCACAACUCAAAUAAAUGAAUUAAAUAUAAAUUAACCUUUUAAAAACAUCAAACCAUAUAAAACAAAAGUAAUAAUAAUAUGGGACCACAAGAACCUUUAUUUUAAAACUCAAUACUACUUAAACAGAUAUAAUAAUCAUUAUAAUAUAACAACUUCAACUAGAUUGCCGUAUAUAAUAUAAUAAUAUUUAACAAAUAUCAAUUAUAUGGAAAGAGCACAAAACUGUAAACAAUAAAAACAAAAAAAGCCAAAUUAUGAAUGUUAACUUACGGUGUGGAGGCUGAAAAGUGAGAAUUUUGUGGAUGAAUUGCUAGCAGAGACGUAGUGGGCAAGUCGUGGGUGGCUGCUUGGGAACUUUUGUGGCGGAGUAAAAUUUUUUGUGGUGAGGGCAAGGGGCGUUGGGCGGUCAACACUUAGGGUGCAGUGUUAAUUUAGGAAAUUGGUUGAGUUUUGAAGGGUAAUUAUUGCUAUAAAUUAUUAAUUUUAUUUGUGACUUUUUCACUUUUUAUUUUAAAUUAUAAUGUUAACGGGAUAUACAGGACAGGACGGGAUUUUAUAAUUGGUUCUCCUCCCGUCCCAUAAAUAAAAGCGGGAUUUAUUUUGAUCCUUAUCCCAUCCCAUUUUAAUUUGGGAUGAAAAAAUAUGUCCCAAUCCCAUCCUAAACGGGACGGGAUCCCGCAGGAUCCCGUCCCAACGGGAAAAAUUGUCAUCCCUAUUUAUGUUGAAUUGAAGUUAAAUUGUUGAUUCUUAAAUUAUAAUUGAAUUUUAUUUAAUAUUAUUAUGUAAAUUAUUAAAUUUAAAAUUAUAUUUAAAUUUAUUAUUAUGCGGAUCCGAAUAUCCAGAAUAUCCGUCCGCAAUCCGUGCAGAUGUUAUCCGCAUCCGGAUCCGUAUUUUUUUUUGCGGAUCCGGAUGUCAAAAGUUUAAUCCGGAUUUUGAUGCACUAACAUCCGAAUCCAGAUCCAAAUUUUGCCAUCCCUAGUUUAAAACUUUGCAAUUCGUUAAAAAUCUUGCGGGAUAUUAACCGGUAAAACCACUUAGGGAUAGUACAAGAGGUUUAUGAUUUCUCAACCCAUUUAUGUGGGUGGAGAGAGAAUCAAGUGUUUUUUUAAAUAAAGAAUAAUUAAUAAUUAAUAAUCAAAUUAAUAAAAAUAAAUAAAUUGUAAGGGGGAUCGUAAAAGUUUUGUAUAUAACAUAUCGGUAGUGGAAAGAAAUUUUUUUAGAGAGGCUAUUUGGCUUGGAACAUAUAUUACAAUACUCUCUUCAUCCACUUCUCAAUAAAAUAUUUUAUUACAAAAUUUUCCUUAAUUAAAUUAUUGUUUUAGCCAUAUAUUAUGUUCGUUUAUCUCCCUAAAGUUUUUAUUCUUUCACCCUUUUUUCUCUUUUCCUUUGUGUCUCCCCAAUUUUUUUCCAGUCCUAUGGGGUUCUUAUUAAAGCUUCUAUUGAGUAAAAUCUUUAUUAAAAUUGCUUAUAAAAAAAAAAGAAAAAAAGAAUGGGUCUCUUUUAAAAUUUGUCUUUCCUUCCUUUACCCUUGAGUUACUAUUAGAUGUAUAAGCUCAAGAUGAGACUAGUAAUUGGAUUUCCAUUAAAAGUUUUAAUUUCAAAAAAUCAAAAGAUCACCAUACAAAUAUCAAAAGAUCACUAACUUAAUUAUACUGGUAAUAAUUAAGAUAAGUAAAAGACCUACUAUUUCUGUUUGAUGUUAUUAUGAUAAAGAAAAAAAAAAAAGAAAUAGCAAGUUGCUGCAGUUGCAACAAUUGAGGAUAUGCUAAUAAAAGUGUUACAGAGAUAGAUUUAAUUGAUAAAAAUAAGAUUUUAAUAAAAAGUAUUGAGAGAAACAAUUAAUAAAAACUAAUGAUAUUUAUUAAGGGUAUAUUAUGAAUAUUUGUGGCCUUUUUUGAGGUAACUAAAUAAAUUUUAAGUUCUGAUAAUGUGUUUAUUACAUAAGUGGAUUUAUUCAGUAUUCUAGUGGAUUUAAAGAGUUUCAACUCUCAUAUUAUAAUAAAUUUUUAUAUUGCUACAAUUGCCCUAAUAUAGUGGACAAUAUUAUAUUGUACACAUAAGAAUACUCUAGCACGGUAGCACCCAAUUAAAAUUUUUAGUAAAACAUAUAAGACCUCUAAAUGUAAAGAGAAUUCCGUCAAGGUAUUGCAGUAGUAUUUAAUGCUCUUGGCUAGUGUAAACUAUUGUGCCACAUGUAGUAUUUCGAUCCUGACAAGUGCAUUACAAAUAAUGACUCUUAUUUCAGGUCUUUUAGGUACUUUAGAGAUAUAUUAGCUCUGGAGCUAGUAUUAGGUCAUAACGUGCUUCUUUUAAUGAAAGAUGUGGUUCAUUUUUCCCUACACCAAAGCAUUUUCUGUGGAAUAACCGUGUCAAAUGCUCAUUUAUCAAGGGCACGUGUGGUGUUGUCAGUAUGAUAUGCUAACCCACGUGCACUUAUGGAAAAUCAAAUGAGAAAAAUGAAUUAAAAAAUGCAAAAGCUAAUUAAUAAUGUUCGAGUUUGAGAUGAAGAAUAUUUAAUUUUAUGGAUAUAAAGAUAAGAAAGAUUUAAUGAGAACUAUCCUAAUAUUAAAAUACUAUUUAAAAUAAAUUUUAUUUGACGUAAUAGUAUGUCUCAUAAUAAGACUCGUAGUGGUCAGAAUCGUACAUGUAAAAUGAGAUAAAUUUUAAGGUUUAAAACUUUGCAAUUCAUUAAAAAAUCUAGUGCGAUAUUAAUUGGUAAAACCUCUUAGGGGUAGUACAAGAGGUUUAUAAUUCCCUAAUCCAUUUAUGUGGGUGGAGAGGGAAUUAAGAGUUUUUUAAUAAAGAAUUAAUAAAAAUUAAUAAUCAUGUUAAUAACUUAUUGGUAGUAGAAUGGAAUUUUAUUUGGAGAGGCAAUUUGGCUCAGAACAUAUAUUAAAAUGAGGAUAUUUGAACCCGCCACAAUACUCUCUACAUCCACUUUUCAAUAAAAAAUUUAUUACAAAAUUUUCCUUAAUUAAAUUACUAUUUUAGCCAAAUAUUACGUUCAUUUAUCUCCCUAAAGUUUUUAAUUUUUAACCCUUUUUUCUCUUUUCCUGUUUGUCUCCCCAAUUUGUUUCUAGUCCUAUGUGGUUCUUAUAUUUUAAAGCUUCUAUUGGAGUAAAAUCUCUACUAAAAUUGCUUAUCAAAAAAAAAAUCUCUUUUAAAUUUUGCCUUUUCUUUACCCCCAAGUUACUAUUAGAUGUAUAUGUUCACCGUGAAAGUUUAGAUCUCAAACCUUUUCUGUAUCUUAAAUGGAUUGUCGUGGAUAUGCCUAAGAUGAGCAUUUUCUUCCUCUUCACUUCAUCAUCUUUGAUAUAGUAAUUAUAAUUGAUUGAGGAGUGUUAAAACGCAUUGUGAUGAAUGAAUGCACAAGCUAUGUGAUUAAGACUGCAUUUAUCAGCUGGUUGGCGACCGCAAAUAUUAGGCAGGUUAUUCACAAUAGUGCUACUGAAGCUUUAUAUGGAAUAAGGAGACCAAACCUCUAUAUGAUAAGAGUUGUAUGAAUACCAAAUGAAUUGUAAGAGGAUAUGGUUAAUUUAGAUUGCAAUUUAAGAAAGCUUGAGUUCUAAGAGCACAGAAAUGGGAUCAGUCUUGCUCAAGUGUAAACUCCAUCAGUUAGGAAGCUGUCCAUAAAAUGUAAAUAUUUAUGUGAUUGAGAGAAAUUUUGGACUUUUGAUGAAAACAAAAUCCUGUAUGCAUUUGCUUGUCCCCAAGGAGCUGAAAGUUCUCAAAUUGUUUGUAGACGUAAUAGUUCUCCUGAUGUCAUUUGGCUUGCUAAUCUUUUUUUGCUCGAAAAUUUGCCUAUUGUGUGGUCUUGACGGUGGGUGAAAUUGAUUCGUGGUCUCAGAUGAAGACAGCAGCAGAUGUGUGUGUGCUAUAUGACAUCGAGAAAAAGCAAAAGCCUUAAAGAGUUCAUCCACAUUUUCCAUUUCAGAAGAAUCUGUUUGUGGUUCUCCUGCUCGAGUGCCAACUUUUCAGUGUGCAAGCAUAUAUGUUGAGACCGGCAGAUGAAAUCACUAAACUUUUACAGUUGAUCUGAGGCUCCUCUAAAGAAGGAUUUGGAUUUUGGAAUUAAUUUGGGGAAAGGGUUUUUUUCUGGUAUAUGAGUGUAAGCAUUCCUUCAAUCACGUAGCUUUGUGCCAUUAACAUAAUGGCAAUUCCACAAUGGGGAUAAUGAUAAUUUUGUGAUUGGGAACUCUUUACUGGUUUUUCUUUCGCCAUCUGUGUCUAUGAUUAAGGUUGUUUAAAGUGUUAUGGCUUUUAAUCUACAACCAUUGCGAAAUGGACUCACUAGCUGGCAAAUAAUAAAACAUAGUGCUGUCAAAUUUUGUAAGGAUUAUGCAUACACACUCUUUCGUCUUCAAUGCCCUGAAACUGGGUAACUACAUGUAUGAUUUUCAUUCAGAAAAACUGGCGAGAACUAAUGACUUUGCAGAUUAAAAAAUAAGUAGGAUUAUCAGAUUAUGUAGCAUUGUUAUGUAUUGUCUUGUGUAUUUUUUAAGGUUAAAGUUGGUUUGGAAAUUAAUUAAAAGACGAUAUUCAUUCUAUCACCGGACGAGUUUUUAACACGAGGAGAAGGUUCCUUUUGUAAUUUACUAAUUUAUACAACCUUUAAUAUUAAAACAAAAUUUUAUGUAUUAAGGACGAUGAUUCUUGCUCACUUAGUAAGAUAUGUACAUAACAUAGGUUUGUUAAGCAAGGAAUCAAUUAUGUAUUUCUUGUAUCUGAAAAAAUGAAUCAUCCUUUAACGAGGGUUAUCAUCAAUUGCAGGUUUCUAGUUUGGUUGCUUGGUUUGAGGACUAUGAAUAUUACAUUGUCAUAACUAAAGGAAAGAAUAUUGUAUACACAGCACACUAUAAUUACCAAUUCUUUAUCUUAUAAUAUAAGUUCAUAGUGAUUAAUUUGUCCGUCUUCAGCCAAAAAAAAAAAAAAGUCCCAUUUCAGCACAAAUACAAGAGCUCUCAUUUUUCUUUGCUCCAGCCAUUUUAUAGCAGUGUCAUCACAGACACCUCAAGCUCUGCCGAAUCAUCAUAGACAAUUCGUGAUUGGUGGGAGCAUUACAAGAAAGGUACGACUACUUCAAACUGAUAGAUUUGUUUAUAUGAUUUAGCUAUAGUUUUAACUUUUAACAAUAAACAAGAGACAAUCAUGUACAUCGUUAGUUACAUAAAUGUAGAUACUAAUUUAUUCCUGUACUUGCCAGAUCCAUACAUAUAAAAAUGAGAUAAAUUUUAAGGUUUAAAAAAUUUCAAUUCAUCAAAAAUCUAGUGCUAUAUUAAGCGGUAAAAUCACUUAGGGUUAGUACAAGAGGUUUAUGAUUCCCCGACCCGUUUAUAUGUAUGGGUGGAGAAGGUAUUAGGCAAUAAAGAAUUAGUAAAAAUUAACAAACAUAUUAUAAAAGGAAAUAAAUUUCAAGAGGGAACGUAAAAGAUUGUAUGUAACUUAUCGUUAGUGGAAUGGAAUUUUUUUGGAGAGGCUAUAUUUGGCUUGGAACAUAUAUUAGAACAAGGUUAUUUGAACCCACCGCACUCUCCAAAAUCCACUUCUCAAUAAAAAAUUUCAUUAGAAAUUUUUUCUUAAUUAAAUUACUAUUUUAACCAAAUAUUAUGUUAAUUUAUCUCCCUAAAACUUUUAUUUUUUUCACCCUUUUUUCUCUUUUCCUCUCCAUCUCCCCAAUUUUUUUUCUAGUCCUGUGUGGUUCUUAUACUUUAAGGCUUCUAUUGGAGUAAAAUCUCUAUUCAAAUUGCUUAUCCAAAAAAAAAAAAAUCUUUUAAAAUUUGCCUUUCCUUUACCCUCGAGUCACUAUUAGAUGUAUAUGCUCGUGAUGAAACUUUAGUAAUUGGAUUUCUAUUAAAUAUUUUAAUUUAAAAAAAUGAGAAGAUCACUAUAAAAAUAUCAAAAGAUCACCAACUUAAUUAUAGCAAUAAUUAAGGGAGUUAAAAAACUUACUAUUUCUGUUUGAAGUUAUUAUUAUAAAGAAAGAAAGGAAAAAAAAAGUCGCUGCAAUUGCAUCAAUUGAGGACAUGUUAUGAAAAGUAUCAUAGAAAGUAGUGAGAGAAACAACUAAUGAAAAUUAAUGAUACUUAUUGAGGGUAUAUUGGGAAUAUUUGUGGGUUUUUUGAAUGAAAAAAUAAAAUUUUAAGUUGUGAUAAUGUGUUUAUUAUAUAAAUGGGUUUAUUCAGCAUUACAAUGGGUUUAAAUGGCUUUAUCCUUCAUAUUAUAAUAAAUUUUUAUAUUACUAUAAUAGCCGUAAUAUAGAGGACAAUGUAAUGAAAAUAUUGUUACUGUUAUACUUAUUAAAGAAACAAUAUUAUCUUGUACAAACAAGAACACUCCAGUGCUGUAAUAUAAUCUAAUGCUUUUUGGUAGUGUAAACUAUGUGUGCCACGUGUAGUAUUUCAAUCUUCACAAGUGGCAUUGUAAAUAGUGGCUCUUAUUUCAGUUCCUCAUAGGCACUCUAGAGACACGUUAGCUUCGAAGCUAGUAUUUGGUCAUCACGUGCUUCUUUUAAUGAAACAUGUGGUUCAUUUUAUCCUUAUACGAGAGCAUUUUGUGCGGAAUAACCAUGUCAAAUGCUCAUUUAUCAAGGACACGUGUCGUGUUCUCAGAACAUAGUAAAAAUAUGAUACGCUAACCCAUGUACGUUUAUGGAAAAUCAAAUGAAAACAAAGAACUAAAAAAAACGUACAAAGGCUAAUUAAUAAUGUUUGAGUUUGAGAUGAUUAAUAUUUAAUUUUAUGGUUGUAAAGAUAAGAAUAAAAGUAGGUCUAGUGAGGACUAUCCUCAUAUUAUAACACUAUUUAAAGUAAAUUUUGUUAUAAAAGAUUUUAUUCAAUUAGGUACAGAGACCAUUCAAACUAUAUUUUAGUAUGUCUCAUAAUAGGACUAACAUUGGUCAAAUCAACCUAUUUCGAUAAGAUCCAUCGAAAUUAAUAUUUAAAAGAUUUAUCAUCUCAUUAUACAAUACACAGCUUUGCCAUCUAGUAGAGAAUGAUUGGUUGGCACACCAUAGUUUACAUAAAUAUUUCUAAUAUUUGAAUCAUUUGUUAGGAAAUUUUAACCCUACCAAGAUCUUGUAAGUAAACAUAUCAAAUAAAUAGUAAAUAGAUAAUAUAUAGAGAAUAAAACCAAUCAUACAACACAAUAAUUUACCGGAGAAAAAUUCCUAUACUGGAGAAAAACCGCGGCCGCCAAAGAUGACGAAAGAAAAACCCACUAUGUAAAGAUCAUUACAAUCAUUCUAGUAUUUUCCAAAUAUACAAAACCCCAAUAACAAAUAAUCUCUCAUUCUAGAAACUGUCUACUUGUAUAGAACUGAUCAUUAUGUUAUGCAAACAAGUGAAUCUAACCUUCUUAUAUAUUGUGAUUGUUUCAUAUAAGAGAAGUAUUUAUUUCCUUAUAUAAGUUGUAUUCCUCCUUUAAUAAGUUCUUUGGAAUUACUUAUUCCUUAAACACGAACCCCCCAAACAAAAAAAAUUACUAAAUAAAAAAAUUCUAGAAAAUAUUCUAAUUUAGGAUUUACAAAUCCUCAUUGAAAAAGGAGAUAUGUUUCUUAAAAAUCUCCACUUUGGCGAGUUUUUUAAUUAAACGACAACAUAUGAUCCGCCAUACAUCUAUGCAACCAUGUCGUCUCCACCUUCUUUAGUCUUACCAAAACCACACUGACAUUGGACUAAUGAGAAUCACUCCACCAUGAGUAAAAUCUUGUCCUCUAUCCAGCAACCAUAAUUUUCUACAUCGAGAAUCAUCAUACUUCACAUUAUCUAGAGUACACAUGUUUGGCAUAUGUCGAUCACAUUUAUGAAAUUACCCACUCUCAUGUUUGGCUUCUUUGAGAGUCCUCAACGAUCAACAUAAAAAGUCCACCACAUACCUUGCAUAAAUACUAAACUACAUGUUGUGUGCACAUCUUGUGGACCCAUUAACAAUAACACAUCCUCUUCCACGACACACCAAUAGAUAACAUAAUUAGUAUCUCCUUCUAUUAAUUUACAACUACUUUCCAAAUUUUAUAUAUUCUAACAAUCUCUUUUAAGAUAUUUUGAUUACCUACACUCCUCUAGGGGUUUCUACUAGUGGAAUAGGCCUGACAUUGCUCUUUGCUUUACUUGUAUAGACAGAUUGAACAAUAUGUUAUUGACUUGAUCUUCCCAAAAGGCAAAAUUAAUUAUUCCGUCAAACGUUUCUGUUUCUAUCUUCAUAGGUUUUGAAAACCUCCUUGUUGACGUAUUUGCUCUACAUUGCAGCCUUAACUCUAUUAUCACCUGCUAAGAAAUAAUUAAUCUCACCUAAGAUUCGCAAGAAAAAAUAUGAAAUAAAUAGUAAAUAGAAAAUAGGUGGAGAAUAAAGCUAAUAAAAUAAUACAAAAAUUUACAUGAAAAAUUUCUAUAUUGGAGAAAAAUUAUAAUAGCUAAGGACGAUAAGAGAAAAAUUUAUUAUGUAAAUAUUAUUAUAAUUACUCUAGGGUUUUUCUCACACCUAAAACACCAAAAGCACCUAAUUUUAAUAGAACUACUUUUCUCUCACACUGAAAACUAUUUACUUACAAAUAACUGAUUAUUGAAUUAUGCAAAGAAGUAAACUCAAUCUCCAUAUAUAUAUGUAGUGAUUAUUUCAUAUAGAAGUUGUAUUCCUUUCCUUAUAUGAUUUGUAUUCCUCCUUGAAUAAGUUAAGUUAUAAAGAGAAAAUUACUUAUUUCUUAAAUAUGAAUUAUCUUCAAUAAGAAAACUAAAAAGUGUAGAAAAUUCCUAAUUUAAGACUUAAAAAUCUUCUUUGAAAAAAGAGACAUCUCCCAAUGUCCUCAAAUCCUCCUUACAAUGCCACCAAUCUCUUUUGUGACUAGCCCAAUUGAAACUUUUAAUGGAUGGGCUGUAAUUGCCAAUAUCCAAAUAAAACAAAUUUCCAUAGAUAUAUUGGUAGAUUGAAGGACAACUAACAACACAUGAUUUGAUUAACUUACUUCCAAAAAAAAAGAAAAAAAAAAGAUACAAUGGAUUAACAUAAGACUCUUGUGCCAACUCAUGGAAUUCAUCAAUAAGGCCUUGGCUGAUCCACCUCAUGAUUAGUAGGGUUCAAACCCUUGCUAAAUGAUAAGAAAAAUAUUUGGAUUACUAAUUACUGUUUCUGAAGUCUAUUUAAACUUUAACUUUUAGAAUUUUGAACGUCUACACUUUAAUUAAAACAAUACAAGCCCACCCGUUUGUAUUUAAAAUUUUGUUUGAAUUUAUUCACAAGCAACAAGAAUAGUAUAAAUGGAAAAAAAAAAGUACCAUCAAAUAAUAUUCCAUGACUUUGUUUCUUCAAUUUCAGGAGCAAUGGUGGAAUCAUUCUUUCCGAUUGAAAAACUUUUGGAAAAAUUAGGGAGCUCUGCUCAUGAAGAACUUUUAUUGUUCUGCGGUGUCAAAAAUGACUUACAAAAGUUAAAGGAGACGUUAACCACUGUCAAAAGUGUGGUUUUGGAUGCUGAGGAAAAGCAAAUCCAUAAUCACCGGUUAAGCGAUUGGCUGGGAAAGCUUAAGGAUGCUUGUUAUGAUGCAGAAGAUGUGUUGGAUGAAUUUGAGGUGGAAGAUCUACGAAGGCAAGUCAUGAAGCAAAGAAGCAUCGGAAGAAAGUUUCGUAACUUUUUUGGAAGCUCAAAUCCGAUAGCUUUUCGUUUUAGAAUGGGUCAUCAAAUCAAGAAAAUUCGAGAGAGGUUUGAUGAGAUUGCAAAAUUGAGGGGUGAGUUUAAUCCCAUUGAACGACUUGACGAUCAUCGGCGAGUUGUGCACAAAGAAAGGGAACCCACUCACUCGUUUGUGCUUUCAUCAGAUAUUAUUGGAAGAGAUAAAGAUAGAGAAAAGAUUAUUGAACUAUUGAUGCAAACAAGUGGCGGCGAAAGUGAAACUGUGCCUGUGGUUCCUAUUGUGGGACUUGGAGGUUUGGGCAAGACUGCACUUGCAAAAUUGGUGUACAAUGAUCAAAGGGUAGAAGAGCAUUUUGAGUUGAAAAUCUGGAUAUGUGUUUCUGAGGAUUUUGAUGAGAGACAAAUUAUGACAAAGAUUAUCAAGUCGAUAACUGGUCAAAACCAAGGUGACUUGGAUACAGACCAAUUGCAACGAAUCUUGCGAGAUCGUUUGAAUAGUAAGAGAUACUUGCUUGUUAUGGAUGAUGUAUGGAACGAAGAUCCUGAAGCAUGGCGUAAAUUAAAAAGCUUAUUGUUGGGAGGUGCUAACGGAAGCAAAAUUUUGGUAACCACACGUAGCAGGAAGGUUGCUUCAAUCAUGGGCACGAGGGGAGGUACUACUGGCUACAACUUACAAGGUCUACCAUUCGAGGAUUGCUUGUCUUUGUUUAUGAAAUGUGCAUUUAAAGAAGAGCGAGAUAAACAUCCAAACCUCAUAAAAAUCGGGGAAGAAAUUGUGAAAAAAUGUGGGGGAAUUCCUCUGGUAGUCAGAGCACUAGGAAGUCUAUUAUAUUGCUCAACGGAUGAACAUGAUUGGGAAUAUGUGAGGGAUAAUGAGAUAUGGCAGUUAGAGCAAAAGGAAAGUGGCAUUUUACCUGCUCUGAGGUUAAGCUACGAUCAAUUGCCGCCUCACCUGAAACAAUGUAUUGCUUAUUGUUCAAUCUUUCCCAAGGAUUAUCAAUUUUAUGGUGAGUCUUUGGUUCAAUUUUGGAUGGCUCAUGGUCUUCUCCAAUCCCAUAAUAAGAAUAAGGAGUUAGAAGAUAUUGGUAUGCGGUACUUGAAGGAAUUACUGUCAAGAUCUUUCUUCCAAGAUUUGAUUUUUGGGAUUUCAGGAAUGGAGACUCUCUCUUUCAAAAUGCAUGACCUUAUGCAUGAUCUUGCCCUGCUAGUGGCCAAAGAUGAAUUCCUAGUAGUGAACUCUGAUUGUCAAUCUAUUCCCAAAAGAGUCCGCCAUUUGUCAUUUGCUGCUGCUAAUGCAUCAAGGAAUGACUUUUCAAGCCUUUUAUCUGAUCUAGGUCGCUUGAGAACCAUUUUCUUUUCAACUGAUGAUGAGAAGGCAAGCCAAUCAUUUGUUGAAUCAUGCAUCUCAAAGUUGUAGUUCCUGAGAGUGCUAAAUUUAAGUGAAUCUGCUCUUGAGGUUUGUCCCAGGAAGAUGGGAAAUUGGAAGCACAUGAGGUAUCUUGAUCUGUCGUGAAAUUAUAAAAUCAAGAAACUUCCAAAAUCCAUUUGCGAGCUACAGAGUUUACAAACACUGGAUCUUGAAGGAUGUCUGGAGCUAGAAGAGUUGCCUAAAGACAUAAGGUACCUUGUCAGUCUCAGAGUGUUAGUGCUAACCACAAAACAGAAGUCUUUGCAAGAGAGUGGAAUAAGGAGCUUGGGUUCUCUUCGUUGUUUGACAAUUUCUCGUUGUAGGGAUUUAGAACAUUUGUUCGAGGAGAUAGAUCAAUUAAGUCUCCUUCGAACAUUAUUUAUUGGUGAUUGUCCUCGUCUAAUCUCAUUGCCACCUUCUAUCAAAUAUCUCAGCUGAUUAGAGACUCUGAUUUUGUCGGAUUGUGAAAGCCUUGAUCUUAAUCUGAACGUGGAAAUGGAAGGUGAAGGAAGUCAUCAUGAUCGCAAAAACACAAGGCCUCACCUUCGGAGGGUUUUCAUCGGGGAAAUAACACAGUUAUUAGAACUGCCACAAUGGCUUCUUCAAUGUUGUACUGAUUCUUUACAGAGCUUGGUUAUUGGAGAUUGUCCCAACUUCAUGGGACUACCAAGGUCUCUAAAAGAUCUCGAAGCUCUUGAAACUCUUGUGAUUGCAGAAUGUCCAAAAUUGUCAUCGUUGCCGGAGGAUAUGCAUCACCUCACUACUCUGAAAUUAUUGACCAUUGCAGAAUGUCCUGCACUGAGUGAAAGAUGCAAACCGCCAACAGGUGAAGAUUGGCCCAAGAUUUCACAUAUCCCCCAGAUUGGUCUUGAUCACGAGAUGAUUAAGUCAAGUGAUAAUUAGGUAUGGAUUAAUAUCUCGUCCUUUUAAUUUCCUCUUUUCAUGCAGCUUUCUAAUUUUUAAUUUCUCAUACAGCUAUUCCGUUUAUAGUUUAAUGUUUUGUUAUGUUUACCAAACGAAAACUUGACUUUGAACGUUAGUUAGUUCAAUCAAAUUUGUACUAAUUUAUUUUCUUCUAAUACACAAUUAGUUUGUCAGUACGAAACACAAAAAUAAUAUUUUGGAAACCGCACUGUUCUAGGGGUCAGAUCUGUUUCUAAAUUCAAACAGUUCAGGAUUUUUCAAAAUGGAACUUGCGCCGAAACAUCUAACUAUUCUUCCUCUUAUCCUUUUUUUUUCCCAAAUAUUGCAGCUUUCUUGGGAGAGGUUCAACCAAACUGCAGGGACAGUGAAAAUAUUACUCUAACGUGGUUCAGAACAGAGCUUCAACGGUUUUAAUGUUGUGUUUUAAAGUUACAAGUAUUAUAUAUUUGUUACGUGUGGUAACCUUUUUGUGACAUGAUUUUUGUGGAGGUUUUUGUUUUUGUUUUUUAUUCCUCCAUAUAAAAUGACUAAUUCGAAAGAAUAUGUAUUGUAAUAGAACCUAGAACUUCUAUGUAUUUUAGGAUGAAAAUUCUGUACAAUAGAAAAUAUUAAAACGAAAAUUAAAGUUGAUAUGAGAAAAUUAAAGAAGCUUGCAACUUGGAACAGGUAAGAGAUAGAGAGAGACUCUCGGACUCUUUACAAGGAGCAAAAAUGGAAUGAAACUCUGUUUUGAUUAAAAUUCAAUGACUUUCUUCGUAUUAAUCAAAUUAAUUAAUUAAUUAUUUUGGUAAAAAGAAUUUGCCAAUUGUGUGACGGUCUUGGAGACCCUUGACGGUGGUGAAAUUGAUUCACGGUUUCAAAUGAAGACAUGCAGCGGAUGCGUUCGUGCCGUAUGACAUCGAUGAAAAAGUAAAGAGUUUGAUUUCUCUAUUUUGCCCUUAAUUAAUCGUUGACAUCUAAUUUUACACUCCCAACAAAUUUGAAUGAAACAAUCCUAAUGUUUAGAACGUGUACAUUAACAAAAACGAGAUGCUCCUGAUGAGGGGAAGGAGAAAAAGACACAACGAGUUCGCAAGAACGUGUACAGAGGAAUAAGGCAGAGGCCAUGGGAGAAAUGGGUAGCUGAAAUUAGAGACCCUUACAAGGGCGUCCGCGUUUGGCUCGGCACAGCCGAAAAAGCUGCAAGAGUUUAUGCUGACGUCGCCAAGAAUAUCCGUGGCAACAAGGCCUAGCUCGACUUUGCUCACCGGCCGCCAGUAACUCCACCUCCAGGUAAGAAACGCUUCGUGCUAUCUCGUGAGUUGACUCAGUCGAGUUUCGGAGAUUACUUUUUUAUUGGUUUUCAUUGAUUUCUUUUCCUGCCCUUAUCUACGAGGUUGUGCUCUCCCUUGGAUGCCCUUUAAUAAACAGCUUUCCUAAUAACAACUGAAGCGAAAAGUCAUUUUAUCAAAUGAUUUGGUGAAAUUUCAAGUACUUUCAUCUUGGGAUGUGGUAUAUGUAUCAAGUUCUUAUUGCUGGUGAACAUUACUGGUUUAGUGUGCGAUCGUUUACUAUCACUGCAUGCAUUAUCAGUUUAUUUUAUUGAACUAUCCCAAAUCAGUAACGAAUCCUCAAUUCCCUCUGUUUUCUUUGGAUCCUAGUAGUGUUUGGCAUGCAUCAACUAGUGUUCAUGCAUGUGUCGGUUCAUCAUAGACAACUUCAGCACACAUACAACAGCCCUCAUUUCUCCUUGCUCCAACCAAUCGAUGGCAGAAUCAUCACAGACACCUUGAGCUCUGUCGAAUCAUCAUAGACAAUUUGUGAUUAGUGGGAGCAUUACAAGAAAGUUACGACUACUUCAAACUGUUAGAUUUGUUAAUAUGAUUUGGCUAUAGUUCUAUACAUGGUUAAGUUAUAACAGUAGUCAAGAGAUAAUCAUGUACAUCAGUAGUUAAAUAAAUGCAUACUAAUCUAUACCUCUACUUGCCGGAAUCCUAUAUGUAAAACAAGAUAAAUUUUAAUGUUUAAAACUUUGUAAUUCAUUAAAAAAUUAUUCGUCUACCUUUACAUUCCAAAUAUAAUUGGUGAGUUUUUGUGGGUCUGUUUGAUAUUUUAUGAUUACUAACUUCAUGGGUUUGAUGGAAUUUUUCAUUUUUAUGUUGUGAAUGUUAGGGUAUGCGAGAGUGCUCUUCAAUUGCAUUGCCUUUGCUUUAUGUUUCUCUGACAAAAGGGUUUGCUUGUUCUUUACUUUAUCAGCUGAGAAUAUAUUUUACAAGUUUACUUUGAUUUCUGGCUUUAUGGCCUCUGUUUGAUGUGUGUAGUAUUUGACUGUAAUGCGAGUAUUGUGUGUUUUCAGCUUUGCAUGUGAUGCGGUAGAUAGUUAGUGUGCUGGUAAAUUCAAUCAAGGUAUGAUUCAUAUGAAGUGAUCUGCUAUCUAUCUUUUGGCAAAUUAAGCGUCGAUGAUUUAUGCUAAUUGAGCCGCUAAAAGUUGUCUUUGUGUGUGAUUGAGUACAUGUUAGUGUGAAUUCUCGUAAUGUUCAUCCAGUCAAAGCAAACGUUCGUCUUUCACAUUGACUAUUAGGCAAGAUGUUUGAUAGUGAAUUAGAUGAUUCAGUUUAUUAUAGUCUUCUUAUAUUGUCGGUUCAAUAUCAUUUUGAAAAAUCAUAUCAAAACUGCUUUUGGAGUUUUAAUCCAGCACAGUUACACCUAUAUUGUACUUUUGAUCUGCAACCUUGAGUCACUGUCAUUUUGCUGUUAGUAUUUCGAUUAGCAACUUGUACAGUGGUAUUUGAACUGCAUGGUGAGAGGAAAAUGCAAGUACUUGGAAGAAAUUGGAAUUGUAUUAUAUAUUCGAAUAAUUUACAAUGAGACAUAUUGAGGUCCUUAUAUAGUACAAAUUAUAGCCGUUCGAGAAUUAAAGAGCAUUCUUAAAGUAUAAUAGAAUUAACCACAAUUGAGGAAAUCGUGAUUGCUAUUGACAUAGGAAAUCUCGGCUUUAUUAGCUUGCAGUCAAGGCUGAUCUUUUGGCUGGUUUUCUUGAUUCCUUUCCUUGAUUCCUGACUCAUUGAUUGCUAUUUCUACAGCCUGACACUUUCCUUUAACAUCCCCCCUCAAACUUGGUCGUGGUAGAGUCCAAAUACCAAGUUUGGUGCAUAAAUUAUGAAAGGCAGUGCUGGAGAGAGGCUUUGUAAAUAUAUCAGCUAGUUGAUCUUUGGAACUCACAAACUGGGUGAUUAGUUUCCCUUGAGCCACUUUCUCGCGGACAAAGUGAUAAUCAAUCUCAAUAAGUUUUGUGCGAGCAUGAAGAACGGGAUUGACUGUUAAAUGAAGAGCUGACAUGUUAUCACUAAAUAGUGUUGGAGGUUGAGGAAGCUGAAAGCCAAUGUCACUAAGAAGAUAGGUGAUCCAUGUGAGUUCUGCAGCAGCUGAAGCCAUAGCACGAUACUCAGCUUCCGUACUUGAUCGAGCAACAGUAGGUUGUUUCUUGGCUGACCAGGAUACACAAUUGGGACCUAAAAAAGUGCAAAAUCCUGUGGUGGAUCUUCUUGUUAGAGGACAACCACCCCAAUUUGAAUCUGAAAAUGCAUACAAAUUAGUUAUAGUGUGAGAAAGUAAUCGAAUACCAUGAUCUAAAGUUCCUUGGACAUAUCAUAGAAUUCUUUUGACUAAUUGAAAAUGAAAAUUGCUCGGUUGAUGCAUAUGUUGGCAAACAAAAUUAACACUGUAAGCAAUGUCUGGCAUAGUGAAUGUCAAGUAUUGUAAUCCACCUACAAUGCUUCUAUAGAAGGUAGGAUCAGAAAAUAAACUUGUAUCAAUGGGGUGAUUGUGAGGCACCAUAGGAGUAGAUAAUGGUUUACUAGUAUGCAUUUUUGCUCUUUUAAGCAAAUCGGCAGCAUAUUUUCUUUGAUGCAAGAUAAGACCAUGAGAAAAUUUAGCUACUUCUACACCUAAAAAGUAAUGAAUGUAACCAAGAUCUUUCAUAGCAAACUCCUUUCCAAGUGAGCAGAGAAAUUGAUUUAGAAGAAUAUGGUUGCUUCCUGUUAAAAUUAAAUCAUCAACAUAAACAAGUAAAAAUAUAACGCCAUGAUUUUUUCGAAAAAUAAACAAUGAAGAGUCAACAGUGCUACAGACAAAUCCAUAAGCUAAGAGGAACAUACUGAACCUAUCAAACCAUGCUCUCGGUGCUUGUUUUAGCCCAUAUAAAGCUUUGUCAAGUUUACAAACAUGGUGCGGAUAUUUUUCAUCAAUAAAUCCAGGGGGUUGCUCCAUGAAAACUGGUUUAUCGAGCUUGCCAUGUAAAAAUGCAUUUUUGACAUCUAAUUGUCGAAUGUCCCAAUUGUGGGAUAGUGCAAUUGAUAAGACUAUCCUGAUGGUUGCAGGUUUUACAACGGGUGAAAAUGUUUCUAGGAAGUCAAUUCCUGGAAUUUGAUUAAAGCCUUUGGCCACUAGCCUAGCUUUUAGUCUUUCUAGAGUGCCAUCAGCUUUAAGUUUUGUUUUGUAUACCCACUUACAGCCUAUGACAUUCAUGUCAUUGGAUCUUGGAAUUAAUAUCCAUGUCUUAUUUUGAUGCAGGGCAACAAUUUCCUCUUUCAUAGCAUGCAACCAUCCUGGAUGAUAUAAAGCAUCUUUAAUGCCUUUAGGCUCUGUUGGCACAUUAUAACUAAGUAAUGCAAAUUCAGUAGGGCUAUACCUGGUGCUGCGUUUAUAUAUACCUGCUUUGCCACGUGUUGUCAUGUUGUGAGAUGGUUGUAUACUUACAGUGGAAUCAAGAGUAGGUUUUUGUCUCGUGUCUUGAUCUGUUUGAUUCUGAAUCUUUGUUAGGCUGAAUGCUAGUUAGAUCCAACUCAUGGGAAACUUCAGUCUCUUAUUCAGGAGCCAUUGUGUCUUGAUCAGAGUCAUGUUGAGGUGCUGAAAUGUUUGUAGCCUCAAAAUCUUUGCUAGUUGGAUCAAGUUCGUGAGGGGUCUGUAACAUGUUUAUAUUGCUAUAUUCUUGGCCUCCACUUCCUUCAUUGUUUGUGGUAGAGAUAUCAAGGUUAGUAUUUUCAUUUUGGUUGAUAUCCGCUACCCUGUGGCUAUUUUCUGUUAUAGGUACUGCCAUGUUUGUUCGAGGAGAUAGUUGGUUAUAGUUGUUUCCAAUUCCUGCAGUAGUAAAAGUUCCUGCAAUCCACUCAUUGAAACUUGUUAGAUUUGUGUGUUCACCACAACUACUAUAAAGUAUACCUGGCUUCAUGAAGGGGAAAGUCUUUUCAUCAAAGAAAACAUCUCUUGACAAAUAUACUUUUCCAGUAGGUGGGUGAAAACAUCUAUAACCUUUAUAAAAUUCACUAUAUCCAAGGAACACACAAGGAAGAGAUUUUGGAUCAAAUUUAUUUUGAUUUAUUCUUCUAAGACAUGGAAAACAUCUAGAGCCAAACACUCUUAAGGAAGAGUAGUCAGGUUUCUUACCGGUUAACUUCUCAAUGGGACUUUUCAUGGCAUGUAUGGCUGAAGGUAACCUAUUGAUUAGCCAUGUUGCAGUAGAAAAUGCUUCCACCCAGAAGCGUUUAGGAACUCCAGCAUGAAACAACAUAGUAAGUCCAAGCUCAGUGAUAUUCUUAUGCUUUCUCUCAGCAACACCGUUUUGCUGAGGUGUUCCUGGGCAUGAUUUCUGUGACUUGAUUCCAUGAUUUAAAAGGUAUUCUUGAAAUUCUUUGCUUCCAAACUCACCUCCUCCAUCCGAUUGAAAAACUUUGAUGUUUUUCUCAAACUGAUUUUUCAAAAAUUUAUGAAAAGAAAUAAAGCAAUUAAAGAAAUUAGAUUUUUUUCGUAAAGGAAAAAACCAAGUAAACCGAGUGAAUUCAUCAACAAAUAUAACAUAAAAUUUAAAAUUUUGAAAUGAUUUAGCUGGAGCAGGACCCCAUAAGUCACAAUGAAUUUUACCAAAAGGUUCCGAACAAUGUUCAUCAAUAUUAAGAAAAGGGAGUCUACAAGAUUUGCCUAAUUGGCAACUUUCACAUAAAAAAUUUUCCCCGUCAUGCUCAUUUACAGAAAUGAGCUUAUUAUGCUUUAAAUAACUAAUUAUUUUCAUAUGUGGAUGCCCAAGCCGUUGAUGCCAUGUGGUAUCACUAGUUGCUUGAAACCUUGAUGAGUAGAAUGUCAUGUUUUGAUUUGGUUCCAAGCUAUAGAGGCCACCAUUCCUAGUUCCUGUUGUGAUCACUUUCCCUGUUUCCCUGUUCUUAAUCACAAAAUUAUUUGCAGUGAAUUCAAACAUGUAAGGAAAAUAAGUGGUUAAUUGACUUACAGAGAGAAGAUUCUUUUUAAUCUCAGGAACAACUAAAACAUUUUUUAAUUUGACAGAGUUUUUAUCUGUGUGCAAAACAGUAUCUCCUAUAUGAGUAAUUUUCAAUUUAUGUCCAUUACCUACCAUUAUCUUAUCUGAUCCAUGAUAUAGUUGACAGUGAAUUAACUUACCAUUAUCUGAAGUCAUAUGUUGAGUAGCUCCUGUAUCAGGAAACCAUGCAUCAGUCUCAUUUUCUGAUAUUGCCAUAGCGGCAAGAGCUUGUGCUGCAUUAUUAGGCUGAUAGCCUUGUUUGAAUCUAUGCCAACAUUCAAAGGCAGAGUGUCGAGGCUUAAGACAAAUCUGACAAAUUAAAUCAUCUUUGUCUUGCUCAUUUUGAGAAGGAUUCUGAUUAUUCCUUUGUGGUGCUUCCGAAGGUUUUUGUACUGCUUGAGGGAAGCCUCUUCCUUUUGAGUUGAAGGAAUUUUGCCCUUGUCUGUUAAGGGGAUUUUGUCCCUGCAUGUUAAAAGGAACUUGUCCCUGGCUAUUGUUUCUAAAGUGUUUUCCAUUGUUUUUAUUUUGAGCAAAAAAGGCAGAGUGUUCAUCAGUAGCACUUGCAGAGCAAUGAAAAGAUUUCAUGUUCUCAUGACUUUGAAGUAAUUGAAUGACAUCAUUAUAUGAAGGUAUUGGAGGUUUCAUCAUAGAUGUAACAAAAGAUCUAUAACCCUUACCUAAUCCUUUGAGAAGACCAAAAACCUUUUGUUGAUCUUCCAUCGAUUUGCUAAUGGCAUCAAGUUCAUCACAUAUCUCUUUGAAGCCUCUGAUGUAGUCAUUGAUAGUUUUGUAAUUUUGCUUGCUGUGCAGAUGCAUCUUUUGCAUGAGAAAGAACUCUCUAUCUUUGGUGUUUCGAGCAAAGUAUUCUGAUAAGGCUUUCCAUACUGCUGCUGAUGUUUCUAUUCCCAUAGCAAGUCCAAGGACUUCCUCUGAUAGAGUCCCCACGAUCCAUCCGCGAAGAAGUCGAUCCGAUCUCCUCCACAUUAUGUAAUCAUAAUUCAUCACAUAUUCUUGUUUUGUUGUAGAUGCUUCAGCUUCUACAGUUGAUUUUAAGACAAAUUCUGCAGGUUCGGGAUAUGUUCCAUCUAGAAAACCUCCCAUAUCUUGGCUUUCAAUAAGCCCACUUAUUUGUGUUUUCCACAACAUGUAGUUGUUUUGGGUGAGUUUGAAAGAGACGAAGUUGCUUAUAUUCAAUGUCGAAGGAUAUGGAAAUGAAACGGUAGAUGUAGUUUUUGAAGACACAAGAGCCAUGGUUGACUAAUAAUAUUUAAUUAUUCUGCCAGGAGCUAUUGCUCUGAUACCAUGAGAGGAAAAUGCAAGUACUUGGAAGAAAUUGGAAUUGUAUUAUAUAUUCGAAUAAUUUACAAUGAGACAUAUUGAGGUCCUUAUAUAGUACAAAUUAUAGCCGUUCGAGAAUUAAAGAGCAUUCUUAAAGUAUAAUAGAAUUAACCACAAUUGAGGAAAUCGUGAUUGCUAUUAACAGAGGAAAUCUCGGCUUUAUUAGCUUGCAGUCAAGGCUGAUCUUUUGGCUGGUUUUCUUGAUUCCUUUCCUUGAUUCCUGACUCAUUGAUUGCUAUUUCUACAGCCUGACACUUUCCUUUAACACAUGGUAUGUCAACUUUCACUCUAUGUGUCUUAGAAACUCUGUAUAUCACUAAUUUCCUAGCACAGGCCUUGUUGACAGUCAAAGAUUUGAGGCAUAUUUCUGUAUUGAAGGCUUUUCUGUCGUCAAUUUGAUGAUGAGCGCAUGUAUUAUCCCCAAUAUUUUGAGCAGGAACUUGUAACUAGUAAUAACCAGUACCUAAGAUGUUGCAUUUGAUUGACUUCUCUUUCUCGUUUAGUUUCAGCCGUUGGAGCUGUUUCAGACAUGGUAACUGAUACGUAAUUUCUCUCUUUCCACCCCACAAUGUAUCAUUAGUCAUCAUUCGUUCUGGUUGGCGUGGAUACGCAUACUAAUUUGGAUUAUUGUCUGUGCCUUCGUCUUUUGUCAAUAAUCUUUUGCAUUUCAGGAUUAGUACAUCUUGUAUACUGGUAAUACUCUCUCAACUAUACAUGUAAGACUUUGUUAUGUUUUCUUGACCCGUAAUCUAAUGCUAUAAGAUGACGGCAUAAUUGAGCUAUUUUGCAUCUCCAUGCAGGCCUGAUUUGGUUUUUGUGUCACUACCUGCAUUAGAUAUUGGUAGUCAAUGGCUGCAGAUGUACAGGUGCCGUUUCGUUUCCCUGACAUAAUCUCAUGUAACAUGAAAUUGCUUGUGAAACUGGAAGAUAUUUGAUUCUUUUUUUUUUCAUUUUUGCUAAAGAAAAGUUUUACUUGCGUUGGGAAAUAUGCCUACCACUCUGGAUCUCCGUUGCAGUACAUUCUUGAGAGGAAAAUCUAGCCAUAAAAUGUAAAAGACAACACAAAUUGGCUUUUCAAAGCCUAUUAUGGGAACCGGAUGUUUAUGGGUUAUAGUUGUGUGGCAUGUGAGGUAAUUGUAGCUUUCCGUGUUAUUAUCCAUAUCAGGAUUUGCAAAUGUUAUCAGUGCUUUUUACCUGAUCCAACUGUUUCAACCCUGCAGCUUCUUUACCUAAUCAUAUUUCUUAUUGCGGAGACGCAGAGUGAAAGUUUGGUGGAUGUAGGAUCUCAUUUUCUUACUAUUAGAUUGUUCUGCAUAUAGAAAGAUUUCUCCUGUUUCUCGCUUUGCAAACAAUCUCUUCUUUCAGGUUGUGGUGAGUGCUGUGCGACAGGGCUCGCCUCUUUCCUUCCUAGUUGCAUUGAGUUUAUUCGGAUGGGCAAUCAAGCAAACGAUCAAUGUCAUACAGGUAACUUGCACUCCAUAUGAUCGUAAUGUUCGUUUAUUCUGAUACUUCUUCACAGUAAGUAAAUUUCUUGAUGUCUACAAAUUAAGGAGACUUUUGUAUGGGUAAAGUUGACAUUUUACAAUGGCAUUCUGGAUCCUGAAAUCGGUCAGUUUGAGAUUCACAUGCUGUGAUAUGCUCUAAUGUUAAAACUCAAACCUUUUCUGUAUCUUAAAUGGAUUGUCGUGGAUAUGCCUGGGAUGAUCAUUUUCUUCCUCUUCACUUCAUCAUCUUUGUCAUAGUAGUUAUAAUUGAUUGAGGAGUGUGAAAACGCAUUGUGAUGAAUGAAUGCACAAGCUAUGUGAUUAAGACUGCAUUUAUUAGGUUGGUGACGGCAAAUAUCAGGCAGGAUAUUCACAAUAGUGCUACUGAAGCUUUAUAUGGAAUAAGGAGACCAAACCUCUAUAUGAUAAGAGUUGUAUGAAUACCAAAUGAAUUGUAAGAGGAUAUGGUUAAUUUAGAUUGCAAUUUAAGAAAGCUUGAGUUCUAAGAGCACAGAAAUGGGAUCAGUCUUGCUCAAGUGUGAACUCCAUCAGUUAGGAAGCUGUCCAUCAAAUGGAAAUAUUUACGUGAUUCAGAGAAAUUUUGGACUUUUGAUGAAAACAAAAAUCAUGUAUGCAUUUGCUUGCCCCGAAGGAGCUGAAAGUUCUCAAAUUGUUUGUAGACGUCAUAGUUCUCCUGAUGUCAUUUGGCUUGGUAAUCUUUUUUGCUCGAAAAUUUUCCCAUUGUGUGGUCUUGACGGUGGGUGAAAUUGAUUUGUGGUUUCAGAUGAAGACAGCAGCAGAUGUGUGUGUGCUAUAGGACAUCGAGAAAAAGCAAAGGCCUGAAAGAGUUCAUCAACAUUUUCCAUUUCAGAAGAAUCUGUUUGUGGUUCUCCUGCUCAAGUGCCUACUUUUACAGUUGAGACCGGCAUAUGAAAUCACUAAACUUUUACAGUUGAUCCGAGGCUUCUCUAGCAAAGGAUUUGAAAUUAAUUUGGGGAAGGGGUGUUUUUUUGGGUAUAUGAGUGUGUGCAUUCCUUCAAUCACGUAGCUUCGUGCCAUUAACUUAUUGGUUUUUCUUUCGCAUCUGUGUCUAUGAUUAAGGUUGUUUAAGGUGGUAUAGAUUUCAGUACAUUGAACAAAAAAUUAUUUAUUUUUAUUCAAAUAAAAAUACCUAAAAAUCAAACCUUAGUUAAAAAAAAUAAAGUUUAAAAAAUUCUGAAAUUAAUCAAAUUUUAAAACUUGAGACUUUUAACAGAUUAAUCCAACCUUUGAAUAAAUAAACUAAAUGGGGGUCAAUUUUUCUCGUGUCAGCUUGUUCAAUCGACACUAUCUUUUCAACCUCUCACGAAUAAACAAAUCACUAAUGAUGUGUCCAUUUCUUCUACUUUAUAAUAAUUUUUAAUAAAAAGAUUAUUAAAGUGGUUCGGCUGUGGGAGCCACACGUGUCUGUGGCAGCGCACACCCAAGAGAAGCCAGUCUGGUUCCAAGAAGAAAGUGAACAUGUGAUGAUGAGAUGCCGUAUCAAAUGGGGCCACGUAGACAGAGGUGCUUCGAGGUGACAUGUCAGCAGAUACCUCCACCGACGAUCUUCAAAAUAAUUUGAACGGUUGGGAUUUUAUUUUCAACUUACCUGUGUCCAGGCUGUUGUUGAUUGUCGCUAUCGUGAAUUGUCCACUUCGAUUUUUUUUUUUAAUUUCUCCAACACUCUCCUAACUAAAGGAGUUAAUAAGAUUUCGAUAUUUUUUUCUUUAAAUGAUUUGAAAUAUCAAUAUUUUAUAAUUUUUUUUGGGUCCUAUUUUGUCCAUAAAAUGUUUAGCGAUCCUUUAGUUAAUUAGUUUCGUGGCUGUCUUAUCAAAUUAUUACAACGGUGAUAACGGUUACACACAAAAAUUAAGAAAAAAAAAGAUUAUAAUUAACGGGGUACGAUCCAUGUUGUCGAUACGCCGUUGGACAACUUUCAUUAGACUGAAGGAUUAUAAUUAACACACUCUUUCACCUUCAAUGCACUGAAACUGGGGAACUACAUGUAUGAUUUUCAUUCAGAAAAACCGAUGGGAACUAAUGACUUUCCAGAUUAAAAAAAAAAAAAGUAGGAUUAUCAAACUAUGUAGCAUUGUUAUGUAAAGUUUUAUGGUUAUUUUAAGGCUAAAAUUGGUUUAGAAAUUAAUUAAAAGACAAUAUUCAUUCUAACAUAAAACGAGUUUUUAACAAGAGGAGGAGGUUCCUUUUAUAAUUUACUAAUUUAUACAACCUUUAAUAUUAAAACAAUAUUUUAUAUAUUAAGGAUGAUGAUUCUUGCUCACUUAGUAAGAUAUGUAGACAUAACAUAGAUGUGGUGAGCAGGGAAUCAAUUAUGUAUUUCUUGUUUCUGAGAAAAUAUUUUAUCCUUUAACGAGGAUUAUCAUCAAUUGCAGGUUUCUAGUUUGGUUGCUUAGUUUGAGGAAAGAAUAUAUGCUAUGGAAUAUAUGCUAUGGUGUUUGGCUGGUCUGCAUUUUUCUUUUCAAUUAAUGUAAUAUUCUUAUGCUAUGGAAUUGAUUAUCAUAACUAAAGGAAAGAAUAUAUACUAUGGAAUAUAUGCUAUGGUCUUUGGCUGGUCUACUUUUUUCUUUUCAAUUAAUGUAUUAUUCAUAUGCUAUGGAAUAUGAAUAUUACAUUAAGGACGAUGAUUCUUGCUCACUUAGUAAGAUAUGUAGACAUAACAUAGAUGUGGUGAGCAGGGAAUCAAUUAUGUAUUUCUUGUUUCUGAGAAAAUAUUUUAUCCUUUAACGAGGAUUAUCAUCAAUUGCAGGUUUCUAGUUUGGUUGCUUAGUUUGAAGAAAGAAUAUAUGCUAUGCUAUGGAAUAUAUGCUAUGGUGUUUGGCUGGUCUGCUUUUUUCUUUUCAAUUAAUGUAUUAUUCAUAUGCUAUGGAAUAUGAAUAUUACAUUAAGGGAAAGAAUAUUUUUACACAGCACACUAUAAUACUCUAAUUACCAAUUUUUUAUCUUGUAAUACAAGUUCAUAGCGAUUAAUUUAUCCGUCUUCAGCAAAAAAAAAGUCCCAUUUCAGCACAUAUACAAGAGCCCUCAUUUUUCUUUGCUUCAGCCAUUUUAUAGCAGAAUCAUCACAGACACUUUGAGCUCUGCCGAAUCAUCAUAGACAAUUUGUGAUUGGUGGGAGCAUUACAAGAAAGGUACGACUACUUCGAACCGAUAGAUUUGUUUAUAUGAUUUAGCUAUCGUUUUAACUUUUAACAAUAAACAAGAGACAAUCAUGUACAUCAUUGGUUACAUAAAUAUUAAAAUGAGAUAAAUUUAUUCCUCUACUUGCCAGAUCCAUACAUAUUAAAAUGAGAUAAAUUUUAAGGUUUAAAAAUUUUCAAUUCAUCAAAAAUCUAGUGCGAUAUUAAGCGGUAAAAUCACUUAGGGUUAGUACAAGAGGUUUAUGAUUCCCUGACUCAUUUAUAUAGGUGGAGAGGGAAUUAGGCAAUAAAGAAUUGAUACAAUUAAUAAUUAUAUUAUAAAAAGAAAUAAAUUUCAAGAGAGAUCAUAAGUUCGUAGAAGAUUGUAUGUCAGUUAUUUGUAGUGGAAUGGAGUGUUUUUUUGGAGAGGCUAUUUGGCUUGGAAUAUAUAUUAGAAUGAGAUUAUUUGAACCCACCGCAAUACUCUCUAAAAUCCACUUUUCAAUAAAAAAUUUCAGUGCAAAAUUUUCCUUAAUUAAAUUACUAUUUUAGCCAAAUAUUAUGUUGAUUUAUCUCCCUAAAGUUUUUAUUUUUUUUCACCCUUUUUUCUCUUUUCCUCUCUGUUUCCCCAAUUUUUUUUUUUCCAGUCCUAUGUGGUUCUUAUAUUUUAAGGCUUCUAUUGGAGUAAGAUCUAUAUUCAAAUUGCUUAUCCAAAAAAAAAAAAAAAUCUUUUAAAAUUUGCCUUUCCUUUACCCUCGAGUCACUAUUAGAUGUAUAUGCUCCUCAAGAAACUUUAGUAAUUUGAUUUCUAUUAAAUAUUUUAAUUUCAAAAAAUGAGAAGGUCACUAUACAAAUAUCAAAAGAUCACCAACUUAAUUAUACUAGUUAUAAUUGAGGGAAAUAAAAGACUUACUAUUUCUGUUUGAAGUUAUUAUGAUGAACAAAGAAAAGAGGGGGGGGGGGGGGGGGAAAGUCGCUGCAAUUGCAUCAAUUGAGGACAUGUUAAGAAACGUAUCAUUGAGAUAAGAUUUAAUUGAUAAAAAUAAGAUUUACUAGAAAGUAGUGAGAGAAACAACUAACAAAAAUUCAUGAUACUUAUUGAGGGUAUAUUGAGAAUAUUUGUGGCUUUUUUGAGUAAAAAAAUAAAGUUUUAAGUUGUGAUAAUGUGUUUAUUACGUAAAUGAGUUUAUUUAAUAUUACAGUGGAUUUAAGUAGCCUUACCCUUCAUAUUAUAAUAAUUUUUUACAUUACUCUAUAAUAGCCCUACUAUAGAGGACCAUUUAAUGAAAAUAUUGUUACUCUUAUACCUAUUAAAAGAAACAAUAUUAUCUUGUACGUACAAGAACGUUCUAGUGCCCAAGUAAAAGUUUUAGUAAAACGUAUAAGAACUCUAAGUGUAAAGAGAAUUUCGUCAAGGUACUAUAGUAGUAUCUAAUGCUCUUUGCUAGUGUAAACUAUUUGUGCCACGUGUAGUAUUUCAAUCUUCACAAGUGGCAUUGCAUAUCGUGGCUCUUAUUUCAGUUCCUCAAAAGCACUCUAGAGGUAGGUUAGCUUAUAAGCUAGUAUUUGGUCAUCAUGUGCUUCUUUUAAUGAAACAUGUGGUUCAUUUUGUCCUUAUACGAGAGCAUUUUGUGUGGAAUAACCUUGUAAAAUGCUCAUUUAUCAAGGACACAUGUCGUGUUGUCAGAACAUAGUAAAAAUAUGAUACGCUAACCCAUGUGCAUUUAUGAAAAAUCAAAUGAAAACAAAGAACUAAAAAAAAUGCAAAGGCUAAUUCAUAAUGUUUGAGUUUGAGAUGAUUAAUAUUUAAUUUUAUGGUUGCAAAGAUAAGAAUAAAAGUAGGUCUAGUGAGAAAUACCCUCAUAUUAUAAUACUAUUUAAAAUAAAUUUUGUUAUAAAAGAUUUUAUUUAAUAAGGUAUGGAGACUGUUCAAAAUAUAUUUUACGUACAAACUCAUAUGUUUGACGUAAUAGUAUGUCUCAUGCUAGGACUAGCAAUGGUCAAAUCAACCUAUUUCGAUAAGAUCCAUCAAAAUUAAUAUUUAAAAAAUUUAUCAUCUCAUUAUACAAUACACAUCUUUGCCAUCACAGCUUUGCCAUCUAGUAGAGAAUGAUUGGUUGGCACACCAUAGUUUACACGAAUAUUUCUAAUAUUUGAAUCGUCUGUUAGAAAAUUUUAAUUCUAGCAAGAUCUUGUAAGUAAAAAUAUCAAAUAAAUAGUAAAUAGAAAAUAUACACAGAAUAAAACCAAUCAUACAAUACAAUAAUUUACGUGAAAAAUUCUUAUAUUGAAGAAAAACCGCAACCGCCAAAGAUGACAAAAGAAAAAUCUACUAUUUAAAGAUCAUUACAAUUACUUUAAUAUUUUCCUCACAUAAAAAACCCCAAUAACAAAUAAUCUCUCAUUUCAGAAACUGUCUACUUGUAUAGAACUGAUUGUUGUGUUAUUUAAACAAGUGAAUCUAACCUUUCGUAUAUAUUGUGAUUAUUUCAUAUUGGAGAAAUAUUUAUUUCCUUAUAGAAUUUGUAUUUCUCCUUUAAUAAGUUCUUUGGCAUUACUUAUUCCUUAAACAUGAACCCCCCCCCCCCCCCCGGAACAAGAAAAUUACUAAAUAAAAAAAUUCUAGGAAAUAUCCUAAUUUAGGAUUUACAAAUCUUCAUUGAAAAAGGAGAUAUGUUUCUUAAAAAUCUCCACUUUGGUGAGUUUUUCAAUUAAGUGACAAAAUAUAAUCCGCCAUACAUCUAUGCAACCAUGUCGUCUCCCCCUUAUUUAGUCUACCAAAACCACACUAACAUAAGACUAAUGAGAAUCACUCCACCAUGGGUAAAAUCUUGUCCUCUAUCCAGCAGCCAUAAUUUUCUACAUCGAGAAUCAUCAUACUCCACAUUAUCCAGAGUACACAUGUUUUGUAACACUCCAAAAAUUACCCACGAAAACACAAGGAUAAAAUUGGAAUGAAACUUUACAUCAUUUAUUCUUAUUAAUAAAUCUCAAGAUAGACAAUUAUUCAUACUCCAACUGAAUCCUUACAUAAAACAUCUGAAAUAAAGUCUAUAAAGAAAAGUCUCUAGUCCAAAAUAAAAAGUCUAGCCAAAUUCACUCUUGAAAGCAACUCCAAAGAUCCACUAAGAAAAAUUCUCCAUUUAAGCACCCAAGUCACAUUUCUAAUCAAUCUGCAAAAUAUUGGAGACGAGGGGUGAGCCGUCAACUCGGUAAGCAAAUCCAUGCACAAUAUUUGAAAACCUUGUAAGUUUACCUUUAAAUAUUUUAUAACAACAUCUUCAUUUAGCAUAAGGGGUGGAUUCAUAUAAAAGCAUUAAAAACAUUAAAACAUUCAUAAAAACGUUAAAACAUAAACAUUGGUAGCUCAUGCCUCGUAGUCAUCAUUAUUCAUCAUUCAUCAUUUAGGGUGUUAUACCCCGCAUUUUUCCUCAUUUAGGGUACUAUACCCCACGUUGUUCAUAAUAUCCUUGUGCACCAGAUCAUCAUCAUACCAGCAAGUUGGCCUUAGCAUUUCAUAACAUCAUAACAUUAACAUCAUAUACAUUACUACGGACUAUGAACCAAAACAUUUUUGAAUCCACCUUACAUCUUUUCAUAAAUAGCAUUUAAAGUCUUCUAAAACAUUUAAGAACUUUUCUUUUACACAUUUAAUUCUUUUAAAAAAUUCUUUAAGAAAACAUUUAAUUUUAAAAAAACUAAUUUCUUAAGAAAAAAUCAUUUUAAAAUACAUUUAUAUAAAUUCAUUUAGAAGCGUUUUUAUUUUACAAAAUUCAUUUAAAUAUUUUAGAAAUCAGUUUUGUAAAAAUCUCUAUUUAAACAUAAUUCUUAUAACAUAAUUCUCAUAACAUAAUUCGUAUUUAUUAUAAAGGACAUCAUGCAUGAAUCUACUUAUCUUGAUCCAUAGCAAUCAAUUCAAUACCUUAAGAAUAACCAACGAGGUCACCCAUGUCCUAUAAUCAUCAUAAAAAUAUUCUUAUCAAUAUCAUCUCUAACCUUAAACAUAAUCCCAGUCAUCCUUAAAUCAUAGGCACUUAUACUAGCUUAAUACUUAUACAUAUUCUAAACAUAUCCUAUACUUAUGAGUAUCCUGUACAUGCUGAUUUUUAAUAACCUAUACACAUGUCGGAAAACCAUGAAAAUUUACAGAGGCACUGUGAACAUGCAUAGCAUUGCAUACAAUAUUUCACAAAAAUCAGCACAAGUCAAAAUCGAGUCAGAAUAUUGACCUUUCACCAAAGUAACAAAAUUGUCCAGCACUGACCAAAACAGACAUUUUCCACUUAUAAAAUUCAUAAAAUUUUCUUUAGUACUCGAAAUAAUAUGUUUCUUUUUUUGAAUCACAGAAGAAACAUUCAGAAAGCACUAAUUAAAUUUCAUAAUUUUUGGACUCCUGAAACUAUUUUAAAACGUUUUAUUUCCGAGAACAUCUAACCCGUCCAGAAAAUCUCAGAGUUGAAAACAGAAUUUCAAACAUUCGUAUCUUUUAUUUUACAUGCCCAAAAAUCACGAUUCCAUUUUUUAAAGACAGAGGAAAGAUUGAAAUUUCAUUAUAAAAUCCUAACAUGACAUGUAAUAUUCAUAAACUAGCCCAACUGUUAUACGUUUCAGCUUCUGCAAUUCUGGAAAACAGUUUUCAGAUUUGCAGCAGCCACAUGUUACGGUUUUUAAUAAUUCAACCAUAAAGAAUAAAACUACGAAAUUACACAUGCAAGCAUAGGAGACAUAGAUCUGUUGAUACAAAAAUCGCCAUAAUUUUUAAGGAUGUGUAACCUUAUAGAAAAAUUUCCAGAAUUGAGAACCGCUGUUGAAAAUCGGAAUUUUCCAGCACCAGUAACCCAACUUCGAAAACCCAUAACAAUUUGCAUAAUCAGACGAUUUCAACACAAAACCUAUCAAUGGAAAGCUUAGGAUGUCUAGUUCCAUGAUAUGUAAGCAUAUUCAUGUGAUUCUAAAUAAAGAAAACGCUUUCAAGCAAGGAAUAGAGACUGUUCAUAUCAUCACAACAUUACAAACACGCAUAUAUUACCCAAAUCAUACUACAAGUAAUUAAAGGCAAACAAUUCAAAAAAAUAAAUCAUAUAAGUCUAAGAAAUAUUUAGUACCUUAAGGAAAACACUAAGGUGGCGUUUGUUUUUUAACUUAAUGACUUAAAGUGACUUAACUUAAUUAAUUAAGUUAAUUAGAGGUGUUUGUUUUUAUAACUUAAUGAGACUUUUUAGAUAAUUUUGACUUAAUAAAAUAAGCCAAUUUUUUUAGCUUUUUACUUAAUGGAGAAAUCUGAAUUAAGUCAAUUACUUACUAAUGUCAAAAAUAUCCUUGCUUUAUAAUUUAUUUUUCAUGUUUAUCCCAAACUCACCCAUAGACAUUUACCCUACAUAAAAAUAUCGAUGUUUUUCUUUCUUAUAUUAUAUACGAUAAAAUUUAAAAUUUAUGGUAUUUUAUCUAUUAAAAUUCCAAAAUAAUUAUGUAUUUACUUGAAUUUAGUUUUACUUAUAAAUGUAAAAUAUUGUGGCAUUUAAUAUAUUAUUUAUUUGAUAUUCAAAUUUAAUAAGGAUACAAAUGUAAAAGUACAUAUUUUUAACUUUUUAAGUUGAAAAAAACAAACAACUUAAUACUUAUUUUCUGAGAUUCAGAUGAAAAAACAAACAUAUUAUUCAGAUUCAGACAUUCAGAUCUAUUCAGAAUUCAGACUAAUUCAGGUAUAUUCAGAUUUUAGAUAAAAAAACAAACGCCACCUAAAAAAAGAAGUUAUAAAACUUUCUUUUCCUUCUCCAAAGACUUAUGUUUCUUUUUUUUCUUUCUAGAGUUUGUAACGGUGUAGAAAAUAAAAGACAGCUUCCUCUUAAAUACUUGUCAAUUAAUAAAUACUUUUUUAAAAAAAAUUUAAUAACUUACAUAAUUUAUUUAAAGCAAUUUGAUAAAUUUUACCCACACACAAACACUCAAUAAUAAUUAUCCUACUCAAUUUUGAUAAGGGUAAAAGUAGAAAAAUAAAUAAAUAAAUAAAUAAAUAAAAGUGGGCGUUACAUGUUUGGCAUAUGUCGAUGACAUUUCUAAAAUUACCCACUCUCAUGUUUGGCUUUUUUGAGAGUCCUCAUCAAUCAACAUAAAAAUUUCAUCUCAUACCUUGCAUAAAUACUAAACUAGGGGUUGUUUGCAUAUCUUGUGGACCAAUUAGCAAUAACACAUCCUCUUCACGAAACACCAAUAGAUGUCAUAAUUACUAUCUCUUUCUGUUGAUUUAAAACUACUUUCCAAAUUUGCUAUAUUCCAACAAUCUCUUUUAAGAUGUUUUGAUUACCUACACUCGUCCAAGGGUUUCUACUAGUGGAAUAGGCCUUACAUUGUUCUUUGCUUUACUUGUAUAGACAUAUUGAAUCAUUACGUUAUUGACUUGAGCUUCCCAUAAGCAAACAUUGAUUAUUCUGUCAAACUUUUUCGUUUCUAUCUUCAUAGGUUUUGAAAACCUCCUUGUUGCCAUAUUUGCUCUACAUUGCAACCUUAGCUACUAUCACCUACUAAGAAAUAAUUAAUCCCACUUAAGAUUCGUAAGAAAAAAAUAUCAAAUAAAUAGUAAAUAUAAAAUAGAUAGAAAAUAAAGCCAAUCAAAUAAUACAAAAUUUACAUGAAAACUUCUAUAUUGGAGAAAAACUAUAAUAGCCAUGGACGAUAAGAGAAAAAAUUAUUAUGUAAAAAUUAUUAUAAUUACUCUAGUAUUUUUUUAACACCUAAAACACCAAAAGCACCUAAUCUCUUAAUAGAACUAUCUUUUCUCUCGCAGUAAAAACUAUUUACUUACAGACAAUCGAUUGUUAUAUUAUGCAAAUAAGUAAACCUAAUCUCCAUAUAUGUGUGUGUGUGUGUGUGUGUGUGUGUGUGUGUGUGUGUGUAUGUAUGUAUGUGUAUGUAUGUGUAUAUAUAUAUAUAUACUCACACAUAUAUAGAUACCUACAUACAUACAUACAUAUUUAUAUGUACAUGUAUGUACAUACAUACAUAAAUACAUACAUAUAUACACACACACAUACAUGCAUACAUACAUACAUACAUACAUACAUAUACACACACACAUACAUGCAUACAUACAUACAUACAUACAUACAUACAUACAUAUAUGAUUUGUAUUCCUCUUUGAAUAAGUUAAGUUCUAAAGAGAAAAUUACUUAUUUGUUAAAUAUGAAUUAUCUUCAAUAAGAAAACUGAAAAGUGUAGAAAAUUCCUAAUUUAGGACUUAAAAAUCUUCUUUGAAAAAAGAGACAUCUCCCAAUAUCCUCAAAUCCUCUUUACAAUGCCACCAAAUCUCUUUUGUGACUAGCCCAGUUGAAACUUUUAAUUGAUGGGCUGUAAUUGCCAAUAUCCAAAAUAUCCAAAUAAAACAAAUUUCCAUAGGUAUAUUGGUAGAUUGAAUGACAACUAACAACACGUGAUUUGAUUAACUUAUUUCCAAAAAAAAAGAAAAAAAAAAGAUACAAUGGAUGAACAUAAGACUCUUGUGCCAACUCAUGGAAUUCAUCAAUAAGGCCUUGCCUGAUCCACCUCAUGACUAGUAGAGUUCAAACCCCCGCUAAAUACUAAAAAAAAUAUUUGGAUUAUUAAUUACUCUUUCUUAAGUCUAUUUAAACUUAACGUUGAGAAUUAUGAACGUCUACACUUUAAUUAAAACAAUACAAGCCCACCCGUUUGUAUUUAAAAUUUUGUUUGAAUUUAUUCACGAGCAACAAGAAUAGUAUAAAUGGAAAAAAAAACCAUCAAAUAAUAUCCCAUGACUUUGUUUCUUCAAUUUCAGGAGCAAUGGUGGAAUCAUAUUUUCCGAUUGAAAAACUUUUGGAAAAAUUAGUGAGCUCUACUUGUGAAGAACUUUUAUUGUUCUACGGUGUCAAAAAUGACUUACAAAAAUUAAAGGAGACGUUAACCACUGUCAAAAGUGUGGUUUUGGAUGCUGAGGAAAAGCAAAUCCAUAAUCACCGAUUAAGCGAUUGGCUGGGAAAGCUUAAAGAUGCUUGUUAUGAUGCAGAAGAUGUGUUGGAUGAAUUUGAGGUGGAAAAUCUACGAAGGCAAGUCAUGAAGCAAAGAAGCAUCGGAAGAAAGUUUCGUAACUUUUUUGGAAGCUCAAAUCCGAUAGCUUUUCGUUUUAGAAUGGGUCAUCAAAUCAAGAAAAUUCGAGAGAGAUUUGAUGAGAUUGCAAAAUUGAGGGGUGAGUUUAAUCUCAUUGAACGACUUGACGAUCAUCGGCGAGUUGUGCACAAAGAAAGGGAACCCACUCACUCGUUUGUGCUUUCAUCUGAUAUUAUUGGAAGAGAUAAAGAUAGAGAAAAGAUUAUUGAACUAUUGAUGCAAACAAGUGACGGCGAAAGUGAAACUGUGUCUGUGGUUCCUAUUGUGGGACUUGGAGGUUUGGGCAAGACUGCACUUGCAAAAUUGGUGUACAAUGAUCAAAGGGUAGAAGAGCAUUUUGAGUUGAAAAUCUGGAUAUGUGUUUCUGAGGAUUUUGAUGAGAAACAACUUAUGACAAAGAUUAUCAAGUCGAUAACUGGUCAAAACCAAGGUGACUUGGAUACAGACCAAUUGCAACGAACCUUGCGAGAUCGUUUGAAUAGUAAGAGAUACUUGCUUGUUAUGGAUGAUGUAUGGAACGAAGAUCCUGAAGCAUGGCGUAAAUUAAAAAGCUUAUUAUUGGGAGGUGCUAACGGAAGCAAAAUUUUGGUAACCGCACGUAGCAGGAAGGUUGCUUCAAUCAUGGGCACGAGGGGAGGUACUACUGGCUACAACUUACAAGGUCUACCAUUCGAGGAUUGCUUGUCUUUGUUUAUGAAAUGUGCAUUUAAAGAAGAGCGAGAUAAACAUCCAAACCUUGUUAAAAUCGGGGAAGAAAUUUUGAAAAAAUGUGGCGGAAUUCCUCUGGCAGUCAGAACACUAGGAUGUCUACUAUAUGACUCAACGGAUGAACAUUUUUGGGAAUAUGUGAGGGAUAAUGAGAUAUGGCAGUUAGAGCAAAAGGAAAGUGGUAUUUUACCUGCUCUGAGGUUAAGCUACGAUCAAUUGCCGCCUGACCUGAAACGAUGUGUUGCUUAUUGUUCAAUCUUUCCCAAGGAUUAUCAAUUUCAUGGUGAUUCUUUGGUUCAAUUUUGGAUGGCUCAUGGUCUUCUCCAAUCCCAUAAUAAGGAGUUAGAAGAUAUUGGUAUGCGGUACGUGAAGGAAUUACUAUCAAGAUCUUUCUUCCAAGAUUUGACUAUUGGGAUGUUAGGAAUGGAGACGUUCUCUUUCAAAAUGCACGACCUUAUGCAUGAUCUUGCUCAGCAAAUGGCCAAAGAUGAAUUCCUAGUAGUGAACUCUGAUUGUCAAUCUAUUCCCAAAAGUGUCCGUCAUUUGUCAUUUGCUACUGCUAAUGCAUCAAGAAAUGACUUUUCAAGCCUUUUAUCUGAUCUAAGUCGUGUGAGAACCAUUUUCUUUUCAACUGAUGAUGAGAAGACAAGCCAAUCAUUUGUUGAAUCAUGCAUCUCAAAGUCGCAGUUCCUGAGAGUGCUAGAUUUAAAUGGCUCUGCUAUUGAGGUUUGUCCCAGAAAGAUGGGUAAUUUGAAGCACAUGAGGCGUCUUGAUCUGGCGGGAAAUUCUAAAAUCAAGAAACUUCCAAAAUCCAUUUGCGAGCUACAGAGUUUACAAACACUGAAUCUUGAAGGAUGUCUGGAGCUAGAAGAGUUGCCUAAAGACAUAAGGUACCUUGUUAGUCUUAGAGUGUUAGGGCUAACCACAAAACAGAAGUCUUUGCAAGAGAGUGGAAUAAGGAGCUCGAGUUCUCUUCGUUGGUUCUCAAUUUCUAAAUGCAGGAAUUUAGAACAUUUGUUCGAGGAGAUAGAUCAAUUAAGUGUCCUUCGAACAUUAUUAAUUGCUAAUUGUCCUCGUCUAAUCUCAUUGCCACCUGCUAUCAAAUAUCUCAGCUCAUUAGAGACUCUGAUGUUGUGGAAGUGUGAAAGCCUUGAUCUUAAUCUGAACGUGGAAAUGGAAGGUGAAGGAAGUCAUCAUGAUUGCAAAAACACAAGGCCUCACCUUUGGAGGGUUUUCGUCGUGGAAAUAACACAGUUAUUAGAACUGCCGCAAUGGCUUCUUCAAUGUUGUACUGAUACUUUAUGGAACUUGGUUAUUGGAGAUUGUCCCAACUUCAUGGCACUGCCAGGGUCUCUAAAAGAUCUCAAAGCUCUUGAAACUCUUACCAUUCUAGGAUGUCCAAAAUUGUCAUCGUUGCCGGAGGAUAUGCAUGACGUCACAACUCUGAAAUGAUUGACCAUUGCAGGAUGUCCUGCACUGAGUGAAAGAUGCAAACCGCCAACAGGUGAAGAUUGGCCCAAGAUUGCACAUAUCCCUCAGGUUCAUCUUGAUGGCGAGAUGAUUGAAUCAAGUGAUAAUUAGGUAUGGAUUUUUUUUUUUUCAAUAAGCGUACCACUCUGUUAUAUUUCCUCUUUUCAUGCAGCUUUCUAAUUUUUAAUUUCUCAUACAGCUAUACCGUUUAUAGUUUAAUGUUUUGUUAUGUUUACCAAACGAAAACUUGACUUUGAACGUUAGUUAGUUCAAUCAAAUUUGUACUAAUUUAUUUUCUUCUAAUACAUAAUUAGUUUGUCAGUACGAAAAACAAAAAUAAUAUUUUGGAAACCGCACUGUUCUAGGGGUCAGAUCUGUUUCUAAAUUCAAACAGUUCAGGAUUUUUCAAAAUGGAACUUAUAAUGAGAUUUUUUUUUUUUAAUUAUCUAGUUAUCUUCAUAUGGAAUUUCAAUCUUUGUUAAUACUUUAACUUGCGCCGAAACAUCUGACUAUUCUUCCUCUUGUCCUUUUUUUUCCCAAAUAUUGCAGCUUUCUUGGGAGAGGUUCAACCAAACUGUAGGGACAGUGAAAAUAUUACUCUAAGUUACAAGUAUUAUAUAUUCGUUACUUGUGGUUAUGUAAUUUGCUGAUAAAUAAGUACAUUGAGUGAGGUAUAUGUGUGUGCCUGUGUGGUCAUUACUGAAUUUCUCAGUAAUAUAAUUUGCAUUGACUGCAGAUUUGUGAAGAACAUUGAUGUGUUGUGUAAUGGGAACGGUGGUGUCUGUAUUUUGUGCUUUGUGAUUGACGACUUACAUUUGCCCAGGAAGAAAUGAAAACAAAUCGGCUUCUUGAAAUUAACCAUUUAUUCUUUCGAAUGGUAACCUUUUUGUGACAUGAUUCGCAUAUUCAUCAAACGCAGUUGGCAAACUAAUUAGAUAUUGCAUCGUGAUUCGUGGCCUUGAAGUGAAAUGCACUUGUUUUGAUUAAAAUUCAAUGACUUUCUUCGUAUUAAUCAAAUUAAUUAAUUAAUUAUUUUGGUAAAAAGAAUUUGCCAAUUUUGUGGCGGUCUUGAGACCCUUGACGGUGGUGAAAUUGAUUCACGGUUUCAAAUGAAGACAUGCAGCGGAUGCGUGCGUGCCGUAUGACAUCGAUGAAAAAGUAAAGAGUUUGAUUUCUCUAUUUUACCCUUAAUUAAUCGUUGACAUCUAAUUUUACACUCCCAACAAAUUUGAAUGAAACAAUCCUAAUGUUCACUUUCUUCUUCGAUUUCAUUUUACGACUUAACAAAAUCUCACAAUGGAGAUGCUCCUGAUGAGGGGAAGGAGAAGAAGACACAGCGAGUUCGCAAGAACGUGUACAGAGGAAUAAGGCAGGGGCCAUGGGAGAAAUGGGCAGCUGAAAUUAGAGACCCUUACAAGGGCGUCCGCGUUUGGCUCGGCACAGCCGAAAAAGCUGCAAGAGUUUAUGCUGACGUCGCCAAGAAUAUCCGUGGCUCGACUUUGCUCACCAGCCUCCAGUAACUCCACCUCCAGGUAAGAAACGCUUCGUGCUAUCCCGUGAGUUGACUCACCCGAAUUUCGGAGAUUACUUUUUUAUUGGUUUUCAUUGAUUUCUUUUCCUGCUCUUAUCUACGAGGUUGUGCUUUCCCUUGGAUGCCCUUUAAUAAACAGCUUUCUUAAUAACAACUGAAGCGAAAAGUCAUUUUAUCAAAUGAUUUGGUGAAAUUUCAAGUACUUUCAUCUUGGUUUUUGCAGUUAAUAGGAAAUAGUUUGGUGUUGGGAUGUGUUAUAUGUAUCAAGUUCUUAUUGCUGGUGAACAUUACUGGUUUGUUUCUCAUAAUCGUUAUCCAGUCAAAGCAAACGUUCGCCUCUCACAUUGACGGUUAGGCUAGAUGUUUGACCCUGAAUAAGAUGAUUGAGUUUAUUAUAGUCUUCUUAUAUUGUCGGUUCAAUAUCAUUUUGAAAUAUCACAUCAAUUCCGCUUUUGGAGUUUUAAUCCAUGCCAAGUUACACCUUUAUUUUACUUUUAAGCUGCAACAUUGAGUCACAUUCUUUCUCUGUUAUUAUUACGAUUAGCGACUGGUACAGUGGUAUUUGAACUGCAUAGCGUGUCAACAUUCACUCUAAAUGUCUUAGAAACUCUGUCUAUCACUAAUUUCCUAGAACAGGCCUCGUUGACAGUCAAAGAUUUGAGGCGUAUUUCUGGACUGAAGGCUUUUCUCUAGUCAAUUUGAUGAUAAGCGCAUUUAUUAUCUCCAGCAUUAAGCAGUAAUUUGUAACUAGUAGUAGCCAGUACCUAAGAUGUUGCAUUUGACUGUCUUCUCUUUCUGGUUCAGUUUCGACCUUUGGAGCUGUUUUAGACAUGGUAAAGGAUAGGUAAUUUCUCUCUACCCCACCCCCCAAUGUAUCAUUAGUCAUCAUUCGUUCUGGUUGGUGGAGAUACACAUACUAAUUUGGAUUAUUGUCCGUGCCUUCGUCUUUUGUCAAUAAUCUUUUGCAUUUCAGGAUUAGUACAGCUUGUCUACUGGUAAUACUCUCUCAAGUAUACAGGGAAGACUUUGUUACGUUUUCUUGACCCGUAAUCUAAUGUUUUAAGAUGAAGGCAUAAUUGAGCUAUCUUGCAUCUCCAUGCAGGCCUGGUUUGGUUUUUGUGUCACUACCUGCAUUAGAUAUUGGUAGUCAAUGGCUGCAGAUGUACAGGUACCUUUUCGUUUCCCUGACAUAAUCUCAUGUUAGAUGAAAUUGCUCGUCGAACUGGGAGAUUUUGUAUUUUUUAUUUUUUCAUAAUUACUAAAGAAAAGUGUUACUUUCGUUGGGAAAAAUGCCUACCACUCUUUAUCUCUGUUGCAGUACAUUCUUAACAGGAAAAACUAGACAUAAAGAUGCAAAAGACAGCACAAAUUGGCUUUUCAAAGCCUAUUAUGGGAACCGGAUGUUUAUGGGUUAUUGUUGUGUGGCGUGUGAGGUAAUUGUAGCUUUCCGUGUUAUUAUACAUAUCAGGAUUUGCAAAUGUUAUCAGUACUUUUUACCUGAUCCAACUGUUUCAACCCUGCAGCUUCUUUACCUAAUCCUAUUUCUUAUUGCGGAGAAGCAGAGGGAAAGCUUGGUGGAUGUAGGCUCUCAUUUUCUUACUAUUAGAUUGUUCUGAAAAUAGAUAUAUUUCCCCUGUUUCUCGAUUUUCAAACAAUUUCUUCUUUCAGGUUGUGGCGAGUGCUGUGCAACAGGGUUCGCCUCUUUCCUUCCUAGUUGCAUCGAGUUUAUUCGCAUGGGCGCAAUCAAGCAAACGAUUAAUGUCGUACAGGUAACUUCAACCCCAUAUGAUGGUAAUGUUCGUUUAAAUAAAUUUCUUGAUGUCUACAAAUUAAGGAAACCUUUGUAUGGGUAAAGUUGACAUUUUACACUGGCAUUAUGGGUCUUGAAAUCGGUAUGUUUUAGAUUCACAUGCUGUGAUAUGCUCUAAUGUUAAAACUCAAACCUCUUCUGUAUGUUAAAUGGAUUGUCGUGGAUAUGCCUGGGAUGAUCAUUUUCUUCGUUUUCACUCAUCGUCUUUGUCAUUGUAGUUAUAAUUGAUUGUGGAGAGUGAAAACGCACUGUGAUGAAUGAAUGCAAAAGCUAUGUAAUUAAGACUACAUUUAUUAGGUUGGUGACCACAAAUAAUCGGAAGGAUAUUCACAAUAGUGUUAUUGAAGCUCUAUAUGGAAUAAGGAGACCAAACCUGUAUGUGAUAAGAGUUGUAUGAAUACCAAAUGAAUUGUCAGAGGAUAUGGUUACUUUAGAUUGCAAUUUAAGAAUGCUUGAGUUCUAAAAGCACAGAAGUGGGAUCAGUCUCUUGCUCAAGGGUAAACUCCUUCGUCAGUUAGUGAACUGUCCAUCAAAAGUAAAUAUUUAUGUGAUUGAGAGAAAUUUUGGAUUUUUGAUGAAAACAAAAAUCCUGUAUGCAUUUGCUUGCCCCCAAGGAGCUGAAGAUUCUCAAAUUGUUUGUAGACGUAAUAGUUCUUCUGAUAUCAUUUGGCUUGCUAAUCUUUCUUGCUAAAAAAUUUACCCGUUGUGUGGUCUUGAUGGUGGGUGAAAUUGAUGUGUGGUUUCAGAUGAAGAUGGCAGCAGAUAUGUGUGUGCCAUAUGACAUCGAGAAAAAGCAAAAGCCUUAAAGAGUUCAUCAACAUUUUCCAUUCAGAAGAAUCUGUUUUGUGGUUUUCAAUAUAAUUGAAGAAAUGAUGUUUGUACUGAUGCAGAUGCAGGAACUUUACACAUCUUAAGUUUACGAGAUAUAUAUAUAUUUUUUUGACUCUGUUAGAUAGCUGUCAGUUAGUUAACCAAUUUAUGUUACUCUUCCUUGGCUAGCCAAUUAAGAACUUAUGUUUGCUGCAUUGUAAAGCCUACAUCUGGAAGCCACAGCUGAUUUUAUUUGAAGGCAAUUUGUACUAGGCUAUAUGCGGAUUUCUAUCUUGAUUUCUGUAAGCUUGAAGGAGAUUUUUUUAUGCGUGAGAGCUUGAAAAUUAUACAUGUACAUGUUGAAACUAUUGGAUAUAUGUUAAGAAUCAAGCAUAAUUGUGUCAAGAUGAAACCAUAAUUUGGGUGCUGUUUUAUGAGUAAACUAUCUGCAAUUUGGGUGCAGUAAACCUAGGUUGAAUACCAGGACAUGGUAUAAAAGUGAAAUCACACAUUGAAUCUCGCAUAAAGAUUUUAAAGAUGCAAAUUCGAAUUGUACAUGAGAUGUUAUCUUGAUCGAAUUGCAGCGGCUUUGUUUUGGAUCCAGAAAACAAAAUUGUAGGCAUAGAGAAGUCUCUAUGGGAUGCUUAUAUUAAGGUGCAUAAUGGCCUCAUUGAGUUUUGUGCUGUUGUUCUACGUUGUUUGAGUUUUGUGCUGCGGUUCUUUGUUGCUGCUUUUGCUACCGAUUUUGGCUAUUUUCUGCCACUCUGUUAUUUGCUAUUUUUUACUACUUUCGCUGCUGAUUUUUGCUGUUUUCGCUGCUUUAGCUGUUGUUUUAUCUGCUGUUUUUUUUUACUGCUUUUAUUGUUAAUUUUUGCUGUUCUCUAUCGUGUUUUACCCACUGGUUGUCGCAUGUUUAUUAAUAUUGUUUGCUGCUGUUUGAUUUGCUGUUUUUUGCUGCUAAUUUUUUUUUCCUGUUUUCUGCGGUUAUUUGCUGCCGUUGCUGUUUUACUCGCCAGUUGAUGAUGUUUUGUGGUUCUCCUCCUCGAAUGCCUACAUUUUCCAGUGUGCAAGCAUAUCUGUUGAGAGUGGCUGAUGAAAUCACUAAACUGUUACAGUUGAUCUCAUGCUUCUCUAGAGAAGGAAUUAGACUUAUUUUGGUGAAGGGGUUUUUUCUGGUUUUUAUAUCAGUGUGUGCAUUUCUUCAAUCACGUAGCUUUGUGGCAUUACGAUCGAUAAUGGCAACUCCACAAUGAUGAUAAUGAUAAUUUUGUGAUUCAGACACGUUGUUAGGAAUUCUGUAUUGGUUUUUCUCUCGCCUUCGCUGUCUACAAUGAAGCAUAUAAUGGCUUUUAAUCUGCAACUGCUGCAAAAUGGACUCACUAGCUAGCAAAUAAUAAUAUAUAGUGCUGUUGUUAGAGUGCAAUUUAUGCACUAGUUUUGCAUUGUUUACUUCUCUUAAUAUCGAUGUUUUGCACUUAAUAAUAGUGAUUUACUUGUGUUUUACUUUUGUAGGUGCAAUUCUAUUGAUUAGUGAUAAAAUUGAGCUACAAGAUGAUGUUUAAGGAUGAUUGUUCUCUUGGAGAAAUUAUGAGCGGCAGAAGAACUUUGUUGAUAAGGCGUGGGCGCGUGCUGUCAACUGCGAACCUGCAGUUUUUAGUUUAACGUGUUUUGUAUUUUUGGUUAUUUUUGUAAUUACGAAUUUAAUAUUUCAGAUAUUAGUAUUUUAUUUUAAAUAGAAUUCUAGAGUAGAAGAGAGAGAGAGUAUUUAAGGGGGGAUUUGGAUGGGAGAAAAAGAAAGAAACCCUAGAUCUAAUUUUUCUCUUCUCUCUAUGAAGAGCUAAACCUAUUUUUCUGGUUGAAGGAUAAUGAAGCUUUGAUUCAUCACUACUGUGAGAUCUUUCUUGUGCUUUAAUUGUUUUAUUGCUUUUUGGGUAUUUGUUUAUUCUCUGAAUUAUUUUCAUGAUUAUGUUUGUUAAUUAGGUAAUUGGUCACUAUUUAAUUAUCAACUUAAUCUAUUGUCAAUUAAAGGACUCAUCGUAUGAAGAAUUUAAUGUUUGUGAUAAAUAACAUAGCAGAGAGUUGUGUUGUGAGAAUAAACAAUCUAAUUUAAAUGAAUCAUCAUAUGUGUUGAUUAGAAUUUGGGUCUCUCUGGUUUUUCAGGCUGUCAAUUGAUUAAAUCCUAUGAUCGUAUCUAGGGUUGUCUAUUGAUUAGGGAAAUAACCAAUGGUCGUACCUUGGUUAUCGACUAGUUAAGGAGAGAUUGGCUAUUAGAGGGUCUCAAUAGCUAUAACCGGUCUAUUCAUGAGUAAUAAUAAUCUAUAUUUGAAUCAAUGAUCAGUAGUCGAAUCAAGCUGAGUUAAUUCCUUCAACCAGAGCUUUCUCCAAUUUGAAUUACAACUUCAAUUUGCAUUCUUGUUAUUUUUAAUUUGAUUUUUAUUAUUGUCAACAAUUCCCCCAUUUUACGUUUUACGCUUCAAAAGGAUUUAAAUAAUUACCGAUCUCUGUGGACACGACCCUACUCAAUCACUAUACACAAUUUAUUUAGAGUAGGAAUUUAUUUUUGUUGGCUUCGACACCCAUCAAAUUUUGGCGCCGUUGCCGGGGAUUGGUGUCAUUUAUUUAAUCCUUUUUACGUUUUACUUGGUGUAUGGUUCGUUCUUCUCGUAGAGGUACACUUUCGUUUGAUCCUAAAAUUGAGAAGACAGCUCGCCAGUUGAGACAGCAGACGAAGCGAGCUAAGCAACGAUCCUCAUCACCUUUGCUUUCUGAAAUAGAUAGGGUGCCUGAUUUAGUUGAAUCAUCUAGUGAUUCAGAAGAACAAGUGAUGGAUAGACCUGCACCUGUAGAAAGAACUCUUAGAGAGUUAGCUGAACCAGACUUGAAUCAGCAACCACUCUGCAUUCAAUAUGUAGAUUUGGAGGUAAAUUUUGAAUUAAAGUCUGGUCUUAUUCAUUUAUUACCCAAGUUUCAUGGUUUUGCAGGUGAAGAUCCUCAUAAACAUCUUAAGGAGUUUCAUGUUGCGUGUUCAAGUAUGAGACCACAAGGCGUGACUGAAGAGCAGAUUAAGCUGCGUGCUUUUCCUUUCUCUUUAGAUGGACUAGCUAAAGAUUGGUUAUACUACUUGCCUCCUGGAUCGAUUACAACGUGGAAUGGUUUGAAGAAGCAGUUCCUCGAGAAGUACUUUCCUGCUUCAAGAGCUGCCAACAUCAGAAAAGAUAUUUGUGGGAUCAGACAACUUCCUGGGGAGACUUUGUAUGAGUAUUGGGAGCGAUUCAAACAAUUGUGUGCCAGCUGUCCUCAGCAUCAGAUUUCUGAUCAACUUCUUAUUCAAUAUUUUUACGAAGGAUUAUCAUUGAUGGAUAGGAGUAUGAUAGAUGCUGCUAGUGGAGGCGUGUUGGUGAACAAGACCCCUACUCAAGCAAGGGAGUUGAUCUCAAAUAUGGCUGCCAAUGCACAACAAUUUGGCAGCAGACAAGAUGCCACUUCAAGAACGGUGAAUGAGGUAAAUAUUUCUUCUGUUGAACAACGUUUAGAUAAACUUACUUCUCUUGUGGAAAAGUUUGUUGUAGGUAAUGUGCAACAGGUGAAGACUUGUGGCAUUUGUUACAAUAUGGGUCAUUCAACUGAUAUGUGUCCUACACUUCAAGAAGAACCCGUUGAACAAGCCAAUGCAGUUGGAGGAUUUCUAGGCAUGCCUCAGAGGAGGUAUGAUCCUUAUGUACAAACAUACAAUCCGAGAUGGAAGGAUCAUCCCAACUUCAGCUAUGGAGUUAGGCCGUCAGGAUUCCCACAACAGUAUCCACCAAGACAACCAACACCUCCACAAUCAAACUCCAAGUCAGGUAUAUCUCUUGAAGAAAUUGUUAAAUCACUUGCGACUAACACUCAACAAUUUCAGCAGGCAACUACAACAAGCAUUCAGAACUUGGAGAACCAAAUGAGUCAAUUGGCGACUACAGUGAGCCGUCUGGAGUCUCAAGUAUUAGGGAGAUUGGCUUCACAAUCUGAGGUGAAUCCAAAGAAAAACGUUAGUGCUGUCAUCCUUAGAAGUGGGAAGGAGUUGCAAGAGCCUAGUAAGAAAGUGACAGAGCAUGUAGAAGAUGAGCUUGAGAAGAAUGAAUUGAUGCCUCAAUCUCAAGAUGCACAACCCACCGGAGCGAAACCCCUACCUAUUGUGAUACCUCCUCCUUUUCCAAGCCGGUUUGCAAAAUCUAAGAAGGAGGAACAAGAGAAAGACAUCCUUGAGACAUUUCGCAAGGUUGAGGUAAAUAUUCCUUUAUUAGAUGCUAUAAAACAAAUACCUCGAUAUGCUAAAGUCCUUAAGGAACUGUGCACCUCCAAAAGAAAAUUAAGAGGAGAUGAAAAAGUUCACAUGGGGGAGAAUGUUUCAGCAGUUCUCCAAAAGAAACUACCUCCUAAGUGCAAGGAUCCAGGUAUGUUUACUAUCCCUUGUAAAAUUGGUAGUGUUAGAGUUGAAAAUGCUAUGUUAGAUCUAGGAGCUUCUAUUAAUGUCAUGCCUCGUUCCAUUUAUUCAUCUUUGAAUGUUGGUUCAUUAAAAGAAACUGGCGUGAUAAUUCAACUAGCUGAUAGGUCUAAUGCAUAUCCUGAUGGGGUAUUAGAAGAUGUCUUAGUACAAGUUAAUGAGUUGGUUUUUCCUGCUGAUUUUUAUGUACUUGAUAUGGAAGAUGAUAACUCCUCUAAUUCUGUCCCAAUUUUGCUAGGAAGACCUUUUCUUAAGACUGCUAGGACUAAAAUGGAUGUACAUAAAGGGACUCUCACUAUGGAGUUUGAUGGAGAGGUUAUAGAAUUCAAUAUGAAUGAUACCAUGAAAUAUCCUAGUGAGGAACAUUCGGUAUUUUCUGUGGAUGUUAUUAACCCUAUAGCGCAAGAAAUUUUUUACAAGGAAAAGACGAAGACAUUUCAUGAUAGAAUGAUUUUGAGAAAGGAGUUCUCUGUUGGUCAAAAAGUUCUUCUUUUUCAUUCUAAGUUUAAACUUUUUCCGGGUAAAUUACGUUCUUGCUGGGUUGGACCUUUUAUUGUUACUAAUGUUUUUCCUCAUGGUGCAGUUGAGAUUCGGAGUCCGACCUCUGACAAAGUUUUUAAGGUUAAUGGUCAUCGCUUAAAACCUUUUUAUGAAGGUUUUUCGGUGAAUAUUGUGGAGGAUGUGGCUCUCGAGAGUCCCAAUUAUGGAGAUUGAUGCAUAAAUGUGUCUAGCCAAAGACAUAAAACAAAUGCGCUUUUUGGGAGGCAACCCAAAUGAUUUAUUUAUUUUGGUUUUUGUUAUAUCUUCUUUUAAUUUUGAUUUAGAUUUUUUUUUAAAAUAAUGUGUUUGCUUAUUUUGGCCAGAAGAAAAUUUUUGAUAAGGCGUGCCCACGUCUUAACUAAAAAAUACUUCUAUAAUUUUUAAAGUAAAAUAGUUUUAAGGCGUGCCCACGUGCUUAUUAAAAAAAUACUUCUAAAAUUUUUGGUGUCUCAAAGUGUUUCAUCACUAAAAAAAAAAAAUCUUUUUUUUAUUUAAUUUAAUUUAUUUUUAAAAAAAAAAACGAAAAAAAGAGAUUUUCUUUUGUUCUUUCUUUUAUAUAUUUAUUUAUUUAUUUAUUAAAAAAAAAACCAAAAAUCGAAAAUCAUUGUUCACAAAUCCCUAAUUCAAAAAUUACUGUUGAUUAUCGUUUUACAGCAGCGCGCCUCAGCUCCAGCCUUCACCCCGCAACGCAAGCAGCAGCCAGCGCGAACCAGUCGCGCGCAACGCAACCCAGAUUCUCAACUCCAGCCGCACGCAACGUAGCGAGCAGCAGCAGACCAGCAGCGUAAACCAGCUCUCGCACGCAACACAACGCGAACGCAGCAGUGCGUAGAUCCAGCCCAGCAACGCAGCGCGAACCAGCAACGCGAACCACCAGCGCGCAACGCAAGCCCCUGCGCGCGCAGCACCAGCAUCCCGUGUCUCGCAGCCCAGCAGCGCGCAACGAAGUCCCACCAGCGCGCAACGCAGCGCAGCACCCGCAAAGCAAGCCUCACCAGCGCGCAACGCAAGCCCGCAACGCAGCAACGAGCACGCCCUGCAACGUAACCAGCUUACGCCCUGUAUUCCAGCAGGGUAAAUCGAAAUCUGUGAGUGCAAUUAUUGUAACAAUGCCGAAGAGGAAAGCAUCCACUUCCAAGUCAUCGAAAAAGACACCCAUCGCAAAGAAAUCUAAGAUUGCCGCUCCCACUACGGUUCCAUGGAACACAAUUUCAGAUUCACGCUAAGCCGUGAGACAAAGAUCGAAGCAUGGAAAAGGCAUGAGUAUUUUGUCACUUGCGGAAUCCAAUCUCGGAGGGUGCCUCGCAUUCGCGACUCAACAAGAGAAAGAGAGGUACAAAGAUAUUUCCACGCGCAAAAUACUUCCAGCUAAGUAUAUUCAUUACCCGACUCUUGAAAAAUUGAAUGUUAAGGAUAAUUUUGAUUCUUUGAUAGAUAAGAUUGGGUUGCGUAAAUUUGUUGAUGUUGAUUGUUUGGGUUAUGUUGAGUUGAUUAGGGAGUUUUAUGCUACUUUUCAAUUUACUAUGCCGAAUGAUUUUACUUUGUAUACCCCGGAUGUCAUUAAGUUUAGGUUAAUAGAACGAAAUUUUUCACACUCUAUCACGGAUUUUAACCUAGCUUUAGGAUUCAUUGAUGAUGAUUAUUCUAUUAGUGAUGAAUAUUUAGGAACAACUUGUGACUUUAGCGAAAAUUUUGAGCCUUAUGGUCUUUGGCGUAAUUUAUCUGUUGAUCACAAUGCCUAUGACCCGAGUAAAUCAAAGAGUUCUUUCUUACGUGAUCCUGUUUUGAAAUGUGUGCAUCGAUUCUUAGCAUAAUUUUUUAGGCAAGAAAGAUCACUCAGGAAUUUUCUCUAAAACUGAAUUUUAUUUUAUCUGGUGCAUGUUAAAUGAUGUGAAGCCUAAUUUAGGUUUUUGGUUAGCGGAUCAAUUUCAAAGUGUGCUUAAACGGUAUAGGACUUUAUUUCUUGGUCCAUACAUUACUAUGCUAGCUAUAAACCUAUGUGUGCUUGAUCCCGACAAUAAUGAUUUGCAUCCUGCUUGCAAAAAGGAAUUUUUGGAUAUGUCUGUGUUUGAAAGAACAGGUGUGGUCGAAUUCAAGGAGGGGAGAUUUCAGUUUAUUGAACCAGGACCCACUCAACUUCCGAAGAAGCUUUAUGCUAGGAGUGGUACUACCUCUGAUGACGAGUUUGACGACGACACUGCUGCCCCGUCAACUAUUCCUUCUACAUCCGCACCACCUUUGAGCAUUUAGUUAGAGAAAAUGGAGCACAAACUGAACAAGAUGGAGCAGAAUUUGGCCGCAUACUUCGAGAGUGUGGGAUUUACCCCACCAUUUCCGCCAAACCCAUAGACGUUAUGUGGAUCAAAGCUCACAAUUCAGAGAAGUUUCUUUUUGCCCUUAAUCUUUUAUCCUUACGCUUUAAUUUUUAUGUGAGCUUUGAUUAUCUUACAUUGGGGACAAUGUAAGUUCUUGGUGUGGGGGAGGGAUUUUUGCAUUAUUGAUGUCUGGAAUUAUUGUUUUCACUCUACUCAUCUAUUUUCACUCUACUCAUCAUUAAAUGAUUUUGGAGUUAGUAUGCUUCAUAUAUUAUUAAUUUUCUUUUCCUCUUUCUCUCACUACUCUUUUCCCAUCUAUCUCAAAUUAUUUACAUCUAUUUUUAUUCUAUCAUACUCUUUCAUCACUCACAUUUUAUCUUUCACUUUUCAUAUUACUACAUACAUCUUUCUCACUUCUUAUUAUUUUUACCUUUUCUUUUAUAUAUCACUCAUACCUUCUUCUUAUUCUACACCACUAUUGAUGGUUGAUUCAUUUGAAGAGUGUACAUGAUUUGAUGGCAAAUUUACCAACUUUGUGAGGAUUUGAGCCUAUGAGCAACCACUUUGCUCUAAUAUUUUUUGUUAUGUGAAUAUCAAUCUUAGUUUGUUUAUUCUAGAACUUGCUUUGUUAUGCAUGUUGAAGCUGCAUUACGGGAUUUUAUGCAUUAAAAUGAUAAGGGCAAACCCUUUUCCAUUUUUCUAUUCUCGCCUUUUUUUUUCUCUACACGAAGACCUUUAUUUGCUACCUUUGUUUGAGCCUUAACCAUUUUUCUUCUUUUGAGCCUCGAUUUAAGGAGAUUUUUGGACUCAUUGUGUGAAUAUAUUUUGUUGCUUUUUCUACCUUGUAUUAAAGUUUCUCAAUUAGAUCAACAAGCAUUAUGCUUGAAUUAAAUUGUGCAAGGUUAGUUUCUUUUGUUUGAUUCAAAAACAAAAAAAAAAAAAAACAAAAACAAAAAAAAACAAAAAACAAAAACAAAAAAAAACAAAAAAAAAGAAAAAGAAAAAUAAAAAAAAGAAAAGAAAAAAAAUAUGUUUACAUUCUUGGUGACUUGAGUAGAAAUAAGCAUUUUGAUAUCAUAAGUUCAUUCAAUGAGUUCAUUCUUCUCGUUUUGAUCUCGUUUUCUUUCGUAGACCUUUCUUUUUCAUUUCACCCAUUUAACCCCAUUACAACCCUUUUAAGACCCUUAGAUUUUUGCAUUUUAUUCAUGCUUUGUGGAUUGAGAUGUGAUAUAUGAGCAAGCUUAUGGUAAUAGCAUUCUUUGAUUUGAUUUGAGUGGAUAAAUGACACCCUAAACACUUUGAGUGCAAGGAGUGAAGUUAUUGAGAGGGCUAUUAAAUCUUGUUGCACUUGAAUUUUGAAUGGAUCUUCUUGGUGGUUGAAUGUUCUUAUUCUAUCUUAUGAAAUUCUAUGCUUUAAAAUCCUUGUCUCUCGAAUGUUGAUCGACUUAAUUUCUUGAGGUAUGCUUGCUUAAAAUUGUUUUUGGAUGAGUUGAGAUGAGAAUUGAGUGGAGAUUUGAGAUUAAUCUUGAGUUAUAUGCUUGAGGACAAGCAUCAUCUUGGUGUGGGAGAAUUUGUUAGAGUGCAAUUUAUGGACUAGUUUUGCAUUGUUUACUUCUCUUAAUAUCGAUGUUUUGCACUUAAUAAUAGUGAUUUACUUGUGUUUUACUUUUGUAGGUGCAAUUCUAUUGAUUAGUGAUAAAAUUGAGCUACAAGAUGAUGUUUAAGGAUGAUUGUUCUCUUGGAGAAAUUAUGAGCGGCAGAAGAACUUUGUUGAUAAGGCGUGGGCGCGUGCUGUCAACUGCGAACCUGCAGUUUUUAGUUUAACGUGUUUUGUAUUUUUGGUUAUUUUUGUAAUUACGAAUUUAAUAUUUCAGAUAUUAGUAUUUUAUUUUAAAUAGAAUUCUAGAGUAGAAGAGAGAGAGAGUAUUUAAGGGGGGAUUUGGAUGGGAGAAAAAGAAAGAAACCCUAGAUCUAAUUUUUCUCUUCUCUCUAUGAAGAGCUAAACCUAUUUUUCUGGUUGAAGGAUAAUGAAGCUUUGAUUCAUCACUACUGUGAGAUCUUUCUUGUGCUUUAAUUGUUUUAUUGCUUUUUGGGUAUUUGUUUAUUCUCUGAAUUAUUUUCAUGAUUAUGUUUGUUAAUUAGGUAAUUGGCCACUAUUUAAUUAUCAACUUAAUCUAUUGUCAAUUAAAGGAUUCAUCGUAUGAAGAAUUUAAUGUUUGUGACAAAUAACAUAGCAGAGAGUUGUGUUGUGAGAAUAAACAAUCUAAUUUAAAUGAAUCAUCAUAUGUGUUAAUUAGGAUUUGGGUCUCUCUGGUUUUUCAGGCUGUCAAUUGAUUAAAUCCUAUGAUCGUAUCUAGGGUUGUCUAUUGAUUAGGGAAAUAACCAACGGUCGUACCUUGGUUAUCGACUAGUUAAGGAGAGAUUAGCUAUUAGAGGGUCUCAAUAGCUAUAACCGGUCUAUUCACGAGUAAUAAUAAUCUAUAUUUGAAUCAAUGAUCAGUAGUCGAAUCAAGCUGAGUUAAUUCCUUCAACCAGAGCUUUCUCCAAUUUGAAUUACAACUUCAAUUUGCAUUCUUUUUAUUUUUAAUUUGAUUUUUAUUAUUGUCAAUAAUUCCCCAAUUUUACGUUUUACGCUUCAAAAGGAUUUAAAUAAUUACCGAUCUCUGUGGACACGACCCUGCUCAAUCACUAUACACAAUUUAUUUAGAGUAGGAAUUUAUUUUUGUUGGCUUCGACACCCAUCAGCUGUCAAAUUUAUAAAGAUUAUAUAUACACACACUUUCGUGUUCAAUGCACCGACACUAGAUGUAUAUUGGCAUUUAGAAAAGUUGGCGAUAACUAAUGACUUUCAAGAUUAAUUAAAUGACAAUAUUCAGUCUAUCAUAAAACAAGUUUUCAACAAGUGAAGAGGAGGUACUCUUUAUAAUUGGAUAAUUAAUGCAACCUUCAAUGUUUUCAACCAAAAAAAAAAUGAUAUUUGAUAUGUAUUCAACAUUAGGGAAAAACCUCCCAUAUCGAAGGUUUGCUUAAACGAUCAAAUAAAUUCACUUAGUUUCGUAAAUGGUUGUACAUAUCCUCUUUUUGACUAUUUAUUGGGUUAUGUUUGAGAGUUAGGACUAAGUGUGGGAUUAUACUAACUUUGAGAUUAAAUAUUAUUCUAUAUUUAGCAAUUUUCCUUGGAUUGGAUUAUGAGAGACUAAAUUCUAAGUUAGUUGUUAAAUAAAGGGGAUUGGCAAUACCAAUUUAUAAAUAGAUUUAAAUGGGAUUAGAAUAAGGGGAUAAAAUGUUCAUUUGUAAUAUUUCUUUCAUAUAUAACACCAUCUUUUAUUUAUUACUUCAAAUUUAAUAAAUGAAUUAAUUAUUUUAUUCAUGAUUUACUUGAAAUAUAUUUUUUAUUUUGUUUUUAUAUUCUAAUUAAAUUGGUACUUUAAUUUAAUAAUUUUUUACAUUAAUUGAUUGUACUAAAUUUAAUAAUCACCAAUGUGAUAUUAAAAUAUAAUUAUGAAAAUUAAUAAUACUAGUAAUUAAUUGAUUUUAUAUAUUAUUUGCUAAUUUUUUGAUAAAAUAAAAUAUAUAUCUAAAAUAUCUAAAUAAUCAAAAAGUUUUAUUAAUUUAUAUUUUUUAUUACAAUUAUGAUUACCCAUAAGUAAUUUACUGUAUAUUUAAUGUUCUUAUUAAUUAUAUUUAAAUUAAUCUUAAUUAUUAUUCUUAAAUAUUCAUAAAUAGUUUUUUAUUUAAAUAUAAUUUAAUAUUGUCUAAUCCAAUGUUGUACUAAACAUAAGACAGUAGUGUAUAAUCCAACAUAAUACUUAGUCCAAUUUAGUCUUGCAUGCCAAAUGUAAUCUUAUACACUUUGAUUACAACAAGCCAAUAAUUGACUUAAAUAAACUUCUAUAACAAUUAUAAGUUAAAAUUAAAAUAGUAUGAUAUAUAAAAUAAGAUAAAAUUUAUAAAUUAUUUUGAAUAUUAGAAAAAUGAUUUUAACAUUAUUAAUUUGUCAUAUUCUUUUACUACUAAUAAAAUCUGUUUGACAAAUUAAUAAUAUUAAAAUAAUUAUACCUAACAUUCACAAUAAUUUAUAAAAUUUAUAUAUUUUGUUAGCAAAUGUUUUAAUUAUGUCUAUAUUAAUAUAAAUCUUAAAGUCAAUUUUUGGAUUAAUAGAUUUUAGUAUAUAUAAUAAUAACUUAAUAUUAAAAAUAAUUUUCAUUACAUACGUUAUUCUAUUAAUUAUCUUAUUGUAAUAUUUUAUUUGUAUCAUAUGAUGUUUAUUAAUUAUUUUUUUAUCUUAUUACUAUAUUUAUAUUUAUUUGUGUUGUUGUAAUCAAAGGGUAUAGUAACUAAAAAUGUGUUUAUGUGACUAUUUAACCUAAAGGGUCUUUGUGACCAUUUAAGUAAACCUUGGAAAUGUGUGACAAUAGUCAUUCUAAUGACUUUCAAGAUUGAAAGUGAGUCGGAUUAUCAAAUUAUGAAGCAUUAAUACAUAAUGUUUUAUGGUUAUUUUAAAGUUGAAGUUGGUUUAUUCAUUAAACAAGCUUUUAACAAGAGGAGAAAGUUCCCUUUAGAAUUUAAUAAUUAAUACAACCUUCAAUAACAAAAAAGUCAUAUAAUAAGGAUGAUGAUUCUUGCUCACUUGGAUACAUAUAUAUAACCUAUGAUGUGGUAAGCAAGGUAUCAAUUAUGUAUUUCUUGUAUCUGAAAAAAUGAAUAAUCCUUUAACGAAGGUUAUCAUCAAUUGCAGGUUUCUAGUUUGGCUGCUUAGUUUUAGGACUACGAAUAUUACAAUAUCAUAAUUAAAGGAAAGAAUAUAUGCGGUAGUCUUUGCCUGAUCUACUUUCUUCUUCUUAAUUAACCACUUAAAAGGAAAGAAUAUUGUAUACGCAGCACACUAUAAUACUCUAAUUACCAAUUCUUUAUCUUAUAAUAUAAGUUCAUAGUGAUUAAUUUGCCCUUCUCCAGCAAAAAAACAAAUCCCAUUUCAGCACAUCUACAAGAGCCCUCAUUUCUCUUUGCUCCAGCCAAUUGAUAGCAGAAUCAUCACAGACACCUUGAGCUCCGUCAAUCAUCAUUGACAAUUGGUGACUAGUGGGAGCAUUACAAGGAUGGUACGACGAGUACAAACUGAUAGAUUUGUUUAUAUGAAUCGGCUGUAGUUUUUAUAUAUGGUUAAAUUAUGACAAUAAUCAAGAGAUAAUCAUGUACCUCAUUAGUUUCAUAAAUGUACAUACUAAUUUAUUCCCCUGCUUGCCAGAAUCAAACAUGUAGAAUAAGAUAAAUUUUAAGAUUUAAAAUUUUCAAUUCAUUAAAAAUCUAGUGGGAUAUUAAUCGGUAAAACCACUUAGGGGUAGUACAAGAGGUUUGUGGUGCUAACCAAUUUAUGUGAGUGGAGAAAGAAUUAGGCUUUUUUAAUAAAAAUUAAUAAUCAUAAUAAUAAAAGGACAUAAAUUUCAAGAUUUAAAACUUUAGACUUCAUUAGAAGUAAGAGGGGGAUCGUAAAAAAAUUGAAUGUAACUUAUCGGUAGUGGAAUGGAUUUUUUUUUUUUUUGGUUGCAGCUAUUUACACACCUUUGAACACAUGUUAGGGUGAGGGUAUUUCAGUAUUUUACCCACAUCUCAAUAAAAUAUUUUGAGGUGAUGCUACCACUAAACAACUCAUUAAACUCAUUUACUUAAUAAACACACUUCUAAAAUUUAAAAUGCACAAUUUUAUUUUACAAACCCAUUAAUACCUAAAAUACCCUUAUUAAGUUAAAUUAUCACAAUUUCUCUUAUCAUUUUCUUUUCCCAUCAUUUCUCCGUUUCUUCACUCUUUUCUUCUUCAUUUUUGGAGCUUUACCCAUAGCUUUUUUAUUCCAAAUUCUCAAACUUUUUAUUUUAUUUUUUAAUAGCUAUUUUUCCCGUUGAUAUUUCAUGCGUUUAUAUGAUUCAGCUAUAGUUUUAACUUUUAUAUAUGGUCAAGUUAUAACAGUAAUCAAGAGAUAAUCAUGUUCAUCAUAAGUUGCAUAAAUGUACAUACUAAUUUAUUCCUCUACUUGCUAGAACCAUACAUAUAAAAUGAGAUACAUUUUAAGGUUUAAUCUUAGGGUUGGCAAUAAGCUCCGGAUCCAGCCCAGAUCCGCAACAAUCCAGAAGAUCCAGAUCUGGAAAAAUACAGAUCCGCAUGCUAAAAAAUGCGAAUCCAGAUCUUAAAAAUCACAAUCCGUGCGGAUCCGGAUGUAAGUGCAUCCGGAAAACCGAAUAUCUGGAUCCACAAUUUUUUAUAAUUAAAUUAUUUAUGUAAUUAAAUUUCAAUUGAAAAAUAGAUAAAUUAUUUAUUUAAAUGUAUAUGCAUUAUUAACUCUCUAAUCUUCAUUAACUUUAAAAAAUAUGUUAAUAAACUAAUAAUAAUUAUAAUAAUUAGAGAAUAUUGUAAUAAAUCGGUUUACCUUACAUUUUUUUUAUGUUUGAUUUAUAUUGUGAAAUUAUUGUUUGUGAAUUUAUGGUGUCGUUGUUUGUUAUUUAUGUUGAAUUGAAGUCAAAUUGUUGAUUCUUACUUAUAAUUGAAUUUUAUUUAAUAUUCUUAUGUAAAUUAUUAAAUUAAAAUUAUAUUUAAAUUUAUUAUUAUGCAGAUCCGAAUAUCCGGAAUAUCCGUCCGCAAUCUGUGCGGAUGUUAUCCGCAUCCGGAUUCGUAUUUUUUUUUUGCGGAUCCGGAUGUCAAAAGUUUAAUCCGGAUCCGGAUGCACUAAGAUCCGGAUCCAGAUCCAAAUUUUGCCAUCCCUAGUUUAAAACUUUGCAAUUCGUUAAAAAUCUUGCGGGAUAUUAACCGAUAAAACCACUUAGGGAUAGUAUAAGAGGUUUAUGAUUUCUCAACCCAUUUAUGUGGGUGGAGAGAGAAUCAAGUGUUUUUUUAAAUAAAGAAUAAUUAAUAAUUAAUAAUCAAAUUAAUAAAAAUAAAUAAAUUGUAAGGGGGAUCGUAAAAGUUUUGUAUGUAACAUAUCGGUAGUGGAAAGAAUUUUUUUUGGAGAGGCUAUUUGGCUUGGAACAUAUAUUACAAUACUCUCUUCAUCCACUUCUCAAUAAAAUAUUUUAUUAAAAAAUUUUCCUUAAUUGAAUUAUUGUUUUAGCCAUAUAUUAUGUUCGUUUAUCUCCCUAAAGUUUUUAUUCUUUCACCCUUUUUUCUCUUUUCCUCUGUGUCUCCCCAAUUUUUUUCCAGUCCUAUGGGGUUCUUAUUAAAGCUUCUAUUGAGUAAAAUCUCUAUUAAAAUUGCUUAUAAAAAAAAAAAGAAAAAAAGAAUGGGUCUCUUUUAAAAUUUGUCUUUCCUUCCUUUACCCUUGAGUUACUAUUAGAUGUAUAAGCUCAAGAUGAGACUAGUAAUUGGAUUUCCAUUAAAAGUUUUAAUUUCAAAAAAUCAAAAGAUCACCAUACAAAUAUCAAAAGAUCACUAACUUAAUUAUACUGGUAAUAAUUAAGAUAAGUAAAAGACCUACUAUUUCUGUUUGAUGUUAUUAUGAUAAAGAAAAAAAAAAAUAGCAAGUUGCUGCAGUUGCAACAAUUGAGGAUAUGCUAAUAAAAGUGUUACAGAGAUAGAUUUAAUUGAUAAAAAUAAGAUUUUAAUAAAAAGUAUUGAGAGAAACAAUUAAUAAAAACUAAUGAUAUUUAUUAAGGGUAUAUUAUGAAUAUUUGUGGCCUUUUUUGAGGUAACUAAAUAAAUUUUAAGUUGUGAUAAUGUGUUUAUUACAUAAGUGGAUUUAUUCAGUAUUCUAGUGGAUUUAAAGAGUUUCAACUCUCAUAUUAUAAUAAAUUUUUAUAUUGCUACAAUUGCCCUAAUAUAGUGGACAAUAUUAUAUUGUACACAUAAGAAUACUCUAGCACGGUAGCACCCAAUUAAAAUUUUUAGUAAAACAUAUAAGAACUCUAAAUGUAAAGAGAAUUCCGUCAAGGUAUUGCAGUAGUAUUUAAUGCUCUUGGCUAGUGUAAACUAUUGUGCCACAUGUAGUAUUUCGAUCCUGACAAGUGCAUUACAAAUAAUGACUCUUAUUUCAGGUCUUUUAGGUACUUUAGAGAUAUAUUAGCUCUGGAGCUAGUAUUAGGUCAUAACGUGCUUCUUUUAAUGAAAGAUGUGGUUCAUUUUUCCCUACACCAAAGCAUUUUCUGUGGAAUAACCGUGUCAAAUGCUCAUUUAUCAAGGGCACGUGUGGUGUUGUCAGUAUGAUAUGCUAACCCACGUGCACUUAUGGAAAAUCAAAUGAGAAAAAUGAAUUAAAAAAUGCAAAAGCUAAUUAAUAAUGUUCGAGUUUGAGAUGAAGAAUAUUUAAUUUUAUGGAUAUAAAGAUAAGAAAGAUUUAAUGAGAACUAUCCUAAUAUUAAAAUACUAUUUAAAAUAAAUUUUAUUUGACGUAAUAGUAUGUCUCAUAAUAAGACUCGUAGUGGUCAGAAUCGUACAUGUAAAAUGAGAUAAAUUUUAAGGUUUAAAACUUUGCAAUUCAUUAAAAAAUCUAGUGCGAUAUUAAUUGGUAAAACCUCUUAGGGGUAGUACAAGAGGUUUAUAAUUCCCUAAUCCAUUUAUGUGGGUGGAGAGGGAAUUAAGAGUUUUUUAAUAAAGAAUUAAUAAAAAUUAAUAAUCUUGUUAAUAACUUAUUGGUAGUAGAAUGGAAUUUUAUUUGGAGAGGCAAUUUGGCUCAGAACAUAUAUUAAAAUGAGGAUAUUUGAACCCGCCACAAUACUCUCUACAUCCACUUUUCAAUAAAAAAUUUAUUACAAAAUUUUCCUUAAUUAAAUUACUAUUUUAGCCAAAUAUUACGUUCAUUUAUCUCCCUAAAGUUUUUAAUUUUUAACCCUUUUUUCUCUUUUCCUGUUUGUCUCCCCAAUUUGUUUCUAGUCCUAUGUGGUUCUUAUAUUUUAAAGCUUCUAGGAGUAAAAUCUCUACUAAAAUUGCUUAUCAAAAAAAAAAAUCUCUUUUAAAAUUUGCCUUUUCUUUACCCCCAAGUUAUUAUUAGAUGUAUAUGUUCACCGUGAAAGUUUAGAUCUCAAACCUUUUCUGUAUCUUAAAUGGAUUGUCGUGGAUAUGCCUAAGAUGAGCAUUUUCUUCCUCUUCACUUCAUCAUCUUUGAUAUAGUAAUUAUAAUUGAUUGAGGAGUGUUAAAACGCAUUGUGAUGAAUGAAUGCACAAGCUAUGUGAUUAAGACUGCAUUUAUCAGCUGGUGGGCGACCGCAAAUAUUAGGCAGGUUAUUCACAAUAGUGCUACUGAAGCUUUAUAUGGAAUAAGGAGACCAAACCUCUAUAUGAUAAGAGUUGUAUGAAUACCAAAUGAAUUGUAAGAGGAUAUGGUUAAUUUAGAUUGCAAUUUAAGAAAGCUUGAAUUCUAAGAGCACAGAAAUGGGAUCAGUCUUGCUCAAGUGUAAACUCCGUCAGUUAGGAAGCUGUCCAUCAAAUGUAAAUAUUUAUGUGAUUGAGAGAAAUUUUGGACUUUUGUUGAAAACAAAAAUCCUGUAUGCAUUUGCUUGCCCCCAAGGAUAUAUGUUGUGCAAGCAUAUAUGUUGAGACCGGCAGAUGAAAUCACUAAACUUUUACAGUUGAUCUGAGGCUCCUCUAAAGAAGGAUUUGGAUUUUGGAAUUAAUUUGGGGAAAGGGUUUUUUUUUGGGUAUAUGAGUGUAAGCGUUCCUUCAAUCACGUAGCUUUGUGCCAUUAACAUAAUGGCAAUUCCACAAUGGGGAUAAUGAUAAUUUUGUGAUUGGGAACUCUUUACUGGUUUUUCUUUCGCCAUCUGUGUCUAUGAUUAAGGUUGUUUAAAGUGUUAUGGCUUUUAAUCUACGACCAUUGUGAAAUGGACUCACUAGCUGGCAAAUAAUAAAACAUAGUGCUGUCAAAUUUUGUAAGGAUUAUGCAUACACACUCUUUCGUCUUCAAUGCCCUAAAACUGGGUAACUACAUGUAUGAUUUUCAUUCAGAAAAACUGGCAAGAACUAAUGACUUUGCAGAUUAAAAAAUAAGUAGGAUUAUCAGAUUAUGUAGCAUUGUUAUGUAAUGUCUUGUGGUUUUUUUAAGGUUAAAGUUGGUUUGGAAAUUAAUUAAAAGACGAUAUUCAUUCUAUCAUGACGAGUUUUUAACAAGAGGAGAAGGUUCCUUUUAUAAUUUACUAAUUUAUACAGCCUUUAAUAUUAAAACAAAAUUUUAUAUAUUAAGGACGAUGAUUCUUGCUCACUUAGUAAGAUAUGUACAUAACAUAGGUUUGUUAAGCAAGGAAUCAAUUAUGUAUUUCUUGUAUCUGAAAAAAUGAAUCAUCCUUUAACGAGGGUUAUCAUCAAUUGCAGGUUUCUAGUUUGGUUGCUUGGUUUGAGGACUAUGAAUAUUACAUUGUCAUAACUAAAGGAAAGAAUAUAUGCCAUGGCCUUUGGCUGGUCUACUUUUUUCUUUUCAAUUAACCUCUUGCGGGGAAAGAAUAUUGUAUAACACAGCACACUAUAAUUACCAAUUCUUUAUCUUAUAAUAUAAGUUCAUAGUGAUUAAUUUGUCCGUCUUCAGCCAAAAAAAAAAAAGUCCCAUUUCAGUACAAAUACAAGAGCUCUCAUUUUUCUUUGCUCCGGCCAUUUUAUAGCGGUGUCAUCACAGACACCUCAAGCUCUGCCGAAUCAUCAUAGACAAUUCGUGAUUGGUGGGAGCAUUACAAGAAAGGUACGACUACUUCAAACUGAUAGAUUUGUUUGUAUGAUUUAGCUAUAGUUUUAACUUUUAACAAUAAACAAGAGACAAUCAUGUACAUCGUUGGUUACAUAAAUGUAGAUGCUAAUUUAUUCUUGUACUUGCCAGAUCCAUACAUAUAAAAAUGAGAUAAAUUUUAAGGUUUAAAAAAUUUCAAUUCAUCAAAAAUCUAGUGCCAUAUUAAGCGGUAAAAUCACUUAGGGUUAGUACAAGAGGUUUAUGAUUCCCCGACCCGUUUAUAUGUAGGGGUGAGGAAGGUAUUAGGCAAUAAAGAAUUAGUAAAAAUUAAUAAACAUAUUAUAAAAAGAAAUAAAUUUCAAGAGGGAUCGUAAAAGAUUGUAUUUAACUUAUCGUUAGUGGAAUGGAAUCUUUUUGGAGAGGCUAUAUUUGGCUUGGAACAUAUAUUAGAACAAGGUUAUUUGAACCCACCGCACUCUCCAAAAUCCACUUCUCCAUAAAAAAUUUCAUUACAAAAUUUUUCUUAAUUAAAUUACUAUUUUAACCAAAUAUUAUGUUAAUUUAUCUCCCUAAAUCUUUUAUUUUUUUCACCCUUUUUUCUCUUUUCCUAUCCGUCUCCCCAAUUUUUUUUCUAGUCCUGUGUGGUUCUUAUACUUUAAAUAGUGGCUCUUAUUUCAGUUCCUCGUAGGCACUCUAGAGACACACGUUAGCUUCGAAGCUAGUAUUUGGUCAUCAUGUGCUUCUUUUAAUGAAACAUGUGGUUCAUUUUAUCCUUAUAUGAGAGCAUUUUGUGCGGAAUAACCAUGUCAAAUGCUCAUUUAUCAAGGACACGUGUUGUGUUCUCAGAACAUAGUAAAAAUAUGAUACGCUAACCCAUGUACAUUUAUGGAAAAUCAAAUGAAAACAAAGAACUAAAAAAAAGUACAACGGCUAAUUAAUAAUGUUUGAGUUUGAGAUGAUUAAUAUUUAAUUUUAUGGUUGUAAAGAUAAGAAUAAAAGUACGUCUAGUGAGGACUAUCCUCAUAUUAUAACACUAUUUAAAAUAAAUUUUGUUAUAAAAGAUUUUAUUCAAUUAGGUAUAUAUUUUAGGUACAAACUCAGCUAUUUGACAUAAUAGUAUGUCUCAUAAUAGGACUAACAUUUGGUCAAAUCAACCUAUUUCAAUAAGAUCCAUCGAAAUUAAUAUUUAAAAGAUUUAUCAUCUCAUUAUACAAUACACAACUUUGCCAUCUAGUAGAGAAUGAUUGGUUGGCACACCAUAGUUUACAUAAAUAUUUCUAAUAUUUGAAUCAUUUGUUAGGAAAUUUUAAUCCUACCAAUAUCUUGUAAGUAAACAUAUCAAAUAAAUAGUAAAUAGAUAAUAUAUAGAGAAUAAAACCAAUCAUACAACACAAUAAUUUACCCGAGAAAAAUUCCUAUACUAGAGAAAAACCACGGCCGCCAAAGAUGACGAAAGAAAAUCCACUAUGUAAAGAUCAUUACAAUCACUCUAGUAUUUUCUUCACUUACAAAACCCCAAUAACAAAUAAUCUCUCAUUCUAGAAACUGUCUACUUGUAUAGAACUAAUUAUUGCAAACAAGUGAAUCUAACCUUCUUAUAUAUUGUGAUUGUUUCAUAUAAGAGAAGUAUUUAUUUCCUUAUAUAGUUUGUAUUCCUCCUUUAAUAAAUUCUUUGGAAUUACUUAUUCCUUAAACAUGAACCCCCCAAACAAAAAAAUUACUAAAUAAAAAAAUUCUAGGAAAUAUUUUAAUUUAGGAUUUACAAAUCCUCAUUGAAAAAGGAGAUAUGUUUCUUUAAAAUCUCCACUUUGGCGAGUUUUUUAAUUAAACGACAAAAUAUGAUCCGCCAUACAUCUAUGCAACCAUGCCGUCUCCACCUUCUUUAGUCUACUAAAACCACACUGACAUUGGACUAAUGAGAAUCACUCCACCAUGAGUAAAAUCUUGUGCUCUAUCCAGCAGCCAUAAUUUUCUACAUCGAGAAUCAUCAUACUUCACAUUAUCCAGAGUACACAUGUUUGGCAUAUGUCGAUCACAUUUCCGAAAUUACCCACUCUCAUGUUUGGCUUCUUUGAGAGUCCUCAACGAUCAAGAUAAAAAGUCCACCACAUACCUUGCAUAAAUACUAAACUACAUGUUGUGUGCACAUCUUGUGGACCCAUUAGCAAUAACACAUCCUCUUCCACGACACACCAAUAGAUGACAUAAUUAGUAUCUCCUUCUAUUAAUUUACAGCUACUUUCCAAAUUGGCUAUAUUCUAACAAUCUCUUUUAAGAUGUUUUGAUUACCUACACUCCUCCAGGGGUUUCUACUAGUGGAAUAGGCCUGACAUUGCUCUUUGCUUUACUUGUAUAGACAGAUUGAAUCAAUAUGUUAUUGACUUGAGCUUCCCAAAAGCCAAAAUUAAUUAUUCCGUCAAACUUUUCUAUUUCUAUCUUCAUAAGUUUUGAAAACCUCCUUGCUGACGUAUUUGCUCUACAUUGCAGCCUUAGCUCUAUUAUCACCUGCUAAGAAAUAAUUAAUCUCACCUAAGAUUUGCAAGAAAAAAUAUGAAAUAAAUAGUAAAUAGAAAAUAGGUGGAGAAUAAAGCUAAUAAAAUAAUACAAAAAUUUACAUGAAAAAUUUCUAUAUUGGAGAAAAAUUAUAAUAGCUAAGGACGAUAAGAGAAAAUUUUAUUAUGUAAAUAUUAUUAUAAUUACUCUAGGGUUUUUCUCACACCUAAAACACCAAAAGCACCUAAUUUUAAUAGAACUACUUUUCUCUCACACUGAAAACUAUUUACUUAUAGAUAACUGAUUGUUGAAUUAUGCAGAGAAGUAAACUCAAUCUCUAUAUAUAUAUGUAGUGAUUAUUUCAUAUAGAAGUUGCAUUCUUUUCCUAAUAUGAUUUGUAUUCCUCCUUGAAUAAGGUAAGUUCUAAAGAGAAAAUUACUUAUUUCUUAAAUAUGAAUUAUCUUCAAUAAGAAAACUGAAAAGUGUAGAAAAUUCCUAAUUUAAGGCUUAAAAAUCUUAUUUGAAAAAAGAGACAUCUCCCAAUAUCCUCAAAUCCUCCUUACAAUGCCACCAAUCUCUUUUGUGACUAGCCCAGUUGAAACUUUUAAUGGAUGGGCUGUAAUUGCGAAUAUCCAAAUAAAACAAAUUUCCAUAGGUAUAUUGGUAGAUUGAAUGACAACUAACAACACAUGAUUUGAUUAACUUACUUCCAAAAAAAAAGAAAAAAAAGAUACAAUGGAUGAACAUUAGACUCUUGUGCCAACUCAUGGAAUUCAUCAAUAAGGCCUUGGCUGAUCCACCUCAUGACUGGUAGAGUUCAAACCCCCGCUAAAUAGUAAAAAAAUAUUUGGAUUAUUAAUUACUCUUUCUUAAGUCUAUUUAAACUUAACUUUGAGAAUUAUGAACGUCUACACUAUAAUUAAAACAAUACAAGCCCACCCGUUUGUAUUUAAAAUUUUGUUUGAAUUUAUUCACGAGCAACAAGAAUAGUAUAAAUGGAAAAAAAAACCAUCAAAUAAUAUCCCAUGACUCUGUUUCUUCAAUUUCAGGAGCAAUGGUGGAAUCAUAUUUUCCGAUUGAAAAACUUUUGGAAAAAUUAGGGAGCUUUGCUUAUGAAGAACUUUUAUUGUUCUGCGGUGUCAAAAAUGACUUACAAAAGUUAAAGGAGACGUUAACCACUGUCAAAAGUCUGGUUUUGGAUGCUGAGGAAAAGAAAAUCCAUAAUCACCGGUUAAGCGAUUGGCUGGGAAAACUUAAGGAUGCUUGUUAUGAUGCAGAAGAUGUGUUGGAUGAAUUUGAGGUGGAAGAUCUACGAAGGCAAGUCAUGAAGCAAAGAAGCAUCGGAAGAAAGUUUCGUAACUUUUUUGGAUGCUCAAAUCCGAUAGCUUUUCGUUUUAGAAUGGGUCAUCAAAUCAAGAAAAUUCGAGAGAGGUUUGAUGAGAUUGCAAAAUUGAGGGGUGAGUUUAAUCUCAUUGAACGACUUGACGAUCAUCGGCGAGUUGUGCACAAAGAAAGGGAAUCCACUCACUCGUUUGUGCUUUCAUCAGAUAUUAUUGGAAGAGAUAAAGAUAGAGAAAAGAUUAUUGAACUAUUGAUGCAAGCAAGUUCUGGCGAAAGUGAAACUCUGUCUGUUAGUCCUAUUGUGGGAAUUGGAGGUCUGGGCAAAACUGCUCUUGCACAGUUGGUGUUCAAUGACCAAAGGGUAGAAGAGCAUUUUGAGUUGAAAAUCUGGAUACGUGUUUUUGAGGAUUUUGGUGGGAGACAAAUUAUGAGAGAGAUUAUGGAGUCGAUCAUUGUACAAAUUAUGAGAAAGUGUGCGUUCCUAGGUGACUUGAAUACACAACAAUUGCAACGAAUCUUGCGAGAUCGUUUGAAUAGUAAGAGAUACUUGCUUGUUAUGGAUGAUGUAUGGAACGAAGAUCCUGAAGCAUGGCGUAAAUUAAAAAGCUUAUUGUUGGGAGGUGCUAACGGAAGCAAAAUUUUGGUAACCACACGUAGCAGGAAGGUUGCUUCAAUCAUGGGCACGAGGGGAGGUACUACUGGCUACAACUUACAAGGUCUACCAUUCGAGGAUUGCUUGUCUUUGUUUAUGAAAUGUGCAUUUAAAGAAGAGCGAGAUAAACAUCCAAACCUCAUAAAAAUCGGGGAAGAAAUUGUGAAAAAAUGUGGGGGAAUUCCUCUGGUAGUCAGAGCACUAGGAAGUCUAUUAUAUUGCUCAACGGAUGAACAUGAUUGGGAAUAUGUGAGGGAUAAUGAGAUAUGGCAGUUAGAGCAAAAGGAAAGUGGCAUUUUACCUGCUCUGAGGUUAAGCUACGAUCAAUUGCCGCCUCACCUGAAACAAUGUAUUGCUUAUUGUUCAAUCUUUCCCAAGGAUUAUCAAUUUUAUGGUGAGUCUUUGGUUCAAUUUUGGAUGGCUCAUGGUCUUCUCCAAUCCCAUAAUAAGAAUAAGGAGUUAGAAGAUAUUGGUAUGCGGUACUUGAAGGAAUUACUGUCAAGAUCUUUCUUCCAAGAUUUGAUUUUUGGGAUUUCAGGAAUGGAGACUCUCUCUUUCAAAAUGCAUGACCUUAUGCAUGAUCUUGCCCUGCUAGUGGCCAAAGAUGAAUUCCUAGUAGUGAACUCUGAUUGUCAAUCUAUUCCCAAAAGAGUCCGCCAUUUGUCAUUUGCUGCUGCUAAUGCAUCAAGGAAUGACUUUUCAAGCCUUUUAUCUGAUCUAGGUCGCUUGAG
This 89496-nucleotide long non-coding RNA is filed under the name Citrus maxima (pomelo). Its description in RNAcentral is "long non-coding RNA (CMAX_LNC003924)". Lineage: Eukaryota; Viridiplantae; Streptophyta; Magnoliopsida; Sapindales; Rutaceae. The record is from RNAcentral.